CAAAACUUGCCUCGAUUGCUUCCUCAAUGGCCACUCACUCUACCGCUACGAAUACGACGUUUCUUACUUAAAACUGGUUUUCAAACGCUCUGGUUCUUGCAGCAUUUGGGAUUGCAGACCGGCGAACCAAGUCGUCGAAACCGCCUAUCGUCUGCUCGAAGACAAGAGCUUCGGGAGCUACAAUUUUUUCCUCAACAACUGCCAGGACUUCGCGGUGUAUUGCAAAACGGGCAUGGCAUUGAGCAAUCAAACAGCAGGGUUAUUUGGGUUUAACUUGGUUGGUGCUGUUGGAUAUCAUGCUACCAAAGGGAUCUAUGAAGCCUUUACCAAUUAAAGAACAACUAAGGACUCAUCAGCCAUGAUUUAUGAAAUAAACAGCCACUUGAACUUGGGUUUUUGUGGUAUAAUAUAAAAAAAAAAUAUUAGUAGAGUAUUGCAAAAGUGUGUGAUGUGCUACUUUCCUAAACCUGUACAAAAACAUGCAAAUAAUACCAAUAAAAAUUAUGAAUAUAUUUUCACUUCAAAUACAAAUAAUCGAAUCUCUUAUUUUCUCUCUCAUGUUUAUUUUGGUUAGUUGUUUAGUUAAUUAAUUUGAAUUGAAUUAUCUGUAUCGAUUCAGAAAGCGAAGUUAAAUUUUUUUUUUUAGAAUCGAAAUUAAAUUGUAAUUGUUAGAUAGUAAAUAUUGGAACCCACCAUUGUUUGAAAAGUCAAAUGGGGUGGACACCGAAAGUAGAAAGUAAUAUUGGUUGGCAAGUUGGGUUAAAAGUUGGCAUGGGAUAAUUGCAAUUUUGGUCCCUAAUUGUAUAGGACAUUGCAAGUUGAUCCUUGAACCUCAACUAUAAAUAGGCCUAACCAUUGCUUACUUUCUUCAUCCCAUAAUUGCCAUUCUCUACUUAAGGCAUUAUUCUCUCUCUCUAUUUGUAAAUUUCACUUGUAAUUUUUGGAGUGAAAUAUAUUUGGUAGUGCCCGAGGACGUAGGCAAAAUUUGCUAAACCUCGUUAAAAUUCUGGUGUUCUUUAUUAUUUGUUUUGCAUAUUUUGUGAAUGUGAUUGUAGUGAUUUAUUGUGCUAUUAAAUUACGAUAGAGGGAUAUUCUGACUAGGAAAGACUUGGUAUUUAAGUGAUCUUCGUGAUCUACCUCUCUUUCUUGGGAAUUGAACUUAGUGUGAUUUUUCAGUACAAUAAUUUUACUCUUUCACACGCUUCCGCGCAACAGUAAAAAUGUAAUUUUAUUAUUUUAAUAAUCUAUAUCUUUAUAAUUUUAAAUGAUUAAAUAAAAUUUUUAUCAUUUUUAGGGGGCAAAAUACAAUUUUACCUUUAUUAAUUUAAAAUUUUAAAAAUUUUAAAAGACCUAAAUUGAAAAUUUUUCAUUUUAAGGAGAGACAGGAACCCGACCAAUCUCCUAGGUACGCCCUAUGUGGAUUAAUACUAACCUUAUAUUAGUUAGUUAGGUCUAACUUAUUAUUAUUAUUUUUUUGCAAAGUCAGUGAAAUACAAAAAGGAUUGUUGAGAACAAUCCAAACAAGUUCAAUCACACAGUUUUUUAAAAAAAGGAAAAAAAAAAAAACAACCUAGCAAAUAUUACUAAGCAGACAAAAACAACUUCAACAAUAGAUUUCCCCGUUGUACUCUGCUGUAGAAAACAACAGACCAACCCAGCAUCAUCCACUCUGCUUCAACAGCAACUCACCAAGCAGCUUUAAAGAAGUUUUACCUUGACAUGCUUACCUUUGCUAAAGUUUCCACCAUUCUAUUCUUUUUGUGAUUAGUGACUGCAAACUGGAUUUCAGCAAUAUGUCUACACCCAUCUUCAAUUUCCGCAAACAACUUCCUUAGCGACCAUGGACGAAGAUUUCUAUAUUUCAACCAAUUCGAUUAACUUAUUUGACUUGUAUUUAUUUUGAUUACUUAAUUAAUUAAUGUGUAUUUAAGAUAUAAUCAAACUUCUUUAUUUCAAGUUAAAUUAGUUAUAUAUGAAUUAUUAUUAAUUACAUAAAAUUAUAACAUCUUAACAUGUUUGUAUAAAACAAGCAUGUCAAUAAAGUUUCAUCUAGAUCCAUAGGAUAAAUUUUAUCAUAAAUCAACUAUAACUUUACAAUAUCUUAAAUUUGAUUCCUUUGAACAAUAUUGUCCAGCAAGCAUAAGAACCUCCUUUCCAAAAGCUUCAAAGUAUAGGUAUAUUUCAUUAUUAAAUUUAAUUGUUUCUUGAUUUUAUGUUGUUCUUAUCAUAUGUAUAAUAAUUUUAUUUUAGUUUAUGCUCAAAACAUAACUAUAUAUAUACAUAUGACUUUAUCCAUACACAUAUAUGAUUUGUCUCUUCAAUAACAGUUACUUUGAUAACAAAUCUCUCGGGAAGAGAUUUAAAAACCUAGCAAAUUUGAUAGAACAGACAAAUUGGCAUAAACUUCAUUAAAAGUUUCAUUCACCGGUAGUCCGAGAAUCAAAUUUUAUGAUUAGCAUCUAUAGCUUCAAUUGUUUCAAGAAUAUCACAUUUUUCUUCCACAAAAUGGCAUUCAAAGCCUUGAAAUUGGUUGCAACCUACAAGAGGUUCCCUUCCAAUGAGAAUUGCACGCCGAGUCUUUUCAUCGAUUGAUUUUAUAAAAGUCUUCAUCCUUGCCUUUCAAUAUGCCUAAUUGGAUCCAUCCAACAUCGGGUUGUAAGAUAGAAGAAUCUUUCAUAGUGAGUAAAAAUUAAUAUCAAAAUCACUGCUUACUACGUCAAGUGUCUCGCUCUAAUAAUAAAUAGAAGAAACAAGUGAUUUUUGCAUUGGUAUUUGAGUAGUUAUAACUGAGGAGACUAGCAAGUGAAGAACAACAAAACAAAAAGAUUGGUUACACAGUUCGAUUUCAACCAUGUAUAAUUGAUGAUUUUGUUGGAAAAUUUCGGUUUAGAAAAUAAUAUUUUUAGACACAACGGAAGUUUAAAAAUUUUCUUUAAAAUCGAGUCUUGUGAUAUUUAUAGCAUUAAACUUUAACUGAAAUUAUAUAUGUGCUUUGUACGAGGUGAUUAAGUCGAUCUCAGCUAUUGAAUGACCUUCUCUACUAUUCAUAAACAGAUCUAAGAUCUAUUUUACUUGGAUUUUGUCCAAUAUACUAUCAGCCAAGUCAGUCACAUUUAUGUCUCGAUCUUCUAAGAGUCAUCUGCUUCAAUACCAAGACAAGGUAUCUCUCCAAUUGGACUUGAUAUACGACAUAUUAGUUUUUCAAUCGAUUUGUUCAAUUUCGAUUAGACUAAUAACAUGUUUGGAUUAUCUACUAAUAUAAAUUGUCUUUCCUUAUUAUGAUCCGACCACAUAAUAUCGCUUGAUAUUUGUUAAACUUUAGGUAAUUAGUAAACUAAUAUUUGUUUUCAUUUUUAUUUAUAUGCAAAAAACUAUUGAAGACAAUAUAUGAAUAUAUUAAUAAUACUAAUGAAUAUUUUAUUAAACUAUUUUUUUUUGAAAAAUUACAAGUACAUAUAAACAAAAUCACUACACUAAGAGCACUAGAUCUUGACGGAUUUAAAUCCUACAAAUCACUAUAUACCAAACUUACACUUAUACAAAAAAUCUAGAUCACUUUCUACUAAAUUUUUUAUCAAAAAAGGCAGCUAUAAAAUCAAAGUGGUUCUUAAUAGAAUAAUAUAAAGCACUAACUUUCUUACAAACUAAGUCAAGCUUCACAUAUAAUUAUUUUAGCCAUGGUGAAAUCAGGGGUGUAGCUAAGGGGGUUGGCAGAGGUCCAGUUUCUCCCUAAAAUGAAAAAUUUUCAUUUAAGUGUUUUAAAUUUUUUAAAAUUUUAAAUUGGUAAAAAUAAAAUUGCACUUUGACCCCUUUAAAAAUGAUAAAAAUUUGAUUUAAUAUUUUAAAAAUUAUAAAGAUAUAAACUAUUAAAAUGGUGAAAUUAGAUUUUUAGUAUCAUAAAAAUUACAAUUUAAUUUCAAUCCCCUAAAAAUUUUUUUUGACUUUGCCCCAAAUUGAAAUACAAAUAUAUUACAAUAACAAUUCCCACAAAAUAGGACUACUUUGUUAGGAUAAAUAAUGAAAUUUUCAACAUAUUCUUUUUUUUUGGUGAAAAAACAUGAACAGGAAGACAACUUUAAAAGACUUUAAAAUAAACUAAAAGCUUGCUCUUGCAGGAUGAGCAUAUCCACCACAUCAGGAGGGACUUCAAAAGUCUGAAGGGAGGUCUGCCAAGAGAGGCCUAUCUUCGCUAGUUUGUCAGCAAUUAAGUUAUGCUCUGCUAUAGUAUGGAAUAAUUCACACGUGUUUCAUAAUUAGGUAGUUAGGCUGUUGAAUGAAUUAGUUUUAUUGUUAAGGGUCGUUAAUAGCUGUUAGCUUUUCCUAUUGUGUAUAUAGUCUAUGCCUUUGUACUGAGAAAGGAAGCUAAGAAAUACAGUGUAUUACCUUUUAGAUAUUUCUCUAGAAUUUGGUUAGUUUCUAUCAUGGUAUCAGUCGCUCGGUGAUCUUUGAGCAUGGCUUUCACGUAUUCUCCUGAUUCCAAUUCUGUUGAUCUAAGUGGCUCGGUUUUCUCCGGUGAUCGGAUCGUCACCUCCUUUCUACGGCAGGAUGUGGUUAAGCUGGAUGAGGGUACUUUUCUUCAGUGGUAGCAGCAGGUACAUUUUAUUCUUGCUGGCUAUGAUUUGCUUGGCUUUCUUGAUGGAACGAUGUCUGCUUCGGCACGAUUUGUCCAAGCCUCUGAUGGCACUCUGGUUUCCAAUCCAACGGCCUCGAUCUUUACUCAACAAGAUAAUCUUCUCACAUCGUGGUUGUUAUCUACGAUUAGUUCUUCGUUUCUUUCGUCUUUCACGGAUGUCUGAUCUGCGUUCGACGUCUGGAUGAUGGCGAGCAGUUUAUUUGCAGCAAACAUUACCGCAAAGCAGUCUCAACUUCGACACAACCUUCACUCACUCAAGAAAGGUAACCUUUCCAUCCGUGCUUAUGUGGAUAAAAUCAAAAGCAUGUGUACCCUUCUUGCAGCAUCUGGCUCUCCUAUAUUGGAGGCCGAGAGGACAUCGGUGUUGCUUGCAGGCUUGUCAUCUGACUUUGAUGCUAUCAUGUCCUCUGCCUCCCUCUCCUCCGGUCCGGUUCCUUUCCAACGUCUUAUGGAUGCGCUUCUUGAGUGUGAGGCUCGUCAAAUGCGGACUAUUUUCGAUGUUCUGGUUGCCGCUAAUUUUGUGGAAGGCUCUUCGUCACCAGCAGUGGACGGUUCUUCUCGCGGUGGUCGAUCUCCUGGUCGUGGGCGUGGGCGUAGCUUUCGCACUCUGAUCCAGUGCCAGAUCUGCAGUCUUUACGGUCACAUUGCUCAGCGUUGUUUCUAUUGUUAUCACCGUGAUGACCAGCACCAGCGUGCUGCUCCGAUGCCAUAUCAAGGAGAUUCUGCUUUGGGAGCGAAUGAAGAAUCAUGGCCUGGUCAAAAUUGGAUGCACGAUGGUCAAAAUUGGAUGGGGCUUUCUAGAGGUACUGUUGUGCGUUCUUAUCUUUAGCCAAAUAUGGGGGCUGUUUCAACACGUGGGCCGCAUACUGUGCGUAUGCCAGCUGGGCCACAUUCCUUUGGUUUUUAUGGUAGUCUGCCUAUUGAUCAUGGACUUCAUAUGGAUUAUGGACAUUCUGGGCGCAUGGUUGGCCGCAAUGUUGAACACACUGAUUUGGGUUAUUCCUAUGGUGCUAGGCCACGUGGCCCAAUUGGUGCUGAUCCGUCGUGUGGGCCUAGUGGAGGGCCUAGUGGAUCUGUUCGGCCUCGUCUUAGUACUGGCCCGAAUUGUUCUAAACCGAAUACAAAUUGUGUACGGUUUUCUGAGGUUCCAUGGCGAACAAAAUCGCGAGCUCGUGUUUUUGAUGUUGAAUCUUCUCAAUAUGACUCGUCUCAAUUUGUUGGAAUACCAACCGGAGUUCCUGAGUUUCGUGCCUCUGAUUUUUCUGAUGCAACAGCAUAUGACUCUAAUUUUGAUAACAAUGACUCCUAUGUUCCGUUGCCGGUAGGGAGCUCCUCCUGGUGUCCAGACUCGGGGGCUACUCAUCAUGUGUGUCAGAAUGCGUCUGAUCUUCAUACCUCUUCUCCGUAUACAUGUGACUCUUCUUUAUUAAUGGGAAAUGGGGUUUCCUUUAGUAUUUCAUCCAUCGGGAGUACUGUUUUUUCUACAAAGGCAAAAUUACUUCAUUUGUCAAAUGUCUUGUGUGUUCCCAGCAUCCGAAAAAAUUUACUAUCUAUGUCUAAAUUUGCUACUGACAACAAUGUUUUUUUUGGAUUUCCCCUCUCCUUUUGUGUGAUUAAGGACAUUCAGGCACAGGAAAUCUUAAUGCGGGGCCAAGUUCGUGAUGGGCUUUAUUAUUUUUUGUGGACUCGGUUGAUUCGUCUCCAUCUGCUUACACCACUGACGUCCAUGAUCGAUCUACGGGCGAUGAUAUUUUUACUUUGUGGCAUAAAAGGCUUGGUCAUCCUUCUUCUACUAUUGUAAAAGCUGUUCUUGACAAUUGUCGGAUUGUUACAAAUAAAAGCUCUCUUGAUAAUGUUUGUGUAGCUUGUCAGUAAGGAAAAUCCCAUAAAUUGCCUUUUUCCUCAUCUCGUACUGAAUAUGAUGAAUUGCUUGAGUUAGCUGUAUCUGAUUUGUGGGGCCCGGCUUCAGUUACCUGUAACGAGAAUUUGUAUUAUGUAUGGUUUGUUGACAUGUAUAGUCGAUUUACCUGGGUUUACUUGCUCAAACGCAAGUCUCAAGCAGUGGACUAUUUUCUCCAGUUUCAGCAGAUGGUUCAUACACAAUUUGGGAAACGUAUUAAGAAAUUUCAGAGUGAUUGGGGCGGCGAGUUUCGUGCCUUUGCUCCAGUUCUAGCUCGUCAUGGGAUUCUUCAUCGCAUUUCAUGUCCUCACACUUCUGAACAGAAUGGUGUUACUGAGCGUAAGCAUUGACAUAUUGUAGAGACCGGUCUCACUCUUUUAGCUCAGGCCAAUCUACCUAUGGCGUACUGGGGUUAUGCUUUCUACAGCGCAGUUCAUCUCAUCAAUAGACUACCCAUUCCAGUGUUGAAAGGUAUGACACCGUAUCAACAUUUGUUUGGUAGUAUACCGGCAUAUGAUCACCUUCGGGUUUUUGGGUGUUGUUGUUUCCCAUACUUACGUUCGUUUUUUAAACACAAGCUUGAAUUUCGAACUCAACCUUCUAUAUUUCUUGGCUAUAGCUCGCAACAUAAGGGAUAUUAUUGUUUAACAUAAAGUGGUAAGAUACUUAUUUCUCGGCAUGUUUGUCUUUGAUGAAAAGCGGUUCUUGUUAACUGAUUCUAGGGUUCUUAGUGAUCAGCCUCCUGUAUGUACUUCUUCGUUUGUUCCUGUUCUUCGUUCUUUUCCCACUACAAGGCCUCGACAGCAUUCUGGUCUUGCUUCCUUGCCCGCUACUACUUGUAAGCCAUCUUCCUCUGAUUCGUCAGCUACAUGUAGUCUAGUAAAUCCCCCUUCAGUUGACACCAUGACUACUUUGGGGACUGGCCUACAACAGACCCUCUCUUCUCCUACUCCUCCUCCACCUGCUUCUUCUCUUGCUAUUGAUCCUCCUGCUACUACUUCUAAUUCUCAUGCUAUGGUCACUCGGUCUAAGGCUGAAAUUUUUAAACCCAAAGCAUUAUCCGUGGAUACGGUUGAUUUUGAGCUAACAUCUGUCGAAGAGGCUUGUGACAGCCCUAAUUUGAAUCUAGUCGGGAAAUGGUUUCGGGACGACAAAAUCGAGUCACAAGAAUAAUUAAAUGUUAUAUUCUAUGCCUAUUAUAAGUGAAAGUGUAUGUGUGAAAAUUUCAUGCUUUGAUUUUGUCUUUUAAAUGUGAAAUUAAUUAAAAAGGACUUAUGUGAAAACAUUGAAAUUGUGAUAGGUUGAAGUGUAGUGGUCAAAUAUUGCAUGGCUUAAAAUAUGGAGAUUUGCAUGUCAAAUUCCCCAUUUUUAAGUAAGUAGCCGACCAUGGUGAUAGUGGAAUAGCCAUAUAUGCCUUACAUAUUAAUAUUAUAAUAGUUAAUGGGUGUGAUUAAUAAAAAAAGAAUAAGAAGGCCAUACAUCUUUGCCUUGUUCUUGCCGAAUGUUGGAGAAAGAAUGAAGAAAUAUACUUUGAGGAUUUCGGCAAUGGAGCAAGCUCAAAAUCGAUGGUAGAACAGAAGGGCUCUUUGAUAUUUGGCCUUGGUGAUUUUAGUUGGAGGUAUGUUUGAAGUGUUUUGAAAGAAAUUACUUGUGUAUUUUAGGAUAGUUUCUUAGUUCCUCCAUAACCCAUGUGCAAAUUUUCAUUUUGGUAGCUAUGGGAGCAAUCGGUCAUGAGAGGAUUUUUCAUUUAGAAAUGAUACUUUGAUGUUUUGUUUUGAAUUAAUAAAAGUACUCUAUUCGGUUGAAAUUAUAAAAGUAUGUUAAGUUUAAAAAAAAAGUUUGAAUUUGUAAAUGUAAAAAUUAAGUGUGCUUGUGUUAUAGCCAAAUAUACUUUGAAAAUUAUAAUGGAGAAAUUCUUAUGAUAAAAGCUUGUAAAUUAAAGUUAUAAUUUGUGCUUUGUAGUUUUAAAUGGUUAAAGACUAUUCGGUUAUAGCCUUUAUUUUUCAUGAAGAAAUCAAGUUAAAUGUAUAUGUGCCUAUGUUAUGGCCGAAUGUACUAAGGGUGGAUUAAUAUGGAGUUUAAUGUUAUAUUGAUUCGGGUUUGAUAGUUUUUGAAAAAUAAAAAUAAAAUUUUGUGUAUCUAAUUUGAAAUGGCUGAAUGGAUUAUAUAAAGUGAUUUGAGAUUUUGGAUGCCUUGUUUUGUGGCAUUCGGCUAUGAUAAAAAAAAUGAUUGUAUCGGGGAUUUUAGAUAUGUGAAUUGGUAGGUGAUAUGUAUUUAAAUUGUUUAUUAAGGUGUUGGCUAUAUGGUUAAAAAUGUGCACAUGAAAGUAUAAUAGGUCAAAUGAAUUUUAUGUUUCUAUUUGUAUGAUUUAGUUGAUGGUGUGAUAUAUUAGCAUACUUGGAUAUUGAUGUUUGUGUGUCUCGUGUUAAUAUGAUAAUCGGCCAUAAGCAUGAUUAAAUGGUUCGGUCAUUGUUUGGCAUAGGUGAAACCUAUAUUAAUUUGUUACAUUCGGUCAUAAAAUGGAAUUAAAUAUGAAGGCUAAGUUUGAGUAGUUAAGGCCAAAUGGGUUAUAUAUUAAACAUAAACGGAUUUUAUGCAUAUGAGUAUGUAUGUAUUUGUGUGUACGGCAUUGAUGAUAAAUGGCAAUUGGUAAUGUGGUAAAUGUUUAAUAAGUUGACAUUCGGAGUUAGCUAUAUGUCUUGAAGCUAUAGUGUAAUUUGAAAAAUAAAUAAAAGUAUAUGAUAUUAAAGCAUGCAUUAUAUAUAUGCACGUGUAUACGCGGUUGUGCAUAAAUAUGAGUAAAUGAUUAAAUUGUGAUAGUCAUAUAUAGGUAUAUAUAUAUGCCUUAUCUAUGUACCUUGUGCUUAUAGAGACAUUCGGGAAUACGGUUAAAUUCAUGUAUAAGGAAGCAUGAUAAGUUAUGUGAAUCUUUGCUUGUGUCUGCGAAUAAGAUAUAGAUUAAAUAAGCAUGAAAUCGAGUCAUGGCAUAUUUUAUAAAAUAUGAUACAUAUUGAAGUUAUAUAUGAUUGUCAAAUGUGACUAUUAAGAAAUAAAGUUGAGUAAGUAAUUAAACAAAUCUAUUUGUUUUAAUUAAGCUCAAGAGCAAAGAGGAUCAAAAUCAGAUAAGGGAAAAGAGAAAGUAAUAGAGUAACCUUUCCGCAACCGUUCAAAUAUAUCCGAGGUAUGACUGAGGUAUGACAUUGUUUCUAUUAUAACAAUCAGGACAAUGUGAAUUUAAACGUAAUUUUGAAUCAAAUAGUAUUGAAAAGGAUUUUCAUCACUAUUUCCAUUAAUAUUUUACAAUCAUUUUACAAACUAAGCAAGUGCAAGACAACCUAAGGCUCGAACAAAGCCUCAAAUUCUAUGAAAUUAUUUAGGAUUUAUUACAAACCAAGCAAAUGUAUAGGCACACACUAAGGCUCAAACAAAGCCUCAAUUUAUUAUUAACUUUUUUUGCAGAGCUGGUAAUGUUAAUCGUAUACCCCGUGAUAAUAUCAAUAUAUUACCAAGAAGGCACUGAAGCAGCAGCCAUGAAAGCGACAAACUAUUCGUAGUUGUAAACAGUACAACGCAAGUUCAGGUCAGGCUUCCACCAAUGACGAAGUUUAUGCGGUGAAAUGUUUCCUUCGGGAGGACUGAGAUUCUCUAUAAGAAUUGCCGAAGGAAGCAAAUGAAGCGGCUCCGAAAUUUCAACAUCCCUUAUUUUCAGUUUUUUCAUCACUAUAUUUCUUAGUGAAUGAUGGCUUAUUAGUCCCCAAACUCCAACGUCGUCGCUCUUUCUUCUCUUCUUGAAAUGUUCAAUAUAUCCAUUACAUAUGAAGUCUCUAUUAUUCACAAACAAACAUGGCUUCCACCCUGAUAUUGCAGCAAAUGAAUCUUCAUCACAACUAUAUCCCGAAGCAAGGGCAGCGCAAACUUUGAUAACAUGGGUUGUCAGUUGAAGUCCACGUAUCACAUUCUUAUUGUCUUUGAAGAUUGUCUCAAUUGGGAAAGAUGGAUAUGGCGGAUUAAACAAAAAACUUUCCAAGAAUUUGCCUCUUUUCGCCAUAUUCUUUCCAGCAAGCAUUGCGAUGGCUGCCCCUAGGGAAUAACCAGUUAACCACACCUUUGAAGAGCCAGCUUUUGACACCCUAUCUUCAACAUAUUUCAUGGCGGUCUGAACACGACUACUUUGAUGAAGUGUAUUUAGGAUUAUUGCGAAAUUCGACUCAAGAUCCCUUGUCAAAGUUUCUCGUUUUAAUAGGGUGCCCCGAAAGGCGAUUACGUAUCCAGGGCCUGGAUUAGUUGCCGAAGGUAAUACAUAUUCAAAAAUGGCACCGAAGAUGCUCUCAUCAUCCUCAUCGACGAGCUCAUUCACUAACUUGAAGUUGAAAAAGUCCCACCAUUGUGGCGCAAGUGUCUCAGAGCCUCCACGUAAUUCCACUUGUCGGUCACGUUCCCGCUCGGAAACACCCUUGAUCAAGCUGGUUAAUACGGACCUUCGAUGGUUGUAGUCGUUCCAAUCAACGGUGGUAAGGUGUUUGGGUCCCACAAGGCUAAAAGGUUCUCUUCCACGAGACAUAUAUUAUAGCACUGGAAACUGUUGACGUGGGUACGAGGGCUUUGGGUGAUGUGGGUUUUAGGCUAUAUGGUGGUUAAAGCAGGUUGUGCAAUGGUGAAGGUGGUGCAGUGGUGUGACGGCGCUGGUGAACGGGAAAAUGGGGAUGAUUAGUGGCGGAGCUUGGAUAUUAUUCUUGGCAGCCAAAUUAAAAUUUCAAAUUUCAAAUAUUUAAAAUUUAUGAAAAGUCUUCAAAUUUGGAGAAAAAAUGAUAAAGUCUUCUUCUUCUUUUAUUUAUUUAUUUAUUUUUUUGUUGAAGAAGAAAGAUGAUAAAAGUCUUUUUAUCUUAUUUAUAUAUAUAAUAUUAUAAAUAUUUGAGAGGCUUAUUUAUAUUAUUACGAGAGCUAUAAUAUAUUUACAAAAGGGAAAAUUGCAAAAAUCUUAAACUUUGGAGGGGGCCUAUUUAUAUUUUUUGGAGGGUUCUAGUGUAAAUUUACAAAGGACUAAAUUGAAAAAAAUUAAACUCAUGGCCCCCUUAGCCUCAACGUGGCUCCGCCACUGCCGGGAUGAUGAUGGAUUAGCUGAAAUUCUUUUAGGAAUUUGCCAUUGUUUGCCUUGGUUUCUUCAAAAUGCUAACCUCGUACUUAUACUGUUAUAUAUGUCAUUACGUGUUAGUGUCAUGGGCCAAAGUGCAAAGCCCGUGACCAUGGCACAAGAUGCACCCCAUGGAGGUUUAUCGAUUAGAUGGGGAUCGUUCAGCCCACGAGAACUAAUUCGAUUCAAAGAAUUGUUGAAGAAGUCUGUCAGAUUGAAGUCUGGGUGGCCCAAUAAUGAAGAUAUGGCAACAUAGGUUAUUUUUAGUAAAUAUGGGAAUCAUAUCUUGUAGAUUUAAUUUGAUAUGGUGUAUCUUGUAAAUUGGUCCCUACAUGUUAGAUCAAAGAGUAAAUUGGUUAUUCUGUUAAAAAUUUCAUCCACUUUUACAGUUAAAAACUAGUCCCUAUACAUCAACAUGAGGUACAUAUAGCACGCCAUGUGUCACUCUCUGGUUAUUCUGUCAAUCACGUCAGUUUUUGAUAACAUAAAUGGAUGAAUUUUUAACAUAAAGGACUAAUUUUCUCUUUGAUUAAAUAAAUAGUGACCAAUUUACUCAUUUUUUGAGUAGAGGGCAAAAUGUAAUUUAACACCUCUAUGGACUUUUACUAGGGAUGUCAAUGGAGCGAAGCGAGGGCAAAUAUUGCUAAAUCCAUCACUACUCUACAGUUGAGACAUUUUGUUUUUAUCACAUGUCCCAUUGUACUAUGGAUGUAUAAUUCAUCCCUACCCCAUCUCACUCCGCUUCAAUUUAAAUUUUGCUACGUAUCUUCAAUAUUUUCAAUCUUUUUGUAGUCAAGUAAAUAUUUAAACAUAAUUUAAAAAGUUAAACACAAAUGGUAUGUAUUUUUUCUAUAUUAUUUUAUUAUAUUUUUACUCUUUUAGUAGUUUACAUAUACAACGAUAAAAUGAUAAAAUGAUAAAAGAAAAAAUUUGCUCUGAUUAUAUAUGCUCUUGUUAGGACAAUGUCUAGAACUAAAAUGUAAUUAAAUUUAAAAUUAGAAAUAUAAACAAAAACUUCCGUAAAAAUAAUUAUUUUUCAAAAUAAGCAAAAAGAAAUAUUAUUUUCUAAAUAUAAAUCAUAAAAGUAAUUAAAUAUUAUUAAUUAAAUUAAUUCAUUACUAAAUCAUAUGUAAGAAUAAUAUUUUGGAAGGAUUAAAGUUUUUGGUUUUUAUUUUUUUUUUCAUUGAGUUUUUGCGUUUCCAACCUUCCCUUCAUUUUCAUCCUUUUUAAUGUUAUUUAAUUUUCGUUACCCAGUUCCACUUCCAUUGGUUGGCUUUCACUUUCCAGCUUUCUUUUUCUUUUUCCUCGCUUUCUUUACAACGUCAAUAACAAUUAAACUGGAUUAUAAUUUCUUUUUCUUGAAUUUUUUUCCUUUAAAUUACUUGUUGAUGGGAAAACGAGUUUAUAGUUUCAACAAAAUCAAACUGGAUUUUCAACCACACGUUGUACGACUAUUAUUAUUCCGUUCAAAGUUACAUUAAAUAUGAUUUAAUGUGUAAUUAUGUAUAUAAAUUUUGAUUUUGUAUAAUUUUUUUAUUUGAUUCAAUUAUUAUAAACUAGUAACACAAUUAUUGAUAUAACAUCAUUUUAUGUUUAUAUAUUGCGUAUUAAAAUAAUUAUAUUUGUCCAAUAUAAAAAUAAAUUGAUGUAUUUAUUUCUUUAAAUGUGUAUGAUUAAAUCAAAAUUAAAGUUUUAAGUAUAUAUUUGAACAACAAUUAGAGUUUCACGUGUAUAUUUUUUCUUCAAGCUGUUUGUUUUUUUAUCUUUUGUUUUGCCCCUCCCACCAGCCCUUUCUUUCUUUCUUCUUCUCAUUCACUCCACAUGUCUUCUCUCUUUUCGGUUUGCAGAUAUAUUUUGCAAGUAUCUUUGUUGUUUUCACAAGUUGUGGUGGACAGAUGACGAUGUCUGUCAUUCGCUAAAACACCACCGGCAAUCAGUAGUUUUUUAGAAUAAUAAAUUAUUUCAUGAGUCGAUUUGGACCUGUGCUGUCUUAAGUUUUAUAUGUUUUUUUGUUUGUUUUUCCAUUGUUUAAUAAAUUUUCAGUUUUAGAAGUUUUUAUAUGCUAUUGUAGAACACUUUUUAGUCUUACUUAUGCAUGUAACAAUAGUUUUACAAGUGAUUUUAGGGAUGGUUUUGUUGCCAUCCUCUGUAGUUUGGUGAAUGCUCGAUUCUUUUGUCGAUUUUUGCUCGCCUCUUUGGAUCAUUCGAGGCUGAUUUCUUUAUCAUAUUAAGUAUUUGCAAGCACUCUAGAUAUGUCGUACUUAAGUUAUUACAAAGCCAAUUGUCAACGUGUCAUGAUGUUUUAUUAAUAUUGAAGCUAAAACUUUUGUUGUGUUGGUGGGAGCUUGUCUUUCACCAUCUACGACGAAUGUUUUUUUCCCCUUGAAUUGUAUGGUUUCAUUCAUUUAAUGAAUUAAUGAAUUUAUCUUUCAAAAAUAAAAUUUUACGUGUAUAAUUAUACUAAAUUAAAGUUUAUUUAUAUAAUUACACAUUAAAUUAAAGUUUAUAUAUAAUUUUAAGAUUCAUCCUUAUCCUUUUUAAUAUUACUAUUACAAAUCGUUACAAGUACACAUCUCUAUUAUUUUCCAUUUUGCUACUUAUCAUAUUGUUAGGUGUUAUUUGGUAUAUAUAUAUCUUUCUAUUAUUACUAUUAUUACUAUUAUUAUUAGUGUGUGUCUAUUAUAUGUGUAUAUUGUAUGUGUUCAUUUUAAAUAUGUUAUGCAUAUAUAUAUUAUGUACCUAUAUUUAGUAUUAUUAUGUAAAUAUUUUUCAUUCCUAUAUUACGUACAUACUCCUAACAUCAUCAUUAUGUAUGUGCAUUCAUUGUUUCUAUUUCGUGUUUAAUUCUAGUAUUAUGUCUAAUAUCGCAUAUAUCUUUGUUAUUUUUAAUAUUAUUGUCACACUUGUAUUUGCGUCAAUAUAUUUCUAGCUCUGUCAUUUAUUUAUUUGCUUUGCAUGAGUUCGAAAAUCUUAUUCUUGUUUUCUAAUUAAUUUCAAUACAUGAGCCAACGUAUCGGUUUAAUACUAAGUCGUCGAUUUCAUCGCUAUGUUGGGUGAACAUCAAUCGACUCGUGUUAAAACGGUAUGCCCUUCUAAAAAACCAAAAAAACUAAAAUUUCUCGUCUUUUCAACUGGAUCACGACUAAAUCUUGCAUUGAACUCGAAUUUUUGAAAAUCAAGACAACACGUGUUUAUAAGAUACUAAUUUUGGGCGUCGCGAGGGUGCUAAUACCUUCCUCGCGCAUAACCGACUCCCGAACCCUGAUUUUUAUCUGGCUUUUGACGUAGACCUAAAUUUAGCCUUCAUCUUUGUUCGAGAAUAAAUUUUCUUUUCAAAAAGAUGUUUUAUUAGGUGUCCGAUCACACCUAAAAAAAAGAUCGGUGGCGACUCCCACUUUACUUCAAAAUUAAUCUUUAGUUUUCAACUUUUCAUUAAAUCGCCACAAUUAGCGACCGAAAGAAAAAAAAUUUUACGUCGCUAUAAUAAUUACACAUUAAAUUAAAAUUUAUAUAUAAUUUUAACAUUCAUCACUUAUUAAUAUUCCUAUUACAUGCCGUUGCAAGUACACAUAUCUAGAAGUAAUUAUAUGGAGAGUCAGAGAAGCCCUUAGACAAAGUUUCCAAAAGCACGCCACCAACCGUCAUGUAUAUUUUCUUAUUAGCCUAAUCAUGACCUAAAAAGUCGUCUAAAAAUUGUAAAUUUCCUUCUAAAAGAAUUUUUUUAAUAGGCUUCUGAAAAUUUUUCUAGUAAUGGAAUUUGCAUGCAACUUUCGAGUCGUUGACAAUUCUCUUCUUUAGCAUUUUUUGACCUAAAACAUAAAGUCAACUUUCUCAAGUAAUGAAUGUAAUACUAGCAUCAUUGACAUUAAGCUCCAGCGCCCCUUAAGCUCUACUUACUCUCUCCUAACAAAAAAUUCAAGUAACUUUUGUUGAAGGCCCAUUUCGCCCGGCCCUUAGAUUUAUUUACAACAAAAGAAUAAACCAAAUAUAAAAACCAAAUUAUAAAUUAUAAACUAGAAAUAAAAAUUAAAUUUGUUCACAGUCCAUAAAUACUAAAACCCAAACAUUAAUUGAAGCCCAAAUUUUAAAACCCACUCCACAAAUAAGACCAAGGCCUAAUCCUAGCCCCAAAUACAGAUUAUAGCCCCAAACCUAAAAACCCAAAUUUACACCAACUCAAGUACAAAUCUCUAACCCAACUGAAUAAACCCAAAACCCGACCUAGUUACUAAAAAACCUAAAAACAUUUCAGCAAACCCUAGCUAGACAGAGCCGCAAGACCUUUACGCGCGCCACCACGUGCAUCUCCUUACGGCCAUCUCCACGUCAGUCGAACCUGUGAGAAGAAAAGAGUAACAGAAUACAGCAAAGCAAUAGCAGAAAAAAUAAAGAAAAUUUGUAUUUAUAUUUUACCUUUAUUCGGCUAUAAAAGGAGGCCCAUUGUAUACUGUAAAAAGACUUACGAAUGCAAUAGACAUCAGUCAAAAUAGAAAAAUGAAAAAUAGUUUAUUCAAAGGUAUAUUUUCAUGAUUUUUCAGUCUAUACACCGAAUAUAAUAUACAUACAUAUAUAGUUAUAUAAAAAUACCUUUUAUUUUUACCUUUUUGGGCGAUCGGAAGAAAGGAAACUGAAUGGUUUUCUCGAUUUCUUUCAACGGUCGUGGGUUUUUUCGAGUGUUUGAGACUCAUAUCUGAGGUGGGGAAAGCAAAAGGAUUAAAAUGGGCCAUUUUUUGCACCUCCGGCUGCCGUGCACGGCUGUCACUGGUGACGGAUGGAUGGUGGUCCGAUCGUCGGAAAUGGAUUGCCCAGAGAGAAAUCCUCCCCCUCCCUUUUCUUUUUUUCAGAAAGUAUGAAGAAAUAAAGAUUUUAAAAAAAAUUGGGGUUUUAUAGCAUGUUCAAUACGGCGCCGUUUUGGAUCCGAACUUCAAUGGCCAAAAUGAUGCCGUGUUAUGCCAAACCCGAUGACCUGACCCAAACACCACCAAGAUCCGCGUGUUUUGGUCUCUAAGGGAUAUUUGCGCGAUGAGUCCCUCCUCUCUUGGGCUAAGCUUUAAUUAAGCCCCGAUUUGUUUUAUUUGUUUUUAUUCCCUAGAAUUUGUGCGCCAUUUCAACUUAGUCCGCGUUUAAACUCCGCGUUUUUGGAUUUGGGAUAUUUGCAUUUUUAAUCCUCGUUUGUUUGCGCACAUUGUAUUUUAGUCCCUAAUUCUGUUUUAAUAAUGUAUUUAUUUAUGGAUUACCCUUUUUAUUUUGUUUUUAUUUCAAUUGAAUUUUUUAGUUUAUGUUCGUACUCUUUGUAAUUAUUUUAUUUUUAUUUAAAAUUUUAUUAUUCAAUUUUUAAAAUUAUCUUAAAAUGGUUUUUUAAACUAUCUUAUUGACUCUAUAUUGUUUUAAUUUGUUAUUUCUUUCAUUUGUAUAUAUAUUUUAAAAUUGUUCUAUUAUAUAAAUUUUUUAUUUUAAAAUUCUCUUUUAUACAUAUCUCUUUGUUUUAAAAAUUUAUUUGAUAUUUAUUUUAAAUAAUUUUAUACAUUAUUAUGUUAUACAUUAUUUUUUUUGUAUAUAUUGUUGAUUUCGUAUUAUUUUAUGUAUAUAUUUUCUUUUAAAUCUAUUUAUGUUUAUAUAUUUUCUUUUAAGUCUGUAUAUAUAAUUUAUCUCUUUUAAGUAUAUUUGUUUAUUUAAAACAUUUAUAUAUAUAUGUAUAUUUAUAAUAAGUUUUUCAUUUCAUGUAUAUUAUUUAUUUAGAUAGAUUUAUAUUAUAUUUUGAUUUUCUUCUUACCUAAUAUUUAUCGCAAAAUUCAUUCAUGCAUUAUUUAUUUUUAUUUCUAUUUCUUAUUUUCUAUCUAUUUUAAACUUUCACAUAUUACUUGCUUUUAAAAUUUUUACAUGUAACACCCUCUGCCCGUAUCCAUUGCCGGAAUAGGAUAUGAGGCAUUACUGGAGUUUACUGAACAUUUUCAGAUAAUUCUGAGUCAUUUAUUAUUCAUAUUUUGAAAAUAAUCAUGACGUCUCUCUAUUGGGCCCUCGAAGCCCCAAACAUAUAUUAGAAACCAACCGGAAUUAAAUCGGGAUCAUAGAAAAAAAAUUUCGCAAAAUCUUAAAUUUUAUUUUCAUCUAAGUACUUACCAUUUCAAUGCUCCUUAUAAUUAAACAUGUUACCAUUCAAUCAAUAACUUGGCACUUGUCUAAGCGUCAAACAACAUCAUUGUUAGUAUACUUGCACAUGUUUCAUAUAAAUUCAACAUUAAUAUACUUAUUUUCUCGACAUGUCACACUUGAGUUUAAUAAUUGUCUUUACUUACAUAAUUUCCUUGUAUCAACAUAUUAAAGAUAAUCAUAUAUGUACAUGUCAUGAAACAUAUCAUUCUCUUACCGUUUCUUCAUAAGUAUAUAUCAAUCAUUUCAUUAUAUCAAUAUUUCAUGCUCCAUCAUUUCCAUAUAUUUUAUGUAUAUUUAUUCCGGUAAAGUUUAUAUCAAACUUAACAUAAAUUAUAUUCCAUGUACUUAUUCUUAUUUCGUUUAUCUAUCUUCAUAAUUAUUUUAUACAGCUAUUUUGUACAUAUAUUUCCAUAUGACCAGUUCUUGUAAACAUUUCGCACAACCAUUUCAUAUAACUAUUCGUCAUCUGAUACGUAUUUACCUGAAUAUCAAUGGUUCAAUAGAUGUCAUAACGUCUCCCAUCCACGGUCUUAUUUAUCUUUGACAUGAUGCCAUAGUGUAUUUCAACUAUGGUCUUACUCAUUUUCUGCCAUGUUGCCAUGGUAUCUUUCAACCAUGGUCUUAUUCUUUUCAUGUCACGUUGCCAUGGUAUCUUUCAACCAUGGUCUUAUUCAUUUUAUGUCACGCUGCCAUGGUAUCUUUCAACCCUGGUCUUAUUCAUUUCCUGUCAUGUUGCCAUGGUAUCUUUCAACCGUGGUCUUACACAUUGCAUAUCAUGCUGCCAUGGUAUCUUUCAACCAUGGUCUUACACAUUUCAUUUCAGAAAGCACACUCCCGCGAACCUCAUCCUUACAAUGGGAUUACUAGUCCAGGCUAAAUCCCCUGUAAUAUAAACUCAUAGAGUAUUGUCGGGAUUACCAGUCCAAACUAAAUCCCCUGCAACGACAAUUACUCUAAUGAGCUUGGAUCUAAAUUACCAGUCCAGGCUAAAUUCAGACCCUAAUUUGGAUUACCCGUCCAGGCUAAAUCCAUUUUACACGUAUUCUUUGAGAGGGCUAUAUUAGGAUAGGAUCACUCGUUCGGGCUAGAUCUUUUUUACCGUCAAUUCCUUUUCAUUCAACCAGGAUUUCUUCCCCUUUUUAUCAAAUAUAUCAAUGUUUCAUCAAUUUUCAUACAAGGGAUAUUUAAAUCAUAUUCACAUCAAUAACAUACAUUUCAAGUAUUUAAGAAUAUAAUUAAAGUUAUACGAACUUACCUGGCGAAAUUGCAGAAAUAUCAAGAUUCAGGAGCAUUUUGGCAAUUUACCAUUUUCCCAAUUUCCACCCGAUCUUAAAUUGAAAAUUUCAUUCAAUUUAUUAAUUUAGAUAAUAAAACAAUUCAUUCCCUUCAAUUUGGUCAUUUUUGACAUUUUUACAAAAUUGCCCCUGAAGUUUUACUUUUAUUCAAUUUAGUCCUUAAACCUAAAACAUGCAAAUUAGUCAUGCUAGCUGAAUAUUCAUUUAUAUUUUCCUCGUCCUCCUCUCCAUUCCACAUCCUUAAUGUAUAUAACACACUUGUAAGUAACAUUAUCUAUAUUUUUCAUUAUUUACUUUUAUGAAUAUUCAAGCUGUCCAUCUGUAUCAUAGUCACUAAAUUAUUCAUAUCUGGAGCUAUAGAACUCCAAAUUAAGAUCCACUAAUUUUUUCUGAAACUAGACUCAUAUAUCUUCUUACCAUAAAAUUUUCAAAAUUUUUGGUUUAGCCAAUAAGUACAGUUUAUUCUUUAAAGUUACCCCUAUUCUAUUGUCUGACAGUUCUGACCCUUCUUCACUAAAAAUUAAUUAUCUCCUCCUACAGAAUUUGAAUGAUGUUUUUGUUUGUUUCUCUUGAAAAUAUACUUAUUCAAGAUUCUAAACAUAUAAAUUUAAGCCCAUAAUUAUUUUUCUCUAAUUUUUUAUGAUUUUUCAAAGUCAGAACAGGGGAACCCAAAAUCAUUCUGACCUUGUCUCACAAAAUUUAUUAUAUCUCAUGAUUUACAAUUCCAUUGCUUACAUAAUUUAUUCCAUAAGAAACUAAACUCAAUAAGAUUUAAUUUAAUAUUUUAGUCAUCCUAUAAUUCGAUUUAUACAAUUUUUUGUGAUUUUUCAAAAUUAGACUACUGCUACUGUCCAAAACUAUUUUAGUGCAAGAUAUUGUUUACCAUGUUUAUAACACCCUUAUUUUCUUUCUCUACACUAUUUCUCUUCACUUUCUCUUGUUUUCUCUUCAUUAACAUAUCAAGAACAUAGGACCAUAUGUAAGGAAACUCUACAUUAACAUUAAUCCCAUGCUUUUUCAAUAAUAUCAAACUUAAAAAUAUAUUGAAAUCAUGAUGUUCUUACCUUGUUCUAUUGAUUUCAAUCUUCAUCUUUAUUUUCUUUCUCCUUCAGCUUUCAUUUCUUGAAUCCAACUUGAUAUUCUAUGUAACACCCCAAACCCGGCCCAGACGUUAUGACCAGAUCCGACAUGCCACAUCGAAGCGUUCAAAACAUUUUAUAUUGUUGAUCCAGAAAAACUUACUUAGUGUUUUAAAAGAUAAUUUCAUUAUAGGUUAAAAUGAAUGGAAGCUGUGCACCAGGUAGGAAACCGGAAAAGAGGUGGUGAGUCCAUCGGACUGCUUAAGUACCAAGCUCCCUUCGGAUCCAAUCCUAGACAUGCAUACCGCCAUUGCCACACCUUAACGUCAUGGAUAUUUCUAGGAAACCGAUUUGAUUAAGUCAUUUUUAGGAAAAGUGAUUAAUCUUGUAAAAUACUUUCAUUGCGGAAGCUUUGCUUAUUGUCGUGUUAUUUUGAAAUCAAUUGUUGUUUUUGAAAAUGCGCUCUAAUGCUAUCCAAUUUCAACAGUUAAAUAUAAGUAAUACCUAUCUUAGUAAUACAUAUUAAAACCAUCAAAAAUAAUUAAGCGGCCUUAUUACAUUUAAAAACCCAAACCUCAACGUAAAUAAUAGGAUGUCCAGUUCACCAGAAGAAAACCAAACUUUCAGAACGGGUGGCCACUCCGAAUUCCCUCACAACUCCAAGCCCACUAUGAUUGGGGAUUUCCUGCGUAGAUGAAAAUAAAAGGGGUGAGUUUGGGGAAACUCAGUGUGUAAGGAAAACCCAUUCAAAGCCCAAGUCAGCUCAAGCCUAUUGGGCCUAAGCCCAUUUAGGUAACAGUGGUACUGGACCAGAGCCCUUUUCAGAUUAUAAUAAACUGGGCCUUAGCCCCUUAUUCAGAUAACAGUAUGGCCCAUAAGCCCAUUUCAAAAUACAUGCAACAUCAAUAAACAUAUGCAAGCCCAUUUUGGGAGACUACUCAACCCACCAACCACUACACUCCACCCGUACCAGCCAUACACUCCAUGUGGGGAAUAGCUCAAUCCACCCAGCCCAACACUCCACAGUUGCAGCCUUGCUGCUCAGUUAACAGUAAUUGAGGCAAAGCCUCCAGUACGUGGAUAAGCCACUUUCAGUACUUCCUCCGUCAAUAUCCCAAUCCCAUGCAUCAGAUAAUAACAACAUGGCAUGCAGUAAAUAACAACAGUGAAACAUGCAUUUAGGUCAAUUUAACCCUAGGGGUAUUUCGGUAAUUUAUCUACUAGGGGUAAAACUGUAAAUUUUCCACUUUUAAAGGUAUUUCAGUAAUUUAUCUAUUUUAGGGUUUUUCAUGCAUAUUCUUACUUUUCACGUACUAACAGAAUCACGUACCGAGGGUUCUUACCGAAUUCGGCCCGUUGGCCCAUCAUUCCAAUUUUGGCCCAUUAAGCCCAAAAAUAUCGAGGGCACAGAAAUCAUGCACUUUGCAGUCCAAAUUUUGCAGCUUACCAAAAACAUUAAUCGAUUUACCUCACGAGCAUUCGCACACUCGCAAAUCUAAAAAAAAUACCGGUUUUCGGCAUUUCGGCUUUUCGACUUUUACCGAUCCAGACUAAGAAAAAGGGUGUUAGUUACACACCUGUUUGCGACGAUAUGCUGACGAGAUCCACAGACGAACUGCCUACAAUUGGAUUACUAACACAUUAAUCUAACUAUUCAAAUACGAACUACGUAUUAAUCCCUUACAAUAUUCGGCCAACCACACCUACAGAUCAUAGUAAGCUUAUAAGAAAUCAAUAAGCAACUCAUUAACAAAUUUUUGUCAAUGUUUACCACAUAAUCAUAAUCUCACUGCAAGCUGUCUUCCUGAACAACAGUCACUAAAUCAUUUAUAACUGGAGCUACGAAACUCCAAAUCAAGUGCCGUUAAUUUUACCUGAAAAUAGACUCAUAUAUCUUCUAUCCAUAAAAUUUUCAGAAUUUUUGGUUUAGCCAAUCAAUACCAGAUUUUUCUUAAAGUUUCCCAUGUUUCACUGUUUGACUAAUCUGACCACUCUUCAUUACGAAUCAAAUUUCUCAUUGUACAGAAUUCAAAAUAUGUUCUCGUUUAUUUCAUUUGAAACUAGACUCAACAAGAUUUAAUUACAUAAUUUAUUCAGCUUCUAAUUCAUCUCCCACAAUUUAUGGUGAUUUUACAAAGUCAAAUUACUGCUGCUGUCCCAAGCAGAUUUAUUACCAAAUCACUCUUUCACCACUAACUUGCAUGCUUGUUAUUUAAACAUGUAUAUCACCAAUCAAUCAUCACAUAUCUAUGAUUUUACUUAAGUAUAAUCUCCAUUUCAUCAUUUUAAAGCACAACAUGUUAGCCGAUUUUUCCCCUUAGCAUCUAAGGCACAUGCAUGCUCAUUUGUUUGGCUCAACUUCACCUAUCUUCCAUUUUUCAUCAAAAGAACACGAAACAACAACCAUUUCCUUCAUUUUAAUUCAUGACUAAAUGCUCACAACACAACUAAAAACCAAAAUAUGUUUCAAGAGUUAAGGUAGAAUCAAGAAGAACUCAUGAACAUCAAGAUAGAAGCAAACUACCAUGAACUUACCUUCAAUUUUCUUCCCCAAGUGACCGAACAUUCAAGAGCUUUCUCCUCUCCUUUCUCUUCUCUAACUUUCGGCUAUGAUGAACAAAGAUGGACAAAACUUUGUUCUUUUCACCCCUUUUUCUUUUAAUAAAAUUUCAUAUUUCAUCCAUUUAAUUCUUUAAUACAAAAGACAUGAAAUGCCCAUCAUGGAACAUUUACCUAAACCAUUAUCAUGGAACAUUUACCUAACCCAUUAUCAUGGAAUAUUUACCUAAUCCAUUAUCAUGGAACAUUUACCUAACCCAUUAUCAAUUUGUACCAUGAAUUAUGGAUAUUAAGUGCUCAUAUUGUCUACAACAACAUGAUGGCUGGCCACUUCAUGUAAAAUGGGAGGUUUGACAUGCAAAUCCUCCUAUUUUGCGCUACUAUUUAUUUGGCCACUACAAAUUAGCCUAUAGCAUUUUCAAACAUUUUCACAUAGGUCCUAUUUCAUAAUUUCACUCACAAAUGACAAAAUCAAAGCAUGAAAUUUUGCCAACAUUCACAGAAUUCCCGAAAAUUAGGGCGUUACAACUCUACCCCCCUUAAAGAAAUUUCGGCCUCAAAAUUUACCUGAUCCAAAUAGUUGAGGGUAUUGUUGACGCAUAGUCUCUUCUGAUUCCCAAGUAGCUUCUUCCCUUCCAUGAUUACACCAAAGCACUUUCACUAACGGGACAGAUUUCCUUCGGAGAACCUUAACAUCUCGAGCCAAUAUUUGCACAGGCUCCUCCUCAAAGGUCAAAUCAGGCUGAACUUCAAUUUCCGCAACUGGCAGGACAUGAGCAGGGUCAGAACGAUAACGCCUUAACAUGGAGACGUGAAAAACAUCAUGAAUCCUGCCUAACUCUGGAGGCAAUUCCAACUGAUAAGCCACUGGGCCUACUCGCUUCAAAACCCGAUAAGGCCCAAUAAACCGCGGGCUCAACUUGCCCUUCUUACCAAACCUUAAUAUCUUCUUCCAAGGAGAAACCUUUAAGAAGACCAUAUCACCUACUGAGUACCCAAUCUCCUUACGCUUCAAAUCUGCAUACGACUUUUGCCUAUCAGAUGCUUCUUUUAACCGAUCCCUAAUUAUUCUGACCUUAUCCUCAGUAUCAGCUACCAACUCUGGUCCAAGAACUUGUCGCUCUCCUAGUUCGGUCCAACAACUAGGUGUACGACACCUUCGUCCAUACAGUGCUUCAUACGGUGCCAUUCGAAUACUCGCCUGGUAACGUUAUUGUACGCAAAUUCUGCCAAUGGCAAGUAAUCCUCCCAACUACCUCGAAAGUCAAUCACGCAUCCCCUCAACAUGUCCUCUAGAAUUUGAAUAACCCUUUCCGAUUGACCAUCAGUCUGGGGAUGGAAAGCCGUACUAAAAUUCAAUUGCAUCCCCAACGCUUCAUGCAACCUUUACCAAAACCGAGAUGUAAAUCUGGGAUCCCGAUUAGAAAUAAUUGAAACUGGAACUCCAUGAAGUUGCACAAUCUCCGCCACAUACAACUCGGCUAACUUUUGAAGUGAAAAGUCAGUACGAACAGGUAUGAAAUGGGUUGAUUUGGUCAACCUAUCCACAAUCACCCACACUGAGUCUUUCUUUGAUGGUGUUAAGGGCAGCCUACUCACAAAGUCCAUGGUUACCCUCUCCCACUUCCAAAGUGGUAUCUUCACUGACUGUAACAGUCCAGAGGGUAAUUGAUGCUCAGCUUUCACUUGCUGGCAUGUCAGACAUUUCCCUACAAAACUCCGUUACUUCUCGUUUAAGUCUAGGCCACCAGUACAAUUCUCGUAAGUCAUGAUACAACUUGUUCCCUCUAGGGUGCAUGACACAUAGUCCCCCAUGAGCUUCCUUCAAUAGUCUGCCUUAAAUCAGAGUCCUUCGGAACACAAAUUCUUCCUCGGAAACACAGAACUCCUUUGCCGUUUAACCCAAACUCAAAAGUUUCCCCUUCCUUAACUUAUUGAAAACGAGCAACCAAAGACUCAUAUUCCAAUUGCUUUUCCUUAAUCUGGUCCACCCAGGUUGGCCUUACUUGCAAUUUAGCCAACAAACUGCCAUCAUCAUACAGACUCAAACGAGCAAACAUUACUUUUAGAUCAGAUACGGUUCUACGACUUAAAGCAUCGGCUACCACAUUAGCCUUGCCUGGAUGAUACUCGAUCGAACAGUCAUAAUCCUUAAGCAACUCAAUCCAUCUCCUUUGCUUAAGGUUCAGCUCCUUCUGAGUCAGCAAAUACUUAAGACCCUUGUGGUCUGUGUAUAUAAUACACCUCUCCCCGUACAAGUAAUGUCUCCAAAUCUUAAGUGCAAAUAUCACUCCCGCCAACUCCAAAUCAUGAGUAAGAUAGUUCCCUUCGUGAGGUUUAAGCUGUUGUGAUGCAUAUGCAACCACCUUACCCUCUUGCAUUAACACACAACCCAAACCCAUGUGUGAUGCGUCACUGUACACAGUAAAAUCUUUCCCAGACUCUGGCUGAGUUAACACAGGUGCUUCAGUCAGAACUUUCUUCAACUUCUCAAAAGCUUCUUGCUGCUUCUUAGUCUAUACAAACGAUUCUCCUUUCCUUAUGAGUUUUGUCAGGGGUGCUGCCAUAAUAGAAAAACCUUCCACAAACCUUCUGUAGUAUCCUGCCAGUCCUAGGAAACUCCGUAUUUCAGACACUGACCUAGGCGGCUUCCACUCCAAAAUCGCUUCAAUUUUUUGAGGGUCCACCUUAAUCCCCUCAGCAGAGACCACAUGCCCUAAGAAGGUUACCUCCCUCAACCAAAAUUCACACUUGCUGAGCUUCGCAAAGAGUUCCUUCUUCCUUAACACUUGCAGUACUAUACGGAGAUGCUCAUCAUGUUUCACUUCAGUUUCAGAAUAUACCAAGAUAUCGUUAAUAAAGACAACUACGAACUAAUCAAAAAAUGGUUGGAACACACGAUUCAUCAGAUCCAUAAAUGCUGCAGGAGCGUUCGUCAGUCUAAAUGGCAUAACCAGAAACUCGUAAUGACCAUACCGAGUCCUGAAUGUCGUCUGAUGGAUAUCUGCCUCAUUGACUCUUAACUGAUGAUAUCCAGAUGGAAGGUCGAUCUUGGAAAAUAUAGAAGCUCCUCUAAGUUGGUCAAACAGAUCGUCAAUCCUUGGCAGUGGAUACUUAUUCUUAAUUGUCAGUUUGUUCAACUGGCGAUAAUCAAUGCACAUCCGCAUUGUACCAUCCUUUUUCUUCACGAAUAGCACCGGUGCUCCCCAUGGAGACACGUUUGGCCUAAUGAAGCCCAUAUCCAACAACUCCUGAAUUUGAGCCUUUAACUCCACUAACUCCUUCGGUGCCAUCCUAUACGGUGCGAUGGACAUAGGCUCCGUUCCAGGCAACAAAUCUAUUCCAAACUCAACUUCUCGGUUCGGAGGCAAUCCUGAAAGCUCCUCCAGAAAAGCAUUUUGGAACUCCUUUACGGUUCUAACCUUAUCCACUGUCAGUCCCCCCUCUUCCGACUGACUUACAAAUGCCAAAUAGGCCUCACAACCUUUCCGAAUCCACUUCUCGGCUCUUAAUGCCGACACCACAUUGGACAAAUAAUCCCUUUGCUCACCUAUCACCAUAACCUCCUCAUCCUUUGUGGUCCUUAACACCAUUCGUUUAGCAGCACAAUCCAGAGUCACUUUAUGCUUAACAAGCCAGUCUAUUCCCAAAAUAAGAUCAAACUCUCCGAAUGGUAACUCCAUUAGAUCUCUAGGGAAAAUCCUACCUUGAGUUUCUAAGGGUACAUCCUUAUAUAGUUUGUCUACCCUAACUGAGUGACCCAAAAGACUUAGUACAGAUACCCCACUCACAAUUUCCUCAGAGCAGUCCAAGUCAUCCAUAAUCCGUUCUGUGGCCUCCAACCAAUAUUCUGCCACAUUCGGGGCUAUACCAGACACACCCCUAAAGAUCUCCGCUCCGUUAGCUUGAAGUCGUUCAGAAAUAGAUCCCCGAACUCUAUUACCCGUACUUGCCCCGGCAACCCUUUCUAGAACACGAAGCAUUGCCUAUGACAGGGCAUCAUCCUUGGCACCGCGGUCAUGAGACUCUACCUCUAUUGCCGGUGGUACCGGUGCAUCCACCGCCGGCAUAUGUCUCUAAGAUGAAGAUCUCGCUCGAGCACUUCCUCGGCUCCGUCCACGGCCUCUUGUACUCGUAUCGUAUUAUCUUGAUUACGAAUUUUUAUGCAUCAAUUAAUAUUCCAGUGUUUAUUAUAGAUGUUUUAUGAAUUAGAUAGUAGUUCAGAGUUUGUUUUCGCAGAAUCGAAGUCUAACUACAGUUUCAGUCUCUUAUCAGAUUUUCUUAUGGUUUCAGUAUCAUCCUAUCUAGAGUAUCCUAAUAGGGUUUCAGUACAGACAGAUAAUUCAAGAAAAUAUUCAGAAAAGUUUAGAGUAAUACUUACAGGCUUGGGCCGGAGAUUCGGAAUGCCAUUUUCUAAAUAUCUAAAUUUUGAAAAUCGCAUUUUUCGCAAUCUUUAUAAAAUUUUUUUGUUUUUGAAAACCUUUGUUUUUUUUUGUAAACCCAUUCCACAGCCGAGUUGUUGCAACCUAGGUUCUGAUACCACUAAAUGUAAUACCCCAAACCCGGCCCAGACAUUAUGACCAGAUCCGAUAUGCCACAUCGAAGCGUUCAAAAUAUUUUAUAUUGUUGAUCCAGAAAAACUUACUUAGUGUUUUAAAAGAUAAUUUCAUUAUAGGUUAAAAUGAAUGGAAGCUGUGCACCAGGUAGGAAACCGAAAAAGAGGUGGUGAGUCCAUCGGACUGCUUAAGUACCAAACUCCCUUCGAAUCCAAUCCUAGACAUGCAUACCGCCAUUGCCACACCUUAACGUCAUGGAUAUUUCUAGGAAACCGAUUUGGUUAAGUCAUUUUUAGGAAAAGUGAUUAAUCUUUUAAAAUACUUUCAUUGCGGAAGCUUUGCUUGUUUUCGUGUUAUUUUGAAAUCAAUUGUUGUUUUUGAAAACGCGCUCUAAAGCUAUCCAAUUUCAACAGUUAAAUAUAAGUAAUACCUAUCUUAGCAAUACAUAUUAAAACCAUCAAAAAUAAUUAAGCGGCCUUAUUACAUUUAAAAACCCAAACCUCAACGUAAAUAAUAGGAUGUCCAGUUCACCAGAAGAAAACCAAACUUUCAGAACGGAUGGCCACUCCGAAUUCCUUCACAGCUCCAAGCCCACUAUGAUUAGGGAUUUCCUGCGUAGAUGAAAAUAAAAGGGGUGAGUUUGGGGAAACUCAGUGUGUAAGGAAAACCCAUUCAAAGCCCAAGUUAGCUCAAGCCUAUUGGGCCUAAGCCCAUUCAGGUAACAGUGGUACUGGACCAGAGCCCUUUUCAGAUUAUAAUAAACUGGGCCUUAGCCCCUUAUUCAGAUAACAGUAUGGCCCAUAAGCCCAUUUCAAAAUACAUGCAACAUCAAUAAACAUAUGCAAAAAAGGGACUAAUAGGGAAAUUAUACCCUAUCAUCAAAACGGUGUCAUUCCCCUGUACUACCUUCAAAAGGUCAAAGGACUAAAUCGAAUCCAAAUAAAACAAAAGAGUCCAAAUUAAAAAAAAUAAAAGAAUGGGAUUGAAUCACAGUAGGAAUAAGGAGGGACUAAGAGCACAAAUUUCCCAUUAAUGGGAAGCACGCGGAUCCUCCCCGGGUCGGGUCACGUGCGCGUGGGUAAUGCCAAAUAGGUGUACACGGUGUCAUUUUUACUCCUUUAAAAGGACUAAAAUCAACCAAAUUCGCUCGAUCCUCCUUACCCCCCUUUUCUUCUCAUUUGAGAAACCCUAGAUCCCUUCUCAUCCAUCGAUUCCCAUCCCCCAAACAAUCACCUGCACAUCAUGCCUAGAGGACGAGAUUUUUAGCCUCAAGGUCUCCCCCUGACUUCGAUUUCAACAAAGUAGAGGGUGACCCAUGGCGCAUUUACCAGGUAAGCCCCUUUUCCCCUUUUCUUUUUCUUAUUUUCUUUCGCAUAUAUGAACCACAAAUCCAGAAAAAAUGAAAACUAAAGGAACUAAAGCAUUUAGAGAUCUUUUUCGGAAAUCACCUUCUGUAUUUUAAUACUCAUAGUGUGCGCGUAAAAAACUUACAAGUGAUUCUCUUUAGGCUUUAUAGUUGAGAGAAGAAAAAAUAAAAAUAAAAAAAUACAAUUUUUUGCUAUUUUCUUGCGUCUAUUGUUUUCUUGCGUUUGGUGUGCAGGUACGGGUGCUGUGCUGACGUACGGAGGCACAGGCGUGGCUGCUAGAGGGUAUGGAGGCUGGGGCUGCUGUCCAGUUGUGGCACAUCUACUGCUAGGGUUAAGGUUUGCCAAAAUUUGGUUUAUUAUUUGGGCCGUUUGGGCUCAUUCUGCGUAUUGGGCUUUAAUUGGUUAUUGGGUUGUUUUGUACUAAAGACUUGGACUGUAGACUAUUGAUUUGGUUUAAUUAUUUAUUUAUUUGUUGUAUUUUAUCUUGGGUUUCUAGUGGGCCCGGGAAAAUUGGCCCGUUUACACAUAUGUAUGAAAGUUUUUAAUUUAGAAGAAAUUUUAUGGCUGAUUUUUACAUGAUUGAUGGUAUUAAGUUCGGUAAUGCCUUGUACCCUGUUCUAGGCUCGGAAUACGGGUAGGGGGUUACACAUAGAGUUGAGAUUGCAGUUAAAUUGCCCUAAAAUCAGAACUUGGCGAGUUAGGGCCAUACGCCCGUGUGCUCCGGCCGCGUGGGGGUCCAAAUGCCCGUGUGAAGGGUUGCACACAACCGUGUAACAGAGGUACACACCCGUGUGAAGCAGGGACAUGGCCGCGUGAACAGGCCAUGUAACUCUCUGUCCAAAAUCACUAAAAUAAAGUGUAGGGAGGACACGACCGUCUAGCUAGGCUGUGUGACACCAAAACUCAAAUCCCUAAUUCCCAAACUCACACGCCUAUGUGCCUAAGGAACACAGCCGUGUGAACUCCGACAAAAUCCCCAAAUUGGCCACACGACCUUGUGGCAUCCAAAAUUGACCGAAAACCCUAAUUCCCAAAUCCACAAGGCCGUGUGCUAGCCCGAAACCACUAUCUAAGCCACCGGAAUCAUCCCUAAUCUUUGCCCUAUCAAAAAUAUAUCAGAAAGUAGCAGUUCCUCCUCACUUCCAAUGUUUGGAACCCAAGAUCUUCGGGUUAACACAAAAACAAAAAUAUGUCGAAAUAGAAAUUUUGCAAAAACGAUAAUGUAAAGACAAGGUUUCUAAUCCCACACCUAUUUUGACAACGAAGAAGACGACAGAGGCGCGACAAUCCAGAAUUUGUAGGCAAAACGCUUCCAAAGCACUCACAACAACUCCCCAAAAAGAAAAAGAACAGGAGAAGACAAAACAAAAAGAAAAGCAAAGGAACGUCCAAACUAAAAAUAAAAAUAUAGUAACUAAUAUUUAAUAACUGAAAACAACCAAAAUAAAUAAAAUAAAAUAAAUAAAACAAAGACUCCCCAAAAAUGCACCUUCUACAUCUCAAACCCGGAUCCUCAAGGUAUGCUAACACUCACUUAACCACCAGACCAGUAGGUCCAUUCUUGUUUCUAAAGGGUACAACUAGUCAUUUACGUGCGACCUCCUCAUUGCCCCUAUGCUCGAUCUCUAAACUUCUGGGCCCAAAAUUCGGGGCGUUAUACGCAUAUAAUAAGAUUUCUAGUAUAGAUAACAUGGUUGAUUGAGUUAAUGUCACGGAUCAACUCCAUAUUGUAUCUUUUCAAAGAAAAAAUAUUUUUAAUACUGAAUUUUCCUUUCUCCAAUAUGAUAACAUUUUGAUAACAUAUUAACACAAUAGCAUUUUAAGUGCUAUAGAAAAAUAACAAUACCAAUGAUAAGCAAUUGGAGUGCAUUUGAUAUUCUUAAUAUGAUGUAUUUAUCUAUUUAAUUUUUUUUACUUACAAUUUAAAUUAAUUUUUCAUUUUAAUUUUGUGCAUUUUGCAUAUGUAUUGUUAUUAUUAGUUUCAAAUCAUAUAUUUUAUUAUUUAUUUUAUAUUGUUUUGAAACACACACUUAUAUAUCAAAUAUGCAAUUUCUACCCUCAUAAAAUUUUUAGUAUUUAUAAACAAAAGAUGAUAAAUAAUUCAUAUUUGCAUAUAGGUGAAUUUCAGCACGUGUUGGCUUUGACUGUUAAGUUUAUUGGGAUAUGAGAUCUUCUUAACAUGGUUCAUACUUAUAAGUAAGAUGUAAUUGAAGUCCCGUGAAUGAGUUGCAGGCAGAAGUUACCAGGAGCUUGAUUUUUGGCUAACGCCUUUCGAAAUACUAUAAGCUGCCACAACAACAGAGGCACCAACCAUAGCAAAGGGACCAGUAUCAAUAACUCCUUCAAUAUGGCCUUCAAUCUGGUAACUGUCGGCAGAGCCUGUUUUGCAACACACAGCGAAGUGCUCACAGUUGUUAGUAAACAUGUCGUAGGGGCCAAACCCAUUCCGUUCAAGGAAAUCAGUUGCGGCGCUAAUAACUAAAUGGGGAGGCCUGGAAUAGCGUGGGCAACAAGUACCACGUUUUCUUUUAGAGAAUUCUGGAUAGGUAACUCCAUACUCAUAGAUCUGGAGCGUGUCACCAUCAAGGAAACAAUCUAUGCAUACUUUUGCUAUUUCACCAUUUACGACUCGCUUGUCUCCACAUUUAUGGCAUGUAGGUAGCUCCCCAAGUUUCUUGGCUGCUCCCUGGAGAUGAAUCACCAUGUCGUCCCCCACAUAUAUUCCUGCAGUGCUCAAUCAGAAACACCCAAUGUUUAUGUGUGUGUAUACAUGUUAUGAUCUUCUGGGUAUAUGGAUAAAAAAUUGAAAAGAAAUAGAAGCAAACCAUGGUGAUCAUAGAGACCUCCCUUUCUUUCACAGUAGAUGUGAUCCCCUGGUUGAGGAAACCUUGGUAUGCUUGGUUUGCUUGGUUUGCUUUGUGGCUGUCCCAUUUUUUAUUUCUAGUUAAAAUCUUUUGUUUUAAGUUGUGUUUUUAGCAAAAAACUAAGACAAAUUUAUAGUAGAUGUGAUUAGAAGAAGCGAUAAAAAAUCGAGAAUCAAAUGUAAUAAAGAGAAAACAUAUAAUUAUGCUUUGAAAGUUUUGGAAAGGAGGUUCUGAUGCUUGCUAGACAAUAUUGUUCAAAGGAAUCAAACGUUCCUUCAAUGGUGCCAGUUUACAUACCAAUGUAAAUGCUUGACAUGAUUUUAGUUGCAUUAAAGCCCCUACUGCCUAUAACCUUUAGCUCUAAUUUUACGGAUAGAUUUGAAAUAUAUUUAAAUUAUUUGGAAAAUAUAGUUGUUUCAUCAUAAAUAAUGUUUUUUCGAGAAAAAAUUUAGUGGAAAGUGAUCUAGAUUUUUUGUAUAAGUGUAAGUUUGGUAUAUAGUGAGUUGUAGGAUUUAAAUCCGUCAGGAUCUAGUGCCUUUAAUAUAGUGAUUUUGAUUAUAUGUACUUGUAAUUUUUCAAAAAAAAUUAGUUUAAUAAAAUAUUCAUCAGUAUCAUUAAUAUAUUCAUAUAUUGUCUUCAAUAGUUUUUACAUGUAAAGAAAAAUGAAAACAAAUAUUAGUUUACUAAUUAUCUAAAGUUUAACUAAUAUCAAGCGGUAUUAUGUGGUCAGAUCGUAAUAAGGAAAGACAACUUAUAUUAGUAGAUAAUCCAAACAUAUUAUUAGUCUAAUCGAAAUUGAACGAAUCGAUUGAAAAACUAAUAUGUCGUCUAUCAAAUCCAUUUGGAGAGAUACCUUGUCUUGCUAUUGAAGCAGAUGACUCUUAGAAGAUAGAGACAUAAAUGUAACUCACUUGAUUAAUAGUAUAUUGGACAGAAUCCAAGUAAAAUAGAUCUUAAAUCUGUUUAUGAAUAGUGGAGAAGGUCGUUCAAUAGAAAGCUGAGAUCGACUUAACCACCUUGUACAAAGCUCAUAUAUAAUUUCAAUUAAAGUUUAAUGCUAUAAAUAUCAUAAGACUCGAUUUUAAAGAAAAUUUUUAAACUACUGUUUUGUCUAAAAAUAUUGUUUUUUGAACCGAUUUUUUUAACAAAAUCAUCACUUGUACAUGGUUGAAAUCGGACUGUGUAACCAAUCUUUUUGUGUUGUUGUUCUUCACUUGCUAGUCUCCUUAGUUAUAACUACUAGUAUGACUACUCAAAUAUCAAUACAAAAAUCACAUGUUUCUUUUAUUUGUUAUCAGAGCGAGACUUGACGUAGCAAGUGGUGAUUUUGAUAUUAAUUUUUACUCACUAUGAAAGGUUCUUCUGUCUUUCAACACGUCAAUUGGUGACUUUUAUAUUAAUUUUUACUCACUAUGAAAGGUUCUUUUGUCUUUCAACCCCAUGUUGGAUGGAUCCAAUUAGGCAUAUUAAAAGGCAAGGAUGAAAACAUUUAUAAAACUCAGAGUGCAAUUCUCAUUGGAAGGGAACCUCUUGCAAGUUGCAACCAAUUUCAAGGCUUUAAAUGCCAUUUUGUGGAAGAAAAAAGUGAUAUUCUUGAAACAAUUGAAGCUAUAAUGUUAAUCAUUGUAGCGACGUGAAAAUUUUUAACUUGGUCGCUAAUUGUGGCGAUUUAGUGAAAACUUGAAAACUGAAAUUUGAUUUGAAAUAAAUAAAAAGAGAGUCACCAUCGAUCCUUUUAUAGGUGUGAUCGGACACCUAAUGAAUUUAUUUUUAAAACAAAAAGAAGGCCGAGUUUAGGUCUACGUCAAAAUUCAGAGAAAAAAUUAGGGUUCGGGAGUCGGUUACGCACGAGGAAGGUAUUAGCAUCCUCGCGACGCCCAAAAUUGGUAUCUUAUAAAACACGUGUUGUCUUGAUUUUCAAAAAUACAAGUUCAAUGUAACAUUUAGUCGUGAUCCGAUUGAAAAGACGAGAAAUUUUAGUUUUUUCGAUUUUUCAGAAGAGUGUUCCGUCUUUAAUACGGGCCGACAAAUUCCAUCCAACAUAGCGAUGAAAUCUACGGCUUAAUGUUAAAUCGAUACAUUGCCUUACUUAUUAAAAAACAAGAAUAAGAUUUUUUGAAAUAAUGCAAAGCAAAUUAAUAAAUAAAAAUAAAUAGAAGACAGAUCUAGAAGUAUAUUGAAGCAAAUAUAAGUGUGACAAUAAUAUUACAAACAAUAAAGAUGUAUGCGAUAUUAGACGUAAUACGAGAAUUAAACAUGAAAUGGAAAUGGUGAAUGUACAUGUAUACGCGUAUAAUAAUGAUAUUAAGAGUAUGUACGUAAUAUAUAUAUAUAAAUAGUAAUAGUGUCAGAAAUAUACUAUAUAUAGUAUUUGAAAUCUAUACAUAAAAUAGUAAAAAUAUAUAUAUAACUUGUAUUGUUAAAAUAUAUACAUAAUAUAUACAUAUAUAUGUAUAAAAUGAAUAUUGAAAAAUGUAUGUACAUGACAUAUAUGAAAAAUACAUUAAAAUAAAAUUAAAAUAAGUGAUGAUGGUGAAAAUAAUAGGUAGAAUAAUAAAUAUACGAAAAUAAUACUAUAUAUAAGCUAUGUAUACAAGAAUAAUAAAAUAUGUGUACUAAUAUUAAUAAUAAAUAUAGUAGGAAUAAAAUAAAUGUAAUAAUAAUAUUAAAAACAUAAAAAUACCAAUUUCACAUAAAGAUAUACCUAUAUAUAUAUUAAAGAUAUAUACAUAUGUAAUAAAAUAUAUAAAUAACAUGAUAUUAAAAAAAUAUAUACGCAAUAUGUCUGAUAAAAAUAAUAAUAUACAUAAUAUAUAAAAAAUACAAAUAAUAUAUACAUAUACUAAAAAUGAUAAUAAUAAAAAAUAAAUAUUAACACACUACGUAAGUACGCACAUGCAUAUCUAUGUACCAAUAAUAUUAAUAAAUAAUAGAUAAUAAUAAAAUAAUAAUAACGAUAAUAGUAAAAAUACAAAAGAAAGUAUGACAUAAUAAUAAAGUAAGGAAAAUGAAUAAUAAUAUAUUAAAUAUAAUAGUAAAUAUAAUGAUGGUAAAAAUACCAUAUCUAAAGAGUAUAUAUAUUCAUACAUAAUAAUAAUAUAUACUAAUAUUUAUAAAUAAUAAGAGUAAAUAUAAUAAUAAUAUUAAGUAUGGUAUAAUAUAACAAUGAUAAUAAUAAUAAAUAACAAUGAUAUAAUAAUAAUCUAGUGAAAUUAAUAUUACAAAUGCUAUUUAAGAACAAAAACAAAAAAAGGGACGAAAUUGAGGUCAGAACAGAAUUCUUGGGGUGAAAUUGGAAACAAAAUAGGGAAAUCGGGCCAAAGCACAACGCGUGCGUGACCUAAAGGGACCAAAAGCGCAAUAUUCCCAACUGUUAAAACGCUGCGCUUAGCCAAUGACUAAAUUGAAAAGCUUGACAAAAUCCAGGGCCGAAUUAGAAGCAAGAAUAACUUGAUUGUAAAUGCAUGAAAAAGCGGAAGGGCCAAAUGCGCAAAUUGCCCUUCCACUCAAAAACACGCGGAUCCUGGCCUGGAGCGGGUCUGGUCGACCUGACUCGGGGCCAAAACGGCGUCGUUUUUGGUUUAAACGGGGGCGUUUUGGUCCCCUAUAAAAGUUAAAUUUUUUUUUAAAAAAAUUCAUUUGAAAGGGGAGAAAGAAAAAAAAGGAGAGAAAAGGGAGAGGAGAAGGGAAUCCGGCCAGGGGACCGGUCACCGGCCGAUCGUCAGCCGCCGUCCGUCGUCGACGCCGGCCAUCGUACACGGUGGACGGAAAGGUAAACCUUGAAGUUGCAGUGGAGUAGAUCGAAGACGGUGAAUCCUGUCUUCCUGAAGUUGCAGUGAAGCAGAUUUAAGCCACCAUCCUAUCUCCCUAAAGUUGUAGCAGAGUAAGCUAAAGAUUGUAGAUCUUGUUUCCCUGAAGUUGCAGUGGAGCGGAUCGAAAACGGCGAAUCUUGGCUUCCUGAAGUUGCAGUAAAGCAGAUUUAAGCCACCAUCCUAGCUCCCUAAAGUUGUAGUGGAGUACGCUGAAGAUUGCAGAUCUCGUCUCCAGUGGAGCAGAUCGAAGAAAACAAGCCUUAACCCCCUAAGUAGUAGGGCAAUAGGCUGAAGAUUGCAAGAUCUUGUUUCCCUGAAGUUGCAGUGGAGUAGAUCGAAGUCACAAUCCUUAUCUAUCUGAAGUUGCAGUAGAGCAGGAUAAAAACACACAAACCAUGUCUCCCUGAAGUUGCAGUGGAGCAUAUUGAAGCUACCUGAAGAAAAAAAGGGCCAAAAGAAGUCGAGACUCAGCAGAUCCUGGCAAAAUUGGCCCAUUUAUAGUCUUUGCUCUAUUCUCGUUGCACGACAAUGAGCAAAGAGGGGCAGCUGUAAAUGGGCCAAUUUGCCCAGGUCCACUAGAAACCCAAGAUAAAAUACAACAAAAAAAUAAAUAAUUAAACCAAAUCAAUAGUCCACAGUCCAAGUCUUUAGUACAAAACAGCCCAAUAACCAAUUAAAGCCCAAUACCCAGAAUGAGCCCAAACGGCCCAAAUACUAAACCAAAUUUUGGCAAACCCUAGCCCUAGCAGCAGAUGCGCCACAACUGGACAGCAGCCCCAGCCUCCGUACCCUCCAGCAGCUACGACCGUGCCUCCGUACGCCAGCACAGCACCCGUACCUGCACACCAAACGCAAGAAAAUAGCAAAAAAUUGUAUAUUUUAUUUUUAUUUUUUCUUCUCUCGGCUAUAAAGCCUAAAGAGAAUCACUUGUAAGUUUUUUACGCGCACACUAUGAGUAUUAAAAUAUAGAAGGUGAUUUUCGAAAAAGAUUUCUAAAUGCUUUACUUCCUUUAGUUUUCAUUUUUUCUGGAUUUGUGGUUCAUAUAUGCGAAAGAAAAUAAGAAAAAGAAAAGAGGAAAGGGGCUUACCUGGUAAAUGCGCCAUGGGUCACCCUCUACUUUGUUGAAAUCGAAGUCAAAGGGAGACCUUGAGGCUAAAAAUCUUGUCCUCUAGGCAUGAUGUGUAGGUGAUUGUUUAGGGGAUGGGAAUCGAUGGAUGAGAGGGGAUCUAGGGUUUGUCAAAUGAGAAGAAAAGGGGGGUAAGGAGGAUCAGCCGAAUUUGGCUGAUUUUAGUCCUUUUAAAGGAGUAAAAACGACGCCGUGUACACCUAUUUGGCAUGACCCGCGCACGCGUGACCCGACCCGGGGAGGAUCCGCAUGCUUCCCAUUAAUGGGAAAUUUGUGCUCUUAGUCUCUCCUUAUUCCUACUGCGAUUCAAUCCCAUUCUUUUAUUUUUUUUAAUUUGGACUCUUUUGUUUUAUUUGGAUUCGAUUUAGUCCUUUGACCUUUUGAAGGUAGGACAGGGGAAUGACACCGUUUUGAUGAUAGGGUAUAAUUUCCCUAUUAGUCCCUUUUUGCAGUGAGUGUUACAAUCUGGUCCUUAUGCGCUUAUUCUCUUACACUUUUCGCCCCAAAUUUUGUUUUUUGUUCUGAUUUGGUCCUUAGUUAUUUGGAUUUUAACCCUUUUUUGUUUAAUUUAUUUUAAUAUUCUACAUAAUGUUUAUCUUAAAUCAUUGUUCUUUUUUUACUAGUUAUAUUAAAGGGUUUUAUCAUGUAUUAUUUUAUUUAUCAUAUUUUAUAUAAUGUAUACAUAUAUCUACUUAGGUUUUAAUCUUUUCUUUUAAUACGAAUUAAAAAAUUUGUAAUACCUUUUACUUUUCAAUUACUUUAUUAUUAAUCUAAGGUUUUCAUAUAUUAUUUAUUUUAGAUAUAUGCGAUUUGUUUUGUGUUGUUACAUGUAUAUAUAUUUAUUUAUUUUAAAACUUGAUAUAUCCUUAAAAUCGUUUUAUCAUUCAUUUAAAAAUUUUUCAUAUGUCUUAUAUUUAUCAAUAUUUAUAUUUUAUCCUCAUAGUCGAUCCUUUUUAUAUAUGGUGUAUAUGUUAUUUAAAUUAUUUUUCUUUUUAUAUGUAUAUGGUCAUUUUUAACUAGAUAUCCCAUUUUUUUUUAAAAAAAACAUUCUUUGUACAUGUGAGUUUUUUUAGUCCAUUAUAUAUAAUUUAUGAUAAAAUUAAUUUAGCUCUAUAUACAUAUUUAGUCCCAUACAAAAUUAUUUUAUGAAAUCUCUUAAAUUUUUCUCUAUAUAUAUCCCUGUGUAUAUAAGUCAUUUUUAGAACAUAUUUCGUUACAUAUUGUUUUGAUUUAGAAUCUCACAUUUUAAUACUAUUUUAUAUGUUUAUAUUUUAUUAAAUUCUCCUUCACUGUAUGUAUUUUUAAAUGUUUUUUUUACAUUUUGUAUAUUAUUUGACUUAGAAUAUUCGUUCUAUAUCAUCUAUUUAAAAGAUUACAUAUAUCUCUAGUUUUUUAAAUCCAUCCAUUCAUGUAUUAGGCAUUACGUGUUUAUUAUUAUUUCAUACUAGUUGUAUACCACAUUUCUUUAUUUUCAUUUUGUUUUUGUAUACCUUGUAUUGACUGUAUCAUGUUAGGUUUUGUAUAUUAUUGUGGCAUACUAUCAUGUGUAUUGUUUUAUUUGGUCUUGUGCGAUGUACUGUUAUACUAUAAUUUUUGUUUUGGUAUCGUUAUAUCAAUUAUUUUCCAUGCAUGAUUGAAAUUGGGUUAUAUUUUUUAGGCUAGCCAUAUUUAUUUUGUUAGUUGAUUAAAUAGGCUAUAUUAUCUUCAUUCGUCUAUCAUGGUAUUUAUGCGCAUACAUCAUCCCAUGUUUUUAUUUUUUUCUUUUGGCUUACAAAAUGUUGCUUUAUGGUUUUCAACUCUUAAAAAUCAAUUAUUUCAUCCGAUUUCAAGACAAAUUAAUUUGUUUUAAGCGGGUUUUAUAACUAUUUAAAAAUUCUUUGAAAUAAAGGCGAUGUUCGAUAUUUGGCAAUUCGAGGAAUCGUGCCCUAUCGUGCUAGGUUGCAAUUUCUCGUUUGCUCAAAAUAAUCGAAUGUCCCUUGGAAUUUCACUCAUGUUUUCUAAAAACUCUUUUAAACAAAGUAAAUGUUCGAUGUUUGGCAAUUCGGAGAGUCGUACCCUAUCGUGUUGGGUUGCGAUUUCUCGUUUGUUCAAAACAAUCGAAUAUUCCUUUGGGAUUUCACUCAUGCUUUUAAAAAUUCUCCAAAACGAAGGUAGUGCUCGAUGUUUGGCAAUUCGGGGAAUCGUGCUCUAUCGUACUGGGUUGUGAUCUCCUGUUUGUUUAAAAUAAUCAAAUAUUCCUUUAGAAUUUCACUCACGUUCUCCAAAUUCUAAAAUAAGGCAAUGUCCAAUGUCUAGAAAUUCGAAGAGUCGUGCCCUACUAUGUUGGGUUUCGACCUUCUCGUUGGACUAAAUAAUUAGGCAUCCUUUUGCGGUUUUCAACAUAUAAACUUUUCAAAACUCAAAAUUUCUCGUGUUUCGAGGGUAUAAAGGAUCGUGUCCAAUCGUGCUGGAUGUGAUACUGUAUUCCUCUGAAACAAGAGAAUUUUGACAACCAACUCGGGUUAUUCAAAUGUUUAUAAAAGGAACCACAUUUCAAAAAUUUUAAAUCUUAGACAUAAGGACAGUAUUUAAUCGAUUUGGUACCAAUUUUAGGCGUAAUGAGGGUGCUAACCCUUCCUCAUACGUAACCGACUCCCGGACCCGUUCUCUCCUAUUUACGUAGACCAAAAUCAUUGUUUUAGUAAACCAAAAUGUUUUAUUAAAAUGACCAAACUUCUUGGUGAUCCGGUCACACCUAAACAAAAAAGGAUCGGUGGCGACUCCAUUUCCGUUUUUUAAAGUCAAUUCCCCAUUUUUUCAUUAAAUUUAGCAUUUUUAAAAGUGGUUUCGACAAUAUGUUUAACGUCCCUUAUAUAGGCUUACGGGAUCUAAAACAUACAUUCGUGGUUGUUCGGGACCAAACCGUAAACAUAUGAAACUUUUGCAACAUUUAGAAAAUUUUCACACUUUGGAUAGUCACACGCCCGUGUUUUUAACCCGUGUAACUCUCUGUUUAUAACUUCAUCACCCUUGUCAGUCGUACACUUCAUAUAAAUAAUAAGAAACAUGUAUGGGCUCAAUUCUCAUUAAAUUUCUCAUAUAUAUAUACAUAAUUUCACGUUAUGUAAUCAUACAACAUAUAUCAGCAUAUCUCUGUAAUCUAAAUAUAUUUUCAUAACAACUUAUCUUGAUUUCAUACUAUUUCAUAUUUAAGCUUAAAUAACCAAAGUAUUUGAAAUAUCAUCUUUAUGCAAAUAGUACACAUGAGGUAUAUAAUUCCAUAAUUAUGAAUGACCACAUUUAUCAAACAUUUUCCAUAUUCAUUGUAAUAACCCAUUUUUGCCCAGCCCAUUUCAAUAUUUAAAAUAAUAAACCGCAAAAAAAUAAAAAUAAAACAAACUCCAAGUCCAAGUCCAGUACAAAAUUACAAACAUAUAAUUUGGCCCAAUCGGAAUGGCCCAUUACUUGAAAGGAUUUAAGGUCCAUCUAUAAGCUUGACUCAUAUGGAAAUAUAAUCUUUAAGGAUAUGCAAUCUUAGAUAUGAUAUGCAAUCUUAGAUAUGAUACAAUCUUAGAUAUGAUAUGCAAUCUUGAAGAUAUGAUCUUGUAAUCUUGGAGAUUUAAUUUGUAGAUAUCCUUUAAUCUUAACCGUUGAUGUAAUUGAUCUGUACCGUUGGAUUUGGGGAGGCUCAACUAUAAAUAGAGGUCUCUCCCUUCAUUGUAAAUCACUUGAGUUUUGGGAAGCAAUAAGAAUUCUUGAAAGCAUUCACUCAAAUUUCUCUCCCUUUUGCGUUCUUACUCUCUGUGGUUUGUUCUUAUUUUAUUCUUCGUCUAUCUUAGUUUUUCAACCUUUUUUUAUUUUAAUUUCUUCAUUUUUUCAAAUAUGUAUAUUUAUUCCUAUCUUUUAUACAUUUGAUUAUGUAUUUUAUAUAUUAUAAUAUUUAACCUUUUUAUAUAGUUUAUUUUCAAAUAUAUAUUUUCUAUGCAUAUAUAUAUUAUAUUAUCAUUUCAUGUAUUUUGAACUAUUGCAUUAUAUUUUUAUAAUUAUAAAUGUUCUAUUUAUUCAUUUUUUUAGUGUAUGUCAUUUAUCUUAUUUGUGCAUAGUUUCAUUUUUUUAUAUUCUAUGUUUAAUUAUUUCUUUUAUGUGCUAUUUUAUGAUAUAUAUUGUUGUAUAAUUUUUGCAUGUAUUAUGUUUUUCUUUUAGUUUACUUAUGUUUUUAUUUGUUUAUUAUCUUAUAUUUACCCUAGUAUGAUUUUUUUCAUUAAACGUUUGUUCAUGUUAUUUGUUUUUGUAUUAAUGAUAUUAUUCAUGUUUGUAUGGAAAUGUUAGAAUAUUUUGUACAUCUAUGCUUCAUGAUGCAUUAAUAUGUCAUCCUAAAACGUCAUUUAAAAUAAUAUUCCAAGGUUUUAUUUUAAAAAAAUAAAAUAAAAGGCAAUGCUUGAUGUUUGGAAACUUCGAGAAAGGUAGUGCCCUAACUUACUGGGUUGCGACUUUUCUCGUUGAAUUCGAAUAGUCAAGUACCCUUCUAAGUGAUUUUGAGUUUUCAAAACUUAAACAAUUAUUUCGAGUUUUCAAAACAUAGUGUCCUAACUUACUGGAUAUGGCGUUUUGUUGUUUCGAGAUAGAAAUUUUUGAAAGACGAGCUUAGUUUCGAAGGUUUUAAAAUGUUGCAUCCUAACUUACUGGAUGUGAUGUUUUGAAGUGAGCCUUAAUUUUCAAAAUUGAGACAUUCUAAUUAAAAGAGGUUUGCAUCUUAAAACUUUCAAAUUUUCGACAUUAAAGACAUUUGAUAAUCAAUUAGGUACCAAUUUUUGGGUGUUACGAGGGCGCUAACCCUUCCUCGUACGUAACCGACUCCCGAAUCCGUUUUCUCGACUUUCGUAGACCAAAAUUAAUGUUUUAAAAUAAAACAUUUUAUAAGGUGAUCCAAUCACACCUAAAAAGAUUGGUGGCGACUCCCAUUUUCGUUUUUCUUAAAGUCGAUUCCCAUUUUCCAAAACUCGAUUUAAAAAUAGUUUCGACAGCUUGGCGACUCCACUGGGGACUAAUAAGAGAGUCAAGCCGUGUAAUUGAUUAUCCCUUGUCUUAACGUCGGAAAUUAAAAAUUUUAAACUUUAAUCCUCUUUGCAUUACAUGUGUUUGAAUUAUUGCAGGUGUUGCUAUAUUCUGAUACGCAUUGCAUUUGCAUGACCGUUGUGGUCACACCCUUAAGUGGGAGUGAGAAGCUACGCCUUCGUGAGGUUUUCGCCUCCGUGUAGGAUAGUGGAUCACUUUCGGGAUACAUCCGUACCUAUGGUUUCGUGAGAUUUUCAUCUCCGUGUAGCCAUAGGGAAAUGUAUUCCCCUGAACUGAACUCGAUUCAACUGAGCCUAUAAUGGAUGAGGAUCGAGGAAUCUGCUGGUUUGGGUACCUCAAACUUUAGAAACAAACCACAUAUAGAAAAACUGUAAGAGCUCAAUAUAGAUAGAAUUAUACUUAGUUAUAUUUGUGUUUAUUAAUAUCAUAUGAUACUGACUGUUUUCUUUCUUUUAUGCAUGUCAUUUUGCAUUUAAAAGGUAUCGAUUCACGGUCAGUUUCUAAGUUAGAAAGUUUUAUUAUGGAGAACGGACUUCUUGAUAGAAUGGAGGGCAAUGCUAACGUCCAUAAAUGGUCAAAGGAAACGCUGAAGGAUACACAUCAGAAUUAUGGGGUUACACUCGCAUCAGCGUGGCGUAAAAUAAUCUCCAGGAGUUAAAGGAAAUAUGGGAUCAAUGGAGUAAUGAAGCCAAGCAGUUGUUCUACAAAAACUAAGGGGACUUGCAGUAUUUGCUUGACAGGAGGAUAGAUGAGCAAUUCAAAGUGAGUGUGGGAGUAUUGAUGGACACUUCUACCAUUAUAGCAUUUCUCUUUAUUAAAUAUCAUAUUUUUAUUUGUAUUGUAUGUUUUGUUAACAAUUACUCACUUUAUUUUAUUUUUUUUAUACUAAUUCUUUUAUAUAUUUUUAUAUUGUAUAUAUCAUUUAUGUAUUAAAUGUUAUUUUAUAAUUAUUAUUUGAUGUUGUAUUUUAUGAACAUGUACAAUGAUAUUAUAUUACUUUUUUUAUCAUGCAUCAUUUUUUUAAAUUAAUUAUUACUUUGUAUGUUUGUAUGUUUUGCUUAUUCGUCUUCAAUAUAUGCUAUGUAUAUCUUUGUACGUAUGUUGUUAAGAUUUGCUAUAUUUAUUAUUUUUUAUUGUGUAUGCAUCUAACGUAUGAUCUUUAUGUAUUGCUAACAUAUUGUUUAAAUGCAUGUUUUAUUUACCUGUUACGAGAAUAUGUUGUCAUGUAUGAUUUAUAAUGUAAUAAGAUUCCUCAUGCAUCAUUAAAAAUAAUAUUCCAAGGUUUUAAAAAAUAAUAAUAAAAGGCAAUGCUUGAUGUUUGGAAACUUCAAGAAAGGUAGUGCCCUAACUUACUGGGUUGCUACUUUCCUCGUUGAAUUUGAAUAGUCAAGCACCCUUCUAAGCGAUUUUGAGUCUUCGAAACUUAAACAAUUAUUUUGAGAUUUCAAAACAUAGUGUCCCAACUUACUGGAUAUGGCGUUUUGUUGUUUCGAGAUAGAAAUUUUUGAAAGACGAGCUUAGUUUCGAAGGUUUUAAAAUGUUGCGUCCUAACUUACUAGAUGUGAUGUUUUGACUCGUUUGAAAUAAGUGAGCCUUAAUUUUCAAAAUUGAGACAUUCUAUUGUAAAGAGGAUUGCAUCUUAAAACUUUCAAAUUUCUGACAUCAAAGACACUUGAUAAUCAAUUAGGUAUCAAUUUUUGGGCGUUACGAGGGUGCUAGCCCUUCCUCGUUCGUAACCGACUCCCGAACCCAUUUUCUUGAUUUCGUAGACUAGAACUAACGAUUUUAAAUGUUUUAUUGGUGAUCCAAUCACACCUAAAAAGAUUGGUGGUGACUCCCGUUUUCGUUUUUCUUAAAGUCGAUUCCCAUUUUCCAAAACCCGGUUUAAAAAUGGUUUCGACAGCUUGGCGACUCCACUGGGGGCUAAUAAGAGAGUCAAGCCGUGUAAUUGAUUAUCUCUUGUCUUAAUGUCAAAAUUAAAAAUUUUAAAAUUUAAUCCUCUUUGCAUUACAUGUGUUUGUAUUAUUGCAUGUGUUGCUAUAUUCUGAUAUGCAUUGCAUUUGCAUGACCGUUGUGGUCACACCAUUAAGUGGGAGUGAGAAACUACGCCUUCGUGAGGUUUUCACCUCCGUGCAGGAUAGUGGAUCACUUUCGGGAUACAUCCGUACCUAUGGUUUCGUGAGAUUUUGAUCUCCGUGUAGCCAUAGGGAAAUGUAUUCCCCUGAACUGAACUCGAUUCAAAUGAGCCUAUAAUGGGUGAGGAUCGAGGAAUCUACUGGUUUGGGUACCUCAAACUUUAGAAACAAACCACAUAUAGAAGGACCGUAAGAGCUCAACCUAGAUAGAAUUAUACCGUAAUUAUUACUCUUGUAGGUUAUCUUCGAGUUUAUUGUUAUCAUGUGAUACUAGCUAUUUCUUUUUUUUUGUUGCAUAUCAUUUCGCAUUUAAAAGGUAUCGAUUUUCGGUCAGUUUCUAAGUUAGGGAGUUUUAUUAUGGAGAACGGACUUCUUGAUAGAGUGGAAGACAACGUUAACGUCCAUAUAUGGUCAGAGCAAACUCAAUUAGUAAAGGAAAAUAGUCUAGCCAUGGGAUAUGUGUCAGAGUUGUCAGACUACAUUCGUAUCAGCGUUACACAGGAUAAUCAGCAUGAGUUAAAGGAAUAUGGGAUCAAUGGGGUAGCGAAGCCAAGCAGUUAUUCUACAACAACCAUGGGGACUUGCAUGUACUUGCUUGACUUGGGAAUAGACGAGAAUUUGUUUAGGGCCAUCACUCAGUAUUGGAAUCUUGUAUACAGUUACUUUACGUUUGGAAAAGCCGAUAUGAUACCCGUGGUGGAGGAAUAUUCGGUUUUGUGGCGUUGUCCUAUGAUUCAAGUUGGUAAAGUUUACUCAAGGGCUGACUAUAUUCCAACUUUUGUGAGGAAGUUGAUGAACGUCAUGGGGAGAGGGAGUGAGCUAAAAUGGAAAGAGUAGGAGAAAAAUGGGCAGUCUUGGAAUUCCUGUCUCUUCCGCCACUGGUGUGUCUUAAUGUUGUUUCCAAUCAAAGCAGAAUUGGAUACAAGGAAGAUUGUUUGACAUCCUAUGGCAAGGUGUGCUGCAGGAACUAAAGGGUAGAAGGUAAUGUACUCACCAAUAAUUUCAAGGUGAACAAGAAGAGUACUGAUGGACAUUUCCACCAUUACAACAUUUCUCUUUCAUAUGAAGAUGGUCGAUGGUAAGAGUGUUGGAAGAAAAGUGAUUGACAGAAUGCAUGGACCGACAAAGGUGAGUUGGAAGGAAAGUGAUUGUGCUCAUGAUGGUAAAAAGGCUUAUCUAUUAUAGGACCAAACAACAAGCAUGAGUUUACUAUGUUGCACUUAUUAGAGACAAUGGAAAUGCAAGCCCUGAUGGUCUGUCAAAAUGGACGCAAAAGAAUGAGAUUAAAGAAGGCCAUAUCAUUUAAAAGACCUUUAAAGUAGAGAUUAACUAUGCUGAGAAGAUACCCAUAUAAGCAUUUCAAAAUGCUUUGCAUGGACAGGAAUAUGAAAACUCUCAAGAAACACUAAAGGUGCUGGAUAUCAUUUUAAGGCAGCAUGUUAAGCAGGAAUACCUACUUGUUUGCCAAUCUUUCUUUCAAGAUAAUCAGAAUAACUUCACAGACGUUAGAAGAGGUGUCCAUAGAUGAAGGGAUUAUACCAUGGGUGAAGCCAUAGCUUAAAUUCGGGAUGGUAGUAAAUCAUUUAUGGACCAUGAAGGUACAAGCUGAUACACUGAGCACGAAAUACAAGCUAUAGUCAGAUCUUUGUUAAGAGUUAGCUUUGUUGAGUUAAAACUUUAGGCCAUAGGACGAAGGCGUAUUUGUAAUCCAUUCAUAUGUAAAGAUAUUCUUUUUCUAAAUAAAGUUUUCUAAAUGAAAUUGAGUUGAGAUCGAUACCUUUUUGCAUUCAUGCAUUUGCAUUACAUCACAUCGCAUCAUAUGCAUUUAAGUCCAUAAAAAGACCCUAAUUAGGCAAAAAUUAUUUCAGAGAGUUAAUCGGGGAUAUGGAGCAAAGGUUGGAGAGAUUAGAGCAAAGGCAAAUACAGAUGCAAGAGCAAUUGACCAAAAUUCAACAAGAUAUACGUGAUCAAAUGUUGGGCUCCAAAGAAAUAUAAUUAGCCAGCUGGGACAGUUACUAGUCGAAGAGCUUGAAAAGAGGAAAAGCCCAGUGGUCAACACUGAAGAUGAUAAUGAGGUUAUUGUUUAUUCUCCAAAUUCUACUCCAAUAGAGGUUCAGACUCAACUAGACGCACAUCCGCGAGGGAUACCAGUUGUUAUCAAACCCCAACAGCAUCAGGCCGGUAUGUUGGAACCAGUAAAUAAUUCGGUAGGCUCAGGUCCUAAUUCGGGGAGCAAUUCAGCCAGUCUUGUCAUCAUUAGAGAAGCAAGGAAGGCUAGUGUGGAGUGUCCAAAACAGUGUGAAGCUCUUAAAAAGAAAGAGUGGAGCUCCCGAUACAAUACAUCGUGGGCAAUGGCAAGAAAAGAAAAUGAGGAGAAGCUGUUGACUAUAAGACAACCGAGAAUGUCAACUAUCAGCCAUCAGGUUCCUCAAAAGCAAGAAUCCAAUCCAAAACCGAAUCCUGAAAGCUUCUCUUUACGUCAAUUCCAGUGUCGUAUAAGGAGCUAUAUCAUAGAUUAUUUUCCGCACAUGUAGUGUCCCUAUUUUACAUAGAACCGUUGUAGCCCCCAUACCCCAAAUGGUAUGAUUUGAACGCUCAAUGUGAGUAUCAUGCGGGAUGUGCAGGACACUCAAUUGAGAAUUGCAUUGCCUUUAAAAAGAUGAUCGAAAAACUUAUCAAAGUAGGUGUUAUAAGCUUUGAUCAUCCCUCUGGGGCAGAGAAUUUAUUACCUAAUCAUGGGGAGGUGAAUUCCAUGAUGGAAAGGGGCAGGGGAUCCAAGAAUGCACCAAGUUUCAGGGCUUUUGAGCAGGACUUGAUGUUGGGGAAUAUGAAUAACAUAUCCUAAGAGGAAACGAAGGAAUAAAACUGAUGAGCCCUUGCCAUUUGGGAAUGUUUUGAACAAUAAAAUUGUGGAAGUGAUCCUUGUGUUUUAAAGUUAAUUUAGAGUAAUGUUUAGAACACACUUGUUGUUUUAAAGCUUAGAAACAAUAAGAUUUCAUUUGUGAAAUAGGCUCAUGUUUAGACAUUGUUGUUUCAAUAAAACAUAUCUUUCAUGAUUAAUUUGAACAAUUGUUCCCUCAUUUUUUCUUCAUUCAUAACGUAAAUAGUUAUUCUUGAAUUCAUUUAUUCAUUGUAUAUUUUUUUGUGCCUAUCGAAGAUCCCUAGAUAUCAAUGAUAGGGGCAACGAUACUACAGAUUCAGAGUUCCUUUUGAGCGCUACAUGUGUUUAGAGGAAUCUCAGUACUCUGAAGAUGACAGAGAUUGCGAUUUGUUUCUAAAUUUGUUGAAAACGGUAAAGCAAGAAGAGAAAUAAAUUCUACCCCAUAAAGAGGGGGUAAAAGAUAUAGCCUUAGAAGAAAUGAAAGGCUGUAAGUCGGAACAAAGCUAGUUUUCCUAUACCUCACAUUGAUGCCUUGGUGGACAAUAGUGCUGGAUACUCAAAGCUCCACAGUUCCUUCUUUGUUUGCUUCUCGAUAAGAAAAAUUCUGAUUUUUAUAGGCCAUAGAAGUAGAACAAUCUGUCUGAGUAUGGCAUCGUGACUCAGUGUAUGGCGCUAGUUAGGGUGAAGGAUCAGUGCUUUACAAACUUGCUUCUAAAAAUCAAUACAAAGCUUGGAGGACUAAAUUACAUGUUAGUAAUUGAGCAAACACCUUCAAUUCCAGUUGUUUCAAAGGUUCCAAUUAUCAUCCUUGGAAUGGAUGCAUUAUUUGGCUCUCCUGAGCAGUCUGAUAUACCGUCAAUAGCUACGGUGGUUAGUUUCAUGAAGUGGCCAUUGAUUUCCAGUUAUAGGGCAUCAGGUCGUACACAGUCUUUGAAGCUUGAAAUGAUAGAUUCUCUCUUCAAACCAGUUUCUAACAAAGUGGAUGAGGGUAUUGUAAGACUUCUAUACAAGUUCAGGGAAAAGGAAGCCUGAUCAGAUUAUCAUAUUCAGGGAUGGAGUUAGCAAGUCACAGUUUAAUCAAGUAUUGAACAUUGAGCUGGAUCAAGUAAUUAAGGCUUGCAAAUUUCUUGAUAAGAGUUGGACCCCAAGUUUGUGGUCAUUAUGGCACAGAAAAAUCAUCAUGCUAACUUUUUUUCAGUAGGGAUCUCCUGACAAUGUCUCGCCUGGAACUGUUAUAAACAACAAAAUCUAUCAUGCUAGGAACAUUGACUUCUAUCUUUGUGCCCAUACUGGAAUGAUUGGAGCCACGAGAUCUACUCAUUAUCAUGUUCUCUUAGGUCAGAUUGGGUUUUCGACUGACGAUCUGCAGGAGCUAGUCCAUGCUAUAUCAAAGAAACGCUACAGACAUAUCUGUUGUGGCCCCUAUUCGCUGAGCUCAUUUGGUAACGUCACAGUUAGAGCAGUUUAUAGAGUUUAAAGAUACUUGAGAAACAUCAUCAAACCAUGGUGGAAUGACAACUCCGGGAGUGAUUUCUGUACUUCAGCUUCCCAGAAUGAAAGAUAAUGCCAGCAGCUCCAUUGAACUAUUUUUAUAGAGCUUCUGGAUUCUAGCUACUAUUCACUUUCUUUGUUUGACAAAUGUUAGCCCAGAUUUUUGAUUGGGCAAAAGAAUUUCAUGAGGGGGAACUUGUGUUACAAGAGAUUCUUCCCAUGCAAAGGAUUUCAAAGGAAAAUGGAUACCAAGUGGGAAAGACCAUAGAUUCUGAAAAAGCCUCCUCUAGUGGUGCGAAAGAUUCACCUAAUACAGUGAAUUCAGACUCAAUUAAAGAGUAUUUUGUCUAAAAAUAAAGGGAAGCCAAAGUGAAAACCCGCAAAGGGCACUUUGAGACUUCUAUUUCAAAAAAAAAGAAAAAAAAAAGAGAGAAAAGAAAAGAAAAAAUGGAAAAUGGAAAAAGAGAAAGAAAUGGAGAGGCCAAGGUGAAAACCCGCAAAGGGCGCCUUGAGACCAAAAGGGUUUUGAGCUGAAAACCCGAAAGGGCGGCUCAAAUUUUGGUGUGCAGCAAUGACCUUGCUAUACUGGAGUCAACAAGCAGUGAAGUAUGUUACAUACCGGGGCAUCAACUAAGUACUUUGGGUCUUCUAAACACAUGUUAAACUCAAAACAGUUUUCAUGGAAUUUGUAUAUAGAAGCCCAAGCUGCGAUAUCUAAGGCAUUUGAUUUUUAUCUUGUUUACUAUCUUUGGAUUCUCUUUCUUCUCAAAGAUAGAUUCCUAGAUUAAUCUCCUUUGUUCUUCUUUUGAUAAAUCAUUCAAACUCUAAUUUUCCUCAAGAUCAAUUUAUUAUCCAUUAUUCAUAAAGUAUGUUGCAUUGAAAUAAUAAUGGAGGAACUAAAAUAUCUUCACAAACGAAGUUUUGUAUAUUACUCUGGAAAUUUCUAGAUAAUAAAAAGAAACUGAAACAUAACAAUUGUUUAAGGAAUUCCUAUUGAGUAAGGAUUGGAGUUACUCAAGAAAUUUUCUUCUGGUGAUUAGACGAUGUUGAUCCGAAGAAAGGAUCAUUUCAUAAACAUCUUCAGUGGGUCGUAGCAUGUGGGAAUGGCACAGUGGACCAAAUCGUUGGAGAGGGUUCUAAGCAUACGAGCAAAAUAGGGUUGGUACUUUGAGUGAAACAAAACGAGACUUGAAUGAAUCAAUAUGUCCGAAAUAAAAGUCAUUUUCAUUUUGCAUCAUAAUAUGUCUAAUUAGGAGCAUUUGAUUCAUUUCAAUCGUGGCAUCCUAAUAAUAGGCAUAGGCACAUACACAUUCUACAGGUUAUAUCCUCUAGGGGACAGUGAAGAUUGAAGAUUUCAACAUGGCAUCCCUGUGCUUAUAGGGAACAAGUUGAAGAUAACAGAUCUUAUCUCUCUGUAUUCGACGGGGAACAGAUCGAAGACUUAGCAGAUCUGACCUUCAUUGGGGCAGAUACAAGAUGACAGAUCUUAUCUCUCUAUAAUGGGCGGGGAGUAGAUCCAAGAUGACAGAUCUUAUCUCUCUGUAUUCGACGGGGAGUAGAUCAAAGAUAUAGCAGAUCUGACCUUCAUCGGGGCAGAUCCAAGAUGACAGAUCUUAUCUCUCCGUAAUGGAUGGGGAGUGGAUCAAAGAUGACAGAUCUUAUCUCUUUGUAAUGGGUGGGGAGUAGAUCCAAGAUGACAGAUCUUAUCUCUCUGUAUUCGACUGGGAGCAGAUCGAAGACAUAGUAGAUCUGACCUUCAUCGGGGCAGAUCCAAGAUGACAGAUCUUAUAUCUCUGUAAUGGGCGGAGAAUAGAUCUAAGAUGACAGAUCUUAUCUCUCUGUAAUGGACGGAGAGUAGAUCUAAGAUGACAGAUCUUAUCUCUCUGUAUUCGACGGGGAGUAGAUCAAAGACAUAUCAGAUCUGACCUUCAUCGGGGCAGAUCUAAGAUGACAGAUCUUAUCUCUCUGUAUUCGACGGGGAGCAAAUCAAAGAUAUAGCAGAUCUGACCUUCAUCGAGGCAGAUCCAAGAUGGCGGAUCUUAUCCCUCCGUAAUGGACGGAGAGUAGAUCCAAGAUGACAGAUCUUAUCUUUCUGUAUUCAAUGGGGAGCAGAUCGAAAACAUAGUAGAUCUGACUUUCAUCAAAGCAGAUCCAAGAUGAUUUGGCAUCUCUGUAUUCGACGGAGAGCAGAUCGAAGACAUUAGCACUACAAUUCUGAGUUUGCAAGGAGCAGAUUGAGGACCUUGAAGUCAGGAUCCGAUAAGACCGGGCAAAUUUGGUCCUUUUAUAGUCUUUGCUCUAUUCCUGUUACACAGUAAUGAGCAAAGAGGGGCAGCUGUAAUAGCCCAAAUUCGCCCGGGUUUAAUAAACCAAACAGAAAACCAAAAAAUAAAAUAAACUGUCCAAUUUGUACAGUCCAUGUUACAAAAGAAAUAAUGCCCAAAAGGAGAAUUAUAUCCCAUAAACCCAUUACACUCGUGGCCCAACACCCAAUACCCCAUUAGCCUAAAGCAAACCCAAAUACCAACACUACCUGGCAGACCCAACCCGUUACAUUACAGAUCCAUUUCUAAAAAGCCUACUCCUAAGACCCAUUAAGCUGUAUCCCGAAGGCCCAAAUGCUUAACCCUAGGUCAAGAACCCUAGGGUUUCUGCACCUUUCAGUGCCGCAAAAAGAAGGUUCCAGAAUUCGCAAAGCAACCAUCCCAAACGACGCGCCUUUUCAAAUCGCGCCAUUCUAGUAGCCCCCAUCAGCGCCAUGACUCUAGUUCUGAAUCGCGCCGUGAUUGGCGCACGAAUCAAAGCCAGAGUACUCGCCAUCAUUCUCGCAAACACCUGCAAAAAGAGAAAGAAAAGCAGCAGAAAUGAAACAAACAUGGCAAGAAAUGAAAUAAAAAUCUGUAAAAAAUACUGUAUAAGGCUAUAAAAGUUGAGGGAAAGCGUUGUAAAAGGGUUUUUUUUACCGGAAAAAUAGUGUAAAACAGGCACAAGUAUUACACAUAUACAAGGAAUAAAAUUAGAUCUAAGGUGAUUUUCAGAGAUUACUUUUCGUUCUUAUUUUUAUUUCGAAGAUUUGAAUCGAUUUGGAGGCAAAAACACUUUUAAAAUAGAAGGGAAAAGGGAUAUUACCAUCGGAUUGGGCUUUGGGAAGCUUUAAGGAGCGUAAAACUCGCUUUUGGGAACUCCGACCACCGUGAACGGUGGCGGAGACGACAGAGGAUGGCGAGGCCCGAUGAUUGGAGUUCGAUCGGAGCUCAGAGGGCAGGCAGGCUUUUGAGAGCAUUUUUUUUGAGUUUUUUUUAGGAGGAGGUGAAAAUGAAAGUUUUUGAAAGAAAAUUGGUUUUUAAAGCACCCCUAUACGAAGCCGUUUCAUAGUGUGCAGAAGGGCCCCAAAACGACGUCGUUUGGGGGCUAACCCGAUUACCCGACCCGGUCCAUUUAGAGAUUCGCGUGUUUUCUUCGGCUAAAGGGAUAUUUAUCCCUUUAGUCCUUCUCCGUUUUCAGUUUGUUUUUUUAAUUAAAUUUAUUUCAUUUUUUAAAUUAGCCUUAUAGUUUCAUUUAAAUUUAAUUUUACUCAUUUUCUUUAUUAAUUUAAAUUUUGUUAUUUUUUUUACAUAUAAUUUAUUUAUUUUAAAAUCUAUACAUAUAUUAUUAAAAAUACUAUUGAUUUGUUUAUAUAAAAUGUUUAUUUAUCAUAUCUUAUUUUCCUAUAUAUAUUUAUAUUAUAUUUUAUUAUAUAGCAUUUAUUAGAUUUUUUACUUUUAUUAUAUAUUUAUUACUUAUUAUAUUAUUUUUAUUAUAUAUUAUGUAUAUCGUAUAUUAUCUAUUAUAUUAUUUAUGUUUUAUAUUAUUCAUUUUAUUAUUUAUAAUUUUAAAAUUUGUAAAUUAUCAUUAUUAAAUAUCAUAUUUUUAUUUGUAUUGUAUGUUUUGUUAACAAUUACUCACUUUAUUUUAUUUUUUUUAUACUAAUUCUUUUAUAUAUUUUUAUAUUGUAUAUAUAAUUUAUGUAUUAAAUGUUAUUUUAUAAUUAUUAUUUGAUGUUGUAUUUUAUGAACAUGUACAAUGAUAUUAUAUUACUUUUUUUGUAUCAUGCAUCAUUUUUUUAAAUUAAUUAUUACUUUGUAUGUUUUUAUGUUUUGCUUAUUCGUCUUCAAUAUAUGCUAUGUAUAUCUUUGUACGUAUGCUGUUAAGAUUUGCUAUAUUUAUUAUUUUUUAAUGUGUAUGCAUCUAACGUAUGAUCUUUAUGUAUUGCUAACAUAUUGUUUAAAUGCAUGUUUUAUUUACCUGUUAUGAGAAUAUGCUGUCAUGUACGAUUUAUAAUGUAAUAAGAUUCCUCAUGCAUCAUUAAAAAUAAUAUUCCAAGGUUUUAAAAAAUAAUAAUAAAAGGCAAUGCUUGAUGUUUGGAAACUUCAAGAAAGGUAGUGCCCUAACUUACUGGGUUGCUACUUUCCUCGUUGAAUUCGAAUAGUCAAGUACCCUUCUAAGUGAUUUUGAGUCUUUGAAACUUAAACAAUUAUUACAAGAUUUCAAAACAUAAUGUCCCAACUUACUGGAUAUGGCGUUUUGUUGUUUCGAGAUAGAAAUUUUCGAAAGACAAGCUUAGUUUCGAAGGUUUUAAAAUGUUACGUCCUAACUUACUGGAUGUGAUGUUUUGACUCGUUUGAAAUAAGUGAGCCUUAAUUUUCAAAAUUGAGACAUUCUAUUGUAAGGAGGAUUGCAUCUUAAAACUUUCAAAUUUCCGACAUCAAAGACACUUGAUAAUCAAUUAGGUACCAAUUUUUGGGCGUUACGAGGGUGCUAGCCCUUCCUCAUUCGUAACCGACUCUUGAACCCGUUUUCUUGAUUUCGUAGACCAAAACUAACGAUUUUAAAUGUUUUAUUGGUGAUCCAAUCACACCUAAAAAGAUUGGUGGCGACUCCCAUUUUCGUUUUUCUUAAAGUCGAUUCCCAUUUUCCAAAACCCGAUUUAAAAAUGGUUUCGACAAGGAUCAUCUUACAAACAUUUUCAGCAGGUCAUAGCAUUUGAAGAAUGGUACAAACCCACAAGCUGAGUAGGAAUGAGACUUCGAGAGAAGUAAGGAAAACUUCGAUGAGGGAAUAAGUGAUGACGUCCGAAAUAGGGUUCAUAUUCAUAACAUUUUGCAUUAUAACAUGUCUAAUUAGGAGAAUUUGACUCACUUCGAUCAUAGCAUCCUAAUUAUUAGGCAUGAGCUCAUACGCAUUCUACAGGUUAUGUCUUUUACGGGACAAUGUAGAUAAGAGAAACAAGAUUUGGCAUCCCUGUGUUUAUAGGGAACAGAUCGAAGAUAACAGAUCUGACACUCCUGUGCUUACAGCGAAGUAGAUCGAAGAUUUCAGCAUGGCAUCCCUAUGUUUAUAGGGAACAAGUUGAAGAUAGCAGAUUUGGCAUCCCUGUGUUUAUAGGGAACAGAUCGAAGAUAGCAGAUCUGACACUCCUGUGCUUAUAGUGAAGAGAUCGAAGAUUUCAGCAUGGCAUCUCUGUGUUUAUAGGGAACAAGUUGAAGAUAGUAGAUUUGGCAUCCCUGUGUUUAUAGAGAACAGAUCGAACAUAGCAGAUCUGACACUCCUGUGCUUACAGCGAAGCAGAUCGAAGAUUUCAGCAUGGCAUCCCUGUGUUUAUAGGGAACAAGUUGAAGAUAGUAGAUUUUGCAUCCCUGUGUUUAUAGGGAACAAAUCGAAUAUAGCAGAUCUGACAUUCCUGUGAUUACAGCGAAGCAGAUCGAAGAUUUCAGCAUGACAUCCCUGUGUUUAUAGGGAACAAGUUGAAGAUAGCAGAUUUGGCAUCCCUGUGUUUAUAGGGAACAAAUCGAAGAUAGCAGAUCUGACAUUCCUAUGCUUAUAGCAAAGUAGAUCGAAGAUUUCAGCAUGGCAUCCCUGUGUUUAUAGGGAACAAGUUGAAGAUAGCAGAUUUGGCAUCCCUGUGUUUAUAGGGAACAGAUCGAAGAUAGCAGAUCUGACACUCCUGUGCUUACAGCGAAGCAGAUCGAAGAUUUCAGCAUGGCAUCCCUGUGUUUAUAGGGAACAAGUUGAAGAUAACAGACUUGGCAUCCCUGUGUUUAUAGGGAACAAAUCGAAGAUAACAGAUCUAACACAACUGUGAUUACAGCGAAGCAGAUCGAAGAUUUCAGCAUGGCAUCCCUGUAUUUAUAGGGAACAAGUUGAAGAUAGCAGAUUUGGCAUCCCUGUGUUUAUAGGGAACAAAUCGAAUAUAGCAGAUCUGACAUUCCUGUGAUUACAGCGAAGCAGAUCGAAGAUUUCAGCAUGACAUCCCUGUGUUUAUAGGGAACAAGUUGAAGAUAGCAGAUUUGGCAUCCUUGUGUUUAUAGGGAAUAAAUCGAAGAUAGCAGAUCUGACAUUCCUAUGCUUAUAGCAAAGUAGAUCGAAGAUUUCAGCAUGGCAUCCCUGUGUUUAUAGGGAACAAGUUGAAGAUAGAAGAUUUGGCAUCCCUAAAAAUCAAAGAUAACAGAUCUGGCAUCUCCAUUUCGACGGAGAGCAGAUACAUAGCAGAUCUAACCUUCAAAUGAUUUUAUUGAAGCAGAUCCAAGAUGAUUUGGCAUCCUUGUGUUUACAAGGAGCAAAUCAAAGACACAGCAGAUUUGCCUUUCAUGUGUUUACGCUGAAGCAGAUCUAAGAUGAUUUGGUAUCUCUGUAUUUCCAGAAAACAAAUCGAAGAAGUAGAUUUGGCGUCUCUGUGUUCGACGGAGAGCAGAUCGAAGAUAUCAACAUGCAAUCCUGAGUUUACAAGGAGCAGAUUGAGGACCAUGAAGUCUGAAGCUGAUGAGACCGGGAAAAAUGGGUCCUUUUAUAGUCUUUGUUCUAUUCUCGUUACACGACAAUGAGCAAAGAGGGGCAGCUGUAAUAGCCCAUUUUUCCCGGCCCAUUUAAGUAUUUAAAAUAAUAAACCCAAAAAAAUAAAAAUAAAACAAAGUCCAAGUCCAAGUCCAGUACAAAUUUACAAACAUAUAAUUUGGCCCAAUCGGAAUGGCCCAUUACUUGAAAGGAUUUAAGGUCCAUCUAUAAGCUUGACUCAUAUGGAAAUAUAAUCUUUAAGGAUAUGCAAUCUUAGAUAUGAUAUGCAAUCUUAGAUAUGAUACAAUCUUAUAUAUGAUAUGCAAUCUUAGAUAUGAUAUGCAAUCUUGAAGAUAUGAUCUUGUAAUCUUGGAGAUUUAAUUUGUAGAUAUCCUUUAAUCUUAACCGUUGAUGUAAUUGAUCUGUACCAUUGGAUUUGGGGAGGCUCAACUAUAAAUAGAGGUCUCUCCCUUCAUUGUAAAUCACUUGAGUUUUGGGAAGCAAUAAGAAUUCUUGAAAGCAUUCACUCAAAUUUCUCUCCCUCUUGCGUUCUUACACUCUGUGAUUUGUUCUUAUUUUAUUCUUCGUCUAUCUUAGUUUUUCAACCUUUUUUUAUUUUAAUUUCUUCAUUUUUCAAAUAUGUAUAUUUAUUCCUAUCUUUUAUACAUUUGAUUAUGUAUUUUGUAUAUUAUAAUAUUUAACCUUUUUAUAUAGUUUAUUUUCAAAUAUAUAUUUUCAUAUAUAUAUUAUAUUAUCAUUUCAUGUAUUUUGAACUAUUGCAUUAUAUUUUUAUAAUUUGUAAAUGUUCUAUUUAUUCAUUUUUUUAGUGUAUGUCAUUUAUCUUAUUUGUGCAUAGUUUCAUUUUUUUAUAUGCUAUGUUUAAUUAUUUCUUUUAUGUGCUAUUUUAUGAUAUAUAUCGUUGUAUAAUUUUUGCAUGUAUUAUGUUUUUCUUUUAGUUUACUCAUGUUUUUAUUUGUUUAUUAUCUUAUAUUUACCCUAGUAUGAUUUUUUUCAUUAAACGUAUGUUCAUGUUAUUUAGUUUUGUCUUAAUGAUAUUAUUUAUGUUUGUAUGGAAAUGUUAGAAUAUUUUGUACAUCUAUGCUUCAUGAUGCAUUAAUAUGCCAUCCUAAAACGUCAUUUAAAAUAAUAUUCCAAGGUUUUUUUUAAAAAAUAAAAAAUAAAAGGCAAUGCUUGAUGUUUGGAAACUUCGAGAAAGGUAGUGCCCUAACUUACUGGGUUGUGACUUUUCUCGUUGAAUUCGAAUAGUCAAGCACCCUUCUAAGUGAUUUUGAGUUUUCAAAACUUAAACAAUUAUUUCGAGAUUUCAAAACAUAGUGUCCUAACUUACUGGAUAUGGCGUUUUGUUGUUUCGAGAUAGACAUUUUCGAAAGACGAGCUUAGUUUUGAAGGUUUUAAAAUGUUGCAUCCUAACUUACUGGAUGUGAUGUUUUGAAGUGAGCCUUAAUUUUCAAAAUUGAGACAUUUUAUUUAAAAGAGGUUUGCAUCUUAAAACUUUCAAAUUUUCGACAUUAAAGACACUUGAUAAUCAAUUAGGUACCAAUUUUUGGGCGUUACGAGGGCGCUAACCCUUCCUCGUACGUAACCGACUCCCGAAUCCGUUUUCUCGACUUUCGUAGACCAAAAUUAAUGUUUUAAAACAAAAUAUUUUAUAAGGUGAUCCAAUCACACCUAAAAAGAUUGGUGGCGACUCCCGUUUUCAUUUUUCUUAAAGUCGAUUCCCAUUUUCCAAAACUCGAUUUAAAAAUGGUUUCGACAUUCAUAUAUCAAUGUCUCAUGUCUCCAUAUAGUCAUUUUCAUGAAUUUCAAGUUUAAUUUCAUAAUUAUUUGUCUCGUGUUCAAUUUAUUUCAUGUUGGAACUUUAUUCAUUAAAACAUUUGAAUUAUCAAUACAUAUGGACCGUACAUUCAAGAUGAACAAUUAUAUAAUCACAAAUGAAUUCAUUUAUCGACCAAGUUCUAUACUCAUGUCUUAUCAACUCAUACUUCCUUAUAUCACAUAAUUCCAUGUAACACUUACCAAACUUUGUCAAAUUAGUGAACAUCUUACGGAAUAUUGGUCUACAUCUUAUACACAUGUCACACCGAUGCCAUAUCCCAGAUAUGGUCUUACACAAAUGCACUUAUCACUCUGAUGCCAUAUUCUAGAUAUGAUUUUACACGGAAAUCACUUGUCACUUGUAGCCGAAGCUACCACUAUUCACUGAUCAGGUAGCCGAAGCUACCAUUUUUCACUGAUCAGGUAGCCGAAGCUACCACUUUUCACUUGUCAUUUGUCCUUGAUCAGAUAAGUGUAGCCGAAGCUAUCACUUAUCACUUUCACUUGUUCUUGAUCAGAUAAGUGUAGCCGAAGCUGUCACUUAUCACUUGUUGCCAUGGUCCAACCAUGGUCUUUUCUGUCAAUUCAUCUUGUCACUGAACUAAAGUGCUAAAAUUAAUCAUUUAUUCAAUUUUCAUACUUUUACAUUAUUCACGAUUUUAUCAUCAAUACAUAUGAAAUAACACACCAUGAAAUUCAUAAAAUUAACAAAUGAUCACUAAAAUUUAGCCAUAUAAACUCACAGGUUCAAUUUUUUUAUAUUAUAACGAUAACCAUAAUUUCAUAAUAAAUGUUCCAAAUAAAACAUUAUAUCAUUUCUAAUUCAAUAUUUAUGAAUUAUAAUCGAGCAUGUGAUCAAUUUAUACACGAUUCAUUCAUAUAUUUUUCCUCAUCCUCCUCUCCAUCCAGAUCCUUAGUAUAAAUAACACACUUGUAAGUAGUAUUAUCUAUAAUUUUUACUAUUUACUUAUAUGAAUAUUCAAGCUGUCCAUCUGUGUUAUAGUCACUAAAUUAUUUUUAUCUUGAGUGACAGAACUCCAAAUUAAUAUCGGAUAAUUUUUCCUGAAACUAGACUCAAGUAUCUUCUUACCAUAAAAUUUUCAAAAUUUUUGGUUUAACCAAUAAGUACAGUUUAUUCUUUAAAGUCACCCCUAUUUUGUUGUCUGACAGUUCUGACUCUUCUUCACUAAAAAUUAAUUUUCUCCUCGUACAGAAUUCAAAUGAUGUUUUAGUUUAUUUUUCUUGAAAAUAGACUCAUUUAGAAUUCUAAAAAUAUAAAUUUAAGCCGCUAAUUAUUUUUAUUCAAUUUUUUAUGAUUUUCUAAAUUCAAAACAGGGGAACUAGAAAUCAUUCUGACCUUGUCUCACAAAAUUUAUUAUAUCUCAUGAUUUACAAUUCCAUUGCUUACAUCGUUUCUUCUAUAAGAAAAUAGACUCAAUAAGCUUUAAUUUCAUAUUUAUUAAUUCUCUAAUUCGAUUUCUAAAAUUUUUGGUAAUUUUUCAAAGUUAAACUACUGCUGCUGUCCAAAACAGCUUUAGUGCAAGAUGUUGAUUUUCAUUUUGCCCCAAAUUUCACAAUUCAUACAAUUCAGUCCUUGCUCAAUUAACCCCUCAAUUGAGAUAAUUUUUAUCAAUUAAUAAUUUAUUAUAUCAUUUUAAACUACUUCAUAACCCUUGACAAUUAUAACUUUAGCACUAGUCCUUAUUUCCAAAUUCUUUCACAAUUAGGUCCUAAAAUCAAUUUCCAUCAAUUGUACUUAAUAAAAUCAUCAUAUAUCAAAAUUAAAACUUCAAUUAUAUGUUUUUUCAUCAUAUAAUUCCAUCACUCAUCCAUAAAAACUUUAAAAAUUAGCCAUUGAAUCAAAAACUAAUGAAAUAGUAAGUUGGACCCAAUUGUAAAAGUCCAAAAACAUAAAAAUUUCAAGGAGAAAGCAAGAAUUAAACUUACAUGAAGCUAGAGUAUGAAAACCAGCUUGAACCCUCCUCCAUGGCUAUUUUUCAGCUGAUGAAUAUGAAGAGAAAUGAAGAGAAUUCUAGAUAUUCCAAUUUAGUCCUAUUUUUAUUUAGCUAAUUUUGGCAAUUUUCUAUUUUUGCCCUUAUUUCACCCAUUUCCUGAUUUUUCUCCGCUAUUGCCGCCCUAAAUAUCUCCUUUGGGCUUAUUUUCACUUUAGGUCCUUCCUUAUUUGACAAUUGAGCUAUUUAAUCCUUUUAGCAACUUUUGCACAUUUUCUAAUUUAGUCCUUUUUAUUUAAUUAACCAUCCAAACGUCAAUAUUUUCUAAUGAAAUUUUAAUACUACCUUAUUAACACUCCGUAAAUAUUCAUAAAAAUAUUUAUGGCUCAAUUUAUAACACCAAGAUCUCGAUACCUUUUUUUCUCAAUUUCUUGACCAAAUAAAUCUUUAUAAAACACAAUUUACUAUUUCAAAAAUCUUUUAAAAACUACAUUUGACUCGUAAAUAUUAAAUAAUAUAAUCUACGAGUUCAUUUUUCAAAUUUGAUGGUCUUGAACCACUAUUUUUGACAUUGCUGAAAUUCGGGCUAUUACACUAUGCGUUCCAACCCUCUACUAAGAUUCACUGAGGGUAAGUAUGACUUUGUUCUGAGUUUGGAUAAUGCGUUAUUGGUGAUUGGUUGCGUGACAUGUUUAUUUUUAACCCGGUUAGCUAGGUGAGUGUGUGUGCAACUAGUUCUAUCUAACUGUCUGACUGCGUGCCACUAAUAAGCGAGGUUAUUUUGUAAUUGAAAUUGAGCUCAAGUAACGAGUGUGUAAAUUUCUAAUUUUGAUUGACUGAUUGUGAAUGACUGUUUGAAAUUGCAUUCUGAAUUGUUACAUCUGCAUACAAAGCUUUUGGGGUGGGAUAUUGAAGAGAAGGGAGAUUUAUGAUUUGACAGUUUAUCUGCAUUCUGAUGCCCCAAUUCCCAGAGGGUCGAGGGCGGUCCUAAUCAUGGACAUUACUGAUAACAGUAUAACGGAUUACCACCUUGCAUUGUAUCACAUGUACGUUAGCUACGCUACGUACCACUAUUUGAUUUGGCAGUUAUACUGUACGUCUGUACUGCAGUUUACCGCAUUGCAUAGUAUAGCUUAUACACUAGCUUUGCUGCAUAAUAUAUCUGAUCUGGCAAUUCAUACUGCAUGUCUGUACCGUGGUCUUCUGCAUGGCACUGUACAGCUUACUGAUAGCCCCUAAUACCCAGAGGGUCGUUGGCAGUCCCAAUUCCCUGCGGGUCGAAGACAAUGCUGAUGUCCAUCAUUGCCAGGCAACCCUGGAUGACACCAUAUGGAGUGUAGGGUUGGAUGGAUGGGUUGAUUAUAUCCCCACUUGGAGUGAUUGGUUGGAUGAGCUUAUAGUUCUAUUGAGGUGUGAUGGGGGACGGAGAUGGUGUGUUGGCUGAAUGGGUGGGUUAUUUUAUAACUCAUUUGCACUCAUAUGCAUCUAAUUGUAUCUGUGUGACUGAAUGUGACUGUACUGCUCGAUAGAUGUCUAAAUGAUAUGAUUGAUUGAACGUGAUACUAUAUUUGGAUGUGAUUGACUUAUUGACUGUAAGGCACACUUGUGCCUAAAAGGAUUCUGUAGAUAUGAUUGCUACUGUUUGACUGGAUAGUUACUGAGAGAGGCUGAGGCCCCAACUGAAAACUGAUACUGAUUCUGGAAAUGAGCUUAGGCCCAGUUUGUGACUACCUGGAAUUACCGUUACUGUGCAUGACAGAGCCAUAUGACUGUAAAGUUACAUAUGGUCUGUAUUUAUUUUAGUCGGUUUGUAAGUAUGUUCUAUUUCCGAACUGCUUCUAGUUUUCCUAGUUUCCCCUCUGUAGUUUAAUUGGUUUGAUCUCACACUGAGCUCGUGUAGCUCACCCCCUCUCUGUUUCCCCUUUCAGGUGCAGUUUUGAAUUCUAGAUGCUGGACUCAGUAAGCGAAGGACUCGGACAGCUUCAGCAAAUUGGAGUAGUAGUUAUGGUUUUUAGUUCUUAUAAUUGAUUUUGGACUGUAUGAUUUUUUUUUAAAGCUGUGGUACAAAUUUCGAUUUAAGUUUUACUCAUUUUUAUUCCUAAAGUGUUACUGAUUCGAGUUUUAUAUAAGUAAGUAAAGGUUUUGGUUCGACAUGUUAAUAUGUUUUGUAAAUUUUCCUAUGAUCACUUCGGUGUUCAAUGUAGCAUUCCGAAUUCGGUCUAAACUCCUAGGUCGGGUUUGGGGUGUUACACACGUAUUUAGAAUACAAAUUUGUGUUUAAAAAUAACACACAAUAUUAAUGAAAAAUAUAAUUUGGAAUUAAUUAAUAAUAACACAUGCCAUAUGUACAAUACUAAAAUAAAAAAUUAGAUUAAAUUGUGAGUAAAACGAAAUUUAAAUCACAUCAUAUUAAGAAUACUAAAUGAAUACAAUUUUUUAUCAUUGUUUUGUCAUCAAUUCUAAAUUGAUUUUGUGUUUGUUAACUUGAUUGACCAACUCAAAAUCUCCAAGAGGGAAGGAGAAUUGGCCUUUAAGAAAAAUGGUGGAAGCAAUAAAAGAAAAUGAAACAAUGAACAUAAGAAUUUAUAGUGGUUUGACCCCAGUUGACUACUCCAUUACCUUAGCUUUCUACAACUAAGGAUUUUCCUAAAUUUACUAAUUUGAUAAUCUUUGAGGAAAAUAUUUAACCCUACAAUCUUCCUUAAAUUUUCUACCAAAAAUCUUAAUUUUGUAACUCUCUUAAGGUUUCUAUCCAAACCUUAAGAUUCAACCAUCUCAAAAAGAUACAAAUAAGCAAACAAAGAAACAAUCCUUACAAUAUCAGAAUUUUGCCAAUUAAGCUCAAAUAAAAAAGAAUACACUUGAGCUAAAGAAUAACAAUGAAAGCUCAGAAGUGUGUAUAAGAAAAAUAUGAAAGAAUUAAACACUAAGAUUGUUUUGAUUGAUCUUUAAGCUUGAAAAUCUCUCUCUUUAUUGUAGGACAUUUGAAAGAUGGUGUUUAUGCCCUCUAAUUCAUUUUCAACCAUUGUGGUUGUUGUGAAAGUUAAUAGAGUCAUUGGAAUGAAAAUACUAGAUCAUUAAAUUCACCUACAACGAAAGGUAUUGAUACUUUUUCUACGAGUCUUGAUACUAUUAGCAUUUAAUACCCGAUUCAAUGACUGUUAAAGUUAGUUAAUUUACAUCAAUACCAAAAAUAAUUUAUCGAUACCUGGUAAAAGGUAUCGAUACUUUUUGUAAUUGAUUGAAAACAAAAUGCCAAUUUGGUAUCGAUUUUAUAAAGGGUAUCGACAUUUUGAAAACUAUCAAUACUUGGCCAAAAAGUAGACUUUUUGGCCUGGAGUAAUACUGACUUGUUUUGAAACAGUUUUAACUUGAUUGAAAAUGUUUAACUCAAUUGAAACCAUUUUAACUUGAUUUUAUCAUUUUGCUAAUUUUGUUCAACUUUAACUUUUAUUCAAAAAUAUUUGAACUUGUUAUAUCAAAACAUAUUAUCAAAUAAAGUUAGGUGUAACAGUAUUCAUUUGUGAUUCUAACUCGAUUGACAAAAUUAUUCAUAUACACAAAUAUAUAAAAAUUCAAAACACAAAUAUACUUAUUAAAGUUUCAAAAUAAAAACUAAUACUUACUUUAAUUCAAAUGGUAAAUGAAAAAGUUUUACAUGCAUGGUGUCAUUUAUAGAUAAAUUUUUAUUGCUAUAAAAAUAUGAAAAGACAAAAGCAUCCACAUAAUCAUAUAACUUUACAAAUAACAUGAUUUUUUUGGUAAUCCCUUAACUGAGUUGAGACUCAGUUGAUGGGUGACGCUAACUCAAUAAAAUGCUUAAUAAAUAGUAUAGAUAUAUAAAACGCGAAGUGGGUGGAAAAAAUUUAUGUAAAAAAUUUAUUUAAGACCAUAAUGAAGCUCUACUUUGCUAGUUGUAACUCUACGUUUUGUUUCCGACAGCCCUAAAAUUCGAACUUUAAACUCUCAUAAACCUAAUCCAUAUCAUACAACACUUAAUUAAUUAUCAAAUAUUAAAUUCAUAUAAAGAUCGAGCAUAAUUAAAGAAAAAAAAACUCAAACAAACGCAAAUGAGAAAGCUAAGAUGCAACAUUUCACUUAACAACCAAACGAAAUAUUAAAUAUAAAGGCCCCAAUAUGAGCACUUAUUACAUAUGAAGAUGUUUCUCCAUUUGUAACUACUGAGAGUUGUCGAAACCAUUUUUUAUUUUGAAAAACGGGGAUCGAUUUUAAAAAGAAAUACGGAGUCACAUCAAUCAUUUUUGUUUAGGUGUGAUCAGACCACCCAUAAAAUAUUUUAUUUUAUUAAAAUAUCAAUAUUGGCCUACGAAAUUUAAGAAAACAGGUUCAGGAGUCGAUUACGUGCAAGGAAGGAUUAGCAUUCUCGCAGUGCCAAAAUUGGUACCUUAUUGAUUAAUUAAUGUCCUAAUAUCAAAAAUUUGAAAAGAUUUUGAAAUACAACUCCUUUUAAAAAUAUUUGAAUAACUCGAAUUGGAUGUUAAGAUUCUCUUGUCCCGAAGGAAUAAAAUAUCAUAUCCAGCACGUUAGGAUACCAAUAUUUCAAACCCUCGAUACCAAGAUCAUCUUAUGAUUUCCCAAAUUCAUGCAUUGAAAUUUUAAAAGGAUAUUUAGUUAUUUGGUCAACAGAAAAUCGAAACCCAGCACGUUAGGGCACGAUUUCUCAAAUUUCCAAACACGAAACAUUGCCUUGUUUUAAGAAGCUUUCAAAUAAGCGAUUAUAAGUCCGACUCAAAAUAUAUAUUUUUGUUUUACUUAAAAGACAAUCGAUAUUGGGUAAAAGUUGGAAUUGUAAUCACGAUUCGAUGACAAGAAAUAAAAGCAUAAUUGCAAGCAUAGAAUAAUAAUACAUGGCAAGAAUAUUAUACAAAUGAAUAACAAUCAUAUGAAAAUACGAAGGAGCCAAAUUAAAGUACAUACAAUGGCAACACAUCAUACACUACACAAGUACUAACAUUAAUACUCGAAGGUAAAUGAAUUAAAAGACAAUUUUAAAAGAAAUACCAAGCAAAUUGACACAAAUAAAAUGUAACAAGUUUUAAAAUAAAUAAAGAAUGAAUUAUAUGGAAGAAGAGACAUUGGAAAUCAUCAAUAUACAAAUAACAAAUUACAUGUAAAAAUUUUAAAAGCAAGUAAUAUGUGAAAGUUUAAAAUAGAUAGAAAAUAAGAAAUAGAAAUAAAAAUAUAUAAUGCAUGAAUGAAUUUUGAGAUAAAUAUUAGGUAAGAAGAAAAUCAAAAUAUAAUAUAAAUCUAUCUAAAUAAAUAAUAUACAUGAAAUGAAAAACUUAUUAUAAAUAUACACAUAUAUAUAUAAAUGUUUUAAAUAAACAAAUAUACUUAAAAGAGAUAAAUUAUAUAUACAGACUUAAAAGAAAAUAUAUAAACAUAAAUAGAUUUAAAAGAAAAUAUAUACAUAAAAUAAUACGAAAUCAACAAUAUAUACAAAAAAAUAAUGUAUAAUAUAAUAAUGUAUAAAAUUAUUUAAAAUAAAUAUCAAAUAAAUUUUUAAAACAAAGAGAUAUGUAUAAAAGAGAAUUUUAAAAUAAAAAAUUUAUAUAAUAGAACAAUUUUAAAAAAUAUAUAUAUAUAUAUGAAAGAAAGAACAAAUUAAAACAAUAUAGAGUCAAUAAGAUAGUUUAAAAAACCAUAUUAAGAUAAUUUUAAAAAUCGAAUAAUAAAAUUUUAAAUAAAAAUAAAAUAAUUACAAAGAGUACGAACAUAAACUAAAAAACUCAAUUGAAAUAAAAACAAAAUAAAAAAGGUAAUCCAUAAAUAAAUACAUCAUUAAAACAGAAUUAGGGACUAAAAUACAAUGCGCACAAACAAACGAGGAUUAAAAAUGAAAAUAUCCCAAAUCCAAAAACGCGGCGUUUAAACGCGGACUAAGUUGAAAUGGCGCACAAAUUCCAGGGAAUAAAAACAAAUAAAACAUGAUCGGGGCUUAAUUAAAGGUUAGCGCAAGAGAGGAUGGACUCAUCGCGCAAAUAUCCCUCAGAGACCAAAACACGUGGAUCCUGGUAGUGUUUGGGUCAGGUCAUCGGGUAUGGCAUAACACCGCGUCGUUUUGGCCAUUGAAGUUCGGAUCCAAAACGGCACCGUAUUGAACAUGCUAUAAAACCCCAAAAUUUUUUUAAAAUCCUUAUUUCUUCAUACUUUCUGAAAAAAAGAAAAGGGAGGGGGAGGAUUUCUCUCUGGGCAAUCCAUUUCCGACGAUCGGACCACCGUCCAUCCAUUACCGAUGACCGCCGUGCACGAUGGUCGGAGGUGCAAAAAUGGUCCAUUUUAAUCCUUUUGCUUUCCCCACCUCAGAUCUGAGUCUUAAACACUCGAAAAAACCCACGACCGUUGAAAGAAAUCGAGAAAACCAUUCAGUUUCCUUUUUUCCGAUCGCCUAAUGUCAAAACCAUUUUUUUGAAAAACAGGGUCGACUAUGGUUUUGAAAAUGAAAACGAACAGAGGAGUCGCCACCAAUCUUUUUUGAUGAGGUGUGAUCGGGUUACCUCGUAAAAGUGGUUGUUUUUAAUAAAUGGUUUUGAUUUAUUUAAACAACGAUUUUGGUCUACGCAAAUCAAGAAAACAGGUUCGGGAGUCGGUUACACACGAGGAAGGAUUAGCACCCUUGAUACGCCCAAAAUUGGUACCUAGUUGAUUAAUUAGUGUCUUAGUGUCGAAGAUUUGAAAACUUGAAAGAAUUUAAAAUACGAUCCCUCUUUGUAUUAAUGCUAAUUUAAAAAUGAUUUAAUAAAUUGAAACGGGUGUUAAAGACCUUUUCAUCUCGAAGUAAUAAAAUGUCACACCCAGUAAGUUAGGACACGAUAUCUCGAACUUUGAGAAUGAGCUUGCCUUUAUUUAAAAUUCAUGUAUUUUAACUUUUUAAAAGAAUGUUCGGUUAUUUAGGGUAAACGAGAAAAGCCGAAAUCCAGUAAGUUAGGGCACGUUUUCUCAAAUUUCUAAAUACCGAAUAUUGCCUUUAUUUACAAAAAUUCUUAUCUCGAGGUAACAAUAUGUCAUAUUCAGUAAGUUAGGACACAACACCUCGUAUCUCCGAGAGUAAGCAUGUAAUGCCCCAAUUUUCGAGAAUUCUGUGAAUGUUGGCAAAAUUUCACGCUUUGGUUUUGUCAUUUGUGAGUGAAAUUAUGAAAUAGGACCUAUGUGAAAAUGUUUGAAAAUGCUAUAGGCUAAUUUGUAGUGGCCAAAUAAAUAGUAGUGCAAAAUAGGAGGAUUUGCAUGUCAAACCUCCCAUUUUACAAGAAGUGGCCGACCAUCAUGUUGUUGAAGACAAUAUGUGCACUUGAUAUCCAUAAUUUAUGGUACAAAUUGAUAAAAAAUUGAUAAUGGGUUAGGUAAAUGUUCCAUGAUGGGCAUGAUAAGCAUUAUGGGCAUUUUUUUAUUGACAUUAUGGCAUAGGUAUGGCACAAAUAAUAUAGGUUAUUUUGUGUCAUAAAAUGUGGGGUAAUAAAAUAACAAAAGGAUGAAAAGAACAAAGUUUUGUCCAUCUUUGUUCAUCAUAGCCGAAAGUUAGAGAAGAGAAAGGAGAGGAGAAAGCUCUUGAGUAUUCGGUCACUAGGAGGAGGAAAAUUGAAGGUAAGUUCUUGGUACCUUGCUUCUAUUUUGAGGUUCAUGAGUUCUUCUUGAUUCUACCUUAACUCUUGAAGCAUAUUUUGGUUUUUAGUUGUGUUGUGAGCAUUUAGUCAUGAAUUAAAAUGAAGGAAAUGGUUGUUGUUUCAUGUUCUUUUGAUGAAAAAUGGGAGAUAGGUGAAGUUGAGCCAAACAAAUGAGCAUGCAUGUGCCUUAGAUGCUAAAGGGAAAAAAUCAGCUAACAUGUUGUGCUUUAAAAUGAUGAAAUGGAGAUUAUUCUUAAGUAAAAUGAUAGAUAUGUGAUGAUUGAUUGGUGAUAUACAUGUUUAAAUAACAUGCAUGCAAGUUAUGUGUGAAAGAGUGAAUUUGGUAAUAAAUCUGCUUGGGACAGCAGCAGUAACGUGAAUUUGGAAAAUCACCAUAAAUUGUGGGAGAUGAAUUAGAAGCUUAAUAAAUUAUGUAAUUAAAUCUUGUUGAGUCUAGUUUCAAAUGAAAUAAACGAGAACAUAUUUUGAAUUCUUUACAAUGAGAAAUUUGAUUCGUAAUGAAGAGUGGGCAGAUUAGUCAAACAGUGAAACAUGGGAAACUUUAAGAAAAAUCUGGUAUUGAUUGGCUAAACAAAAAAUUCUGAAAAUUUUAUGGAUAGAAGAUAUAUGAGUCUAUUUUUAGGGAAAAUUAAUGGCACUUGAUUUGGAGUUUCGUAGCUCCAGUUAUAAAUGAUUUAGUGACUGUUGCUCAGGAAGACAGCUUGCAGUGAAAUUAUGAUUAUGUGGUAAACACUGACAAAAAUUUGUUAAUGAGUUGCUUAUUGAUUUCUUAUAAGCUUACUCUGAUCUGUAGUUGUGGUUGGCCGAAUAUUGCAAGGGGUUAAUACGUAGUUCGUAUUUGAAUAGUUAGAUUAACGUGUUAGUAAUCCAAUUGUAGGCGGUUCGUGUGUGGAUCUCGUCAGCAUAUCGUCGCAAACAGGUGUGUAACUAACACCCUCUUAUAGACUAGAUCGGCACAAGUCGGAAUGCCGAAAUGCCGAAAAGCCGGUAUUUUAAGAUCUUGCGAGUGUGUGAAUGCUCAUGAGUUAAUAGUUUGAUGUAAAUGGUAAAUUAAAGUGAUAAGACUGCAGAGUGCGCGAUUCUGUGCAUUUCGGUAUUUUUGGGCUUAAUGGGCCAAAAAGGGGAUAAUGGGCCAACGGGCCCAAAUUGGUAAGAAAACACGGUAAGUGUUUCUGAUCGUACGUAAAUGGCUAUGUUAUGUAUGAAAACCUUAAGAAUAGUUAAAUUACUUGAAUACCCCUAUGUAUGCAAAAUUACCAUUAUACCCCUAGGGUUACUUUUGACUAAAAAGCAUGACGAUUUGAUUCUGUAUGAUGUAUGCCAUGAUUAUAUAUCUGUUGCAUGGGGACUUGGGUUAUACUAUGGAGGAAGUGUCCUGGUGGCUAUGCCACAAUUAUCUGAUCUGGUGACUCUGCCACAUAUAUCUGUCCUGGUGGCUAUGCCACAAUUAUCUGAUCUGAUGGCUCUGCCACAUAUAUCUGUUCUAGUGGCUCUGCCACAAUAUCUGUAUCUGGUGACUCCGUCACAAUAUCUGGCAGCCUCGCUGUGAUUUCUGUGGUGUGUAGCGGUUGGGUGGGUCGAGUUGUCUCCCCACACAGUGUAAGGUUGGUACGGGGGUGUAUACGGUUGGAUAUGGUUGGGUUUCUGCAUAAACAUGUAAUAUCUGUUCUGUUCUGUUAUGGGCCUAUGGGCUUUAUUCUGAAUUCUGUUCUGGGCUAAGGCCAACUUAUUCUAUUUCUGUGGUUUGAGCUGAUAUAGGCUAUGGUUGGGUUAAUUUACACACUGAGUUUCCCCAAACUCACCCAUUUUAUUUUCAUCAACGCAGGUAAUCCCCAACCAUAGUGGGCUUGGAGCUGUGAGGGAAUUCGGAGUGGUCACCUGUAACGCCCCGAGCCCGAUACCGUUGCCGGAGUCGAACACGAGGUGUUAACAGACUUAUUUCAUUGUAAAACACAGUUCAUUUAAAAUUUCCAGACAAGCUGGCUAACUGCGUCACUGUCACCUUAAAAAUCAUAUCUCGAGUUCAAAAACUCGAAAACAAGUUCCGUAAAUUUUUCCUGAAACUAGACUCAUAUGUCCAUCUACAAAUUUUUUUCUAGAAUUUUUGGUCAGGCCAAUUAGUACAGUUUAUUAGUUAAAGUCUCCUCUGUUACAGGGUUCGACUGCUCUCACCUUCAUGCAUUACGACUUAUAUAUCUCCCUGUACAGGGAUUCAAUACUUAUGCCGUUUGUUUCUAACAAAACUAUACUCAAAAAUGAAUCUAUAAAUAUAUGGCAUGACUUCUAAUUAUCUCUGGUUAAUUUAUAGUGAAUUUCCAAAUUCAGAUCAGGGGAUCCAGAAAUCGCUCUGGCCCUAUUCCACGAAAACUUAAAUAUCUCUUAAAAUACGACUCAUAUGAUCGUUUCGCUUCUUCCAUAUGAAAGUAGAUUCAUCAAGGUUAGAUUACAUAAUUUAUUAACUAUUUAAUUCCAUUCCUACUAUUUUUAGUGAUUUUUCAAAUUUACAUCACUGCUGCUGUUAGCAUCUGCCUUUAAGGUAGACUUUACCUAUAUCAUAGUUUCCAUGAUUCAACUAGCCCUUUAGCAUAUAUAGCACAAAAUAUGAUCAUGAUUAACCAUUCCAAUGGCCAAUCAUUGACAAGCAUAUCCACACCUCUCAAUAACCAUAUACAUACAAAAUGAUUAUAACACUAUGCUCAAAAUAUAUAAGCCAUUUUCGCAUGGCUAUCCAAAUAUAUACAACACCAAAGUACUUGACUAAUAACACAAGGGCAGUCCUAUACAUGCCAUUAGCAGAGUUCAACUAAAAGAGUACCAAAAUGGCUUUGAUAGUGUGGACGACUUUGACUUUGACAAUCCCGAGUCCGAUAGCUAACGAACCAAAAUCUAUAAAACAGAGAAUCAAAGAAACGGAAUAAGCAUUUAAUGCUUAGUGAGUUUUGAGCAAUGAAAUUAGGCACAAUUGAAGUAUAGCAUUCAUAUGACUAAACGGAUAAUUUCAUAUACACACAUUCUCAAAAUCAUACCUACUUCACAUUACCAACCCUUAUACUCAUACAUAAGAGAUCAACUUAACCAAAAGCCGGAAGCUCAUUAAUCGACUGAGUGAAUACUAUUUAAAAGGAAUCAACUAAUCCAAUGCAUAUACGAAACAUACCUCAUCGUUGGGAUUUUACGAGCAUAUUAAUUGAAAUUAUUACAGCAAGAUCGCUCAUUCCCAAACCAAGUACCUUCGGGAUUUAACCGAAUAUAGCUACUCGCUCAAAUGCCUUCGGGACUUAGCCCGGAUAUAGUAGUUCGCACAAAUGCCUUCGGGACUUAGCCCGGAUAUAGUAACUUGCACAAAUGCCUUCGGGACUUAGCCCGGAAUUAGUCACUAGCACAAAUGCCUUCGGGACUUAGCCCGGAAUUAGUCACUAGCACAAAUGCCUUCGGGACUUAGCCCAGAAUUAGUCACUAGCACAAAUGCCUUCGGGACUUAGCCCCGUUAUCAUCCGAAUAUUCAUGCACAUAUCAGUAAAUCAUGACACAUCUUUAUUUCAUUUUCAUAACUAGAAUUCAAACACAAGUCAAUUAUUAAGCAUUCCCAUUUUCGGCUCAAUAGCCACAUACAAACAGCAUGAUUUGGUUUGCUUUAUGACAUGAUCUCUAUGCACAUACGGCUACCCAUCAUACGUAUAGACUAAUUAACUCAACAUAUAAUUCAAGUAGAAUCAUUAUAUCACCGUAUAUUUGUUAUGAUUAUACGUCAUGACUUAAUCAAAUCGUAAACUAAGUUUCAUUACUCGAAAACUUACCUCAGAUGUUGUCGAACAAUUUCGACGGCUAUUCGAUCACUUUUUCCUUCCCUUUAUCGGAUUUAGUUCCCCUUUGCUCUUGAGCUUAAUUUAACAAAUAAAUUGAUUUAAUCAUUUGAACAUCAAAAAGAGAAACUCAAGGUACUUAACCCAUAUAUACAUUAGACAUUAGAGUCACAUAUAUAUGAAAUCAUGAAUCAACUCAACAUAUUAGCCCACACUCUCUUUUAGCCGAUUAUCUAAGCCAAGAUAAAAGCAUCAAUAUGCUUGCCUCUAACCGAAUACAUGCAACACCAAUCUACCUCAUGUGGCCGAAUAUGCAUGUCUAUGUUGAGGCCGAUUUUAUGCUUAAUACUUCCUACAAAUAUGGUUACUUGUAUUGACUACAUACCAUUUUGUUUCAAGUUCAAAACUCGGCUAAUACACAUAUAUACACUAGUAAUCAAAUACUAACAUUUGCACUUCACCUUACUACCAAUUCUCAUCUACUUCCUACCAUGGCCGAAUGCAUCAAGACACCAUACCAUUUCAAUUUUGGUCAUGGGUUAAACAAAGAACUUAAUGUCUAACUCAAAAAUGCUAAAAAGAAAAUCCAAGAGUCAUCAAUAUGCAAAUGACAUCAACACAAGUCCACCUUAGCCGAAACUUAACUCAUCUUCAUGCCUCAUCACCACAACAUCAAACACCAACCAAGAAGACAACACCCAUGGCCGAGUAUCAUCUCCCUCACAUAGCAAAGAUUUAAACCAUGGGCUAGGUAGAACUCAAGCUAACAACUAAAAAUAUACAUGAAUCUCAUGGAGUAACAUCAAACAUACCUUAGCCUAGUUACAUGCAUGGCCGGACCUCUUCAACCUUUCUUUUUCCUUCCUCUUUAGAAUUUUCGGCCAAAGAUGUUAAAGGAUGAACAUUUUUUUUUUCUUUUCUUUGUUUUCAUCACUCUUCAUCCCCUUAUUUUAUUACUAACUCUUUUAUUUUAUUCUUUCCAACAUGAAACAUUAACACACCAUGUUUAUAAUAUACUAUGACCCAUAGCAUGGCCGGCCACUAGCUCAAAUUUUGGGUAAUUUGACAUGCAAACCCAUCAUUUCUAUAACAUGCAUUAAUAGGCCACUUUACAUUUGCCUAGCACAUUUCUAAAUUUUCUCACAUAAGUCCUAUUUACUAAAAUUCACCUACAAUUAACAAAAUUCAAAUAUGAAAUUUUCACACAUGCAUAUAUACAUAUAAUAAGCAUCAAAUAUGACAGUUAAUUAUUUUUAUGACUCGGUUUUGUGGUCCCGAAACCACUUCCCGACUAGGGUCACAUUAGGGCUGUCACACCACCCGUUCUGAAAGUUUGAUUUUCUUCUGGUGAACUCGACAUCCUUUUAUUUACGUUUGAAGUUUUGGGUUUUUAAAUGUAAUAAGGCCGCUUAAUUAUUUUUGAUGGUUUUAAUAUGUAUUACUAAGAUAGGUAUUACUUAUUUUAACUGUUGAAAUUGGAUAGCUUUAGGGCGCAUUUUCAAAAACAACAAUUGAUUUCAAAAUAACACGACAACAAGCAAAGCUUCCGCAAUGAAAGUAUUUUCCAAAAUUAAUCACUUUUCCUAAAAAUGACUUAAUCAAAUCGGUUUCCUAGAAAUAUCCAUGACGUUAAGGUGUGGCAAUGGCGGUAUGCAUGUCUAGGAUUGGAUCCGAAGGGAGCUUGGUACUUAAGCAGUCUGAUGGACUCACCACCUCUUUUCCGGUUUCCUACCUGGUGCACAGCUUCCAUUCACUUUAACCUAUAAUGAAAUUAUAUUUUAAAACACUAAGUAAGUUUUUCUGGAUCAACAAUAUAAAAUGUUUUGAACGCUUCGAUGUGGCAUGUCGGAUCCGGUCAUAACGUCUGGGCCGGGUUUGGGGUGUUACAAAGCAUUUAUUUCAAAACUCGUAUUGUGAUUUAAAAGAAUAUUCUGUUAUUUAGGUUAAAUGAGAAAAAUCGAAACCCAGUAAGUUAGGGCACGAUUGUCUUGAAUUUCUAAAUACGGAAUAUUGCUUUUAUGAAAGAAUUAUUUUAAUGUAUCGAGUAAAAAUAUGACGUGAUUUAUAGUGAAACAUAAAAGCAAAUUAUGGUACUAAUACGUAUAAUAAAAUAAUAAUAGGUACAACAAUGCCGACAAUAAUAUGAGCAAUUAUAUGAAAAUGAAAUAUAUAUAUAUAAGGCUAUAAUAUAAAAAUAGAAACAAAUAAACAAGUAACAAGAAUUACUAAAAAAGAAUUUAAACAAAUAAAUAAGAAAAGUGAAAUAAGCAAAUAAAUAGGUAAAUAAAUAAAAAUAUAAAAUAUGACAAAAUAAAAAUGACAAUAAUAAUGAAAACAACAAUAAUAAUAAUGCUAAUAGUAGUAAUAGUAAUAGUAAAAAGUAAUAAUAAUAAUAAUAGUAAUGGCAAUAAUAGUAAUAAUAUGCUAAAUAAUAAUAAGAAAAAACAAUAGUAAUAGUAAUUACAAAAGUGAUAAUAAUAAAAUAGGAUGAUAAUAAUAAUACUAAUGAAACUAAAAAUAGUAGUAAUAGUAAUAAUAAUAAGACCGUAAUAAAAAGAAAAAGAAAUAAUAACAUAUAAAUGGUAAUAAUAAUAUAUUAAUAAGAAAAUAAAAAUCUAAUAAUAAUAAUAAUAGAAAUGGAAUAAAACAUAUAAUGAUAAUAGUGGUGGUAAUAAAAGUAAUAAUACUAAUAAUAGCAGCAAAUAUAAUAGUAAUAAUAAUAACAAUAAUAAUUUUGAUGAUAAAAUAGCAAAAAUGACUAAAAGGGAUUAAAUCGAACUUGAAACAAAAGUUUUGGGGCAAAUCCGAAGUAAAUAAGAGAGAAAAGGACUAAAUUGCAUACAAAAACAACCAGGAGGGACUAAAAUGGGCAAUAACCCCUCCCUUCAAAACACGCAGCAUCAGGAUGGGCCCAAUUGAAAACAAAACAACAUUUUGGGGAAAAAUUAAAAGAGUGAAAACAUGAUUGCAAAACACAAAAACAAAGGAAGGGCUAAAUGCACAAAUAUCCUUUUUGUAGAAAACACGCGGAUCCUGGAAGCGGGUCGGGUCAGUGCACGGGUUAUGAGGCAAAACGACGUCGUUUUGGGUGUUUAAGGCCAGCCCCAAAACGACGUCGUUUUGAGGGCCUAUAAAAGAUAUAUAUAUUUUUAAAAUUUUCAUUUUUUCAUUUGUUAACAAAAAACUUCCCUCCCCUCCCUUUUUUAUCUCUCUGCAGGGGUUGAGUAUCUGGCAAGGUCUCUGACUGGUCUCCACCGUGGCCCGCUGCCGGUGCCGCCGUCAGCCACCGUACGCGGUGGCCGAAAAUUCAAAAAGGUAUAUUUUUUAUUUUCUUUUAUAUUAAUAUAUGUAUAUGGACUAUUUUUAAAAGGAAAAUAACGAAAAUAUAGGCAUGUACAUAUAUAAUCGAAAGAGGAAAAUAAAUUGAGAAGAAAAACGAAAAUAAAGACCUUAGCACGUUUUUGACUUUUCUUUUCUCUUCGAUCUACUUGCCAUUUAUUAUUUUGGUAUGCUUGAAUCCUUUGUAUUUUAGUAAGAAAAAAAAUCCCCUUUUACAAAUGAUUUUUAGGCUUUUAUAUAGCCAAUUUUACAAUAUUAUUUCUAUUUUUUUCACUGUUCUUGCAUCUGAUUCUGUCUUUUCUUUGCAGGAGCAGUUGGGUGGUGGAGUAGGUGGCUGCCAGUGGGCUGGUCAGAGGAGGCAGCACUAGGGGCGGCAGCCACUUGGAUUAGGGGGCUAAGGUUAGGUUUUCUUUUUCUUUUUCUGAAAAUUUUGUGGUGUUGGGCUUAUAGUUUGUUAGGUUUUUUUCCUGAGAGUGACCCCUUUUUUGGUGAGAGUGACCCUGAGAGUGACCCUUUUUUACACUUCGGUUGACAUUGCUCGUUAUUCAUCGAGGUUGCGUCACCGGCGUAAUAUUUUGUUUUUUUGUGCAACUGAUAUCUUCUAACAAAGAAUCUGGAGAGAUAGCCACAAUUUUAAACUCGUCUUUCUCAAAUAUUUCCAACACUUAGACUUGGCGAGUUCUAAAUAAUUAUCCUGUUUCAGAUUCCUAUACUAUUUAGAAGCUUCCAGAGUAAUAUGCAAAACUUCUUUUAUGAAAGUAUUAUUGGUCCAUUAAUCGUUAUUUCAAUGCAAAAUGCUUGAAAAAGAUCAUAACAAUGAACAAUAAGGAAAUUGAUUGGAAGAAUAUCCCGAAAUGAAUAAAUUAAUCAAAUAUUGCAAAUGCAAUAAAAAGGAAAUUAACUCAAAAUGAAUAAGUUAAUCAAAUUCGGAAUGGAAAACUAGGUACCCCAGAUACCGCAGCUUGAGCUUCUCUGUACCAACUUCUUGAGGACCCUUCUGAGCUCAAUAUGUGUUUAAGGGAUUCAGAGUACUUUGUCGAUGCCCCAAGAUGUAGCAUACUUCUUUAUUCUUAAUUCAGGCAUAGCAAGACUGUUGUAUGCCCCACUUUGGUCCAAAUUUGAGCUGCCCUUUUUGGGUUUUCGACUCAAAUCCCCUUUGGUCUCAAAGCGCCCUUUGCUGGUUUUCGCCUUGUGCUCUCAUUUUUUCCUUUUUUCUUUUUCUCUUUUUUUUUUGGUCUCGAGGCGUCCUUUGCAAGUCUUGGCCUCUCCCCUUUUAGGUAGAAUACUCCUUGAUUGGAUUUGAAUUCACCGAUUUGGGCAAAUCUUUGCCAUCCAUUUCGGUCAAUAUCAAUGCCCUUCCAGAACAGACCUUCUUUACUACAUAAGGUCCUUCUCAGUUUGGCAUCCAUUUUUCUCUGAAUUCCUUUGUAUAGGAAGAAUCUUCUUCAAUAUCAAGUUCCCCUCGUGGAAUUCUCUAAGAUAAACCUUUUUAUAGUAAGCUCGCAUAAGUCAUUUCUGGUGCAUUGGACCUUGACAGAUAGCUUUCGACCCUCUCUCUUCAAACUCAAUUGAUCCUAUCAGGAUUGGAUCCAUUCUGCCUUAUCCAACUUCAGCUCUAACAAGACUCAGAAAAAAUGAAUCUUGUCUUCAAAAUCGAUUCUAUCCUAUAAACCCAUGAGCAAUGUGUUGCCCCGGCUAAGGUCCUGGGCGACGUUUGAUAAUGAUAGAGGGUAAAAGAGUUACUUUUUCAUGCCAAUCUUUAUAAGUCUCGAUUAUCUUCCACGAUCCUUUUUUGUUUUUUUUUUUACUUUUUUUUGUUUUUUUCUUCUCUUUUUGUGUGUGUGUGUGUGUUUUUUUUUGAAUUUGAUAACUAUCGAACUUGUAAUAUCAACAUAUGAAGCUACCUUCACCCUCUUAGUGAAGUAAUCAACAACCACAUAGAUGAAUCGGUGUUGGCCUGAAGCUUUUGACAAGAUUAAUCCCUUAACAUCCAUGCCCCACAUAUAUGUAGAAAAAUCUGUGAAAAAAAUGGAGGAGGCACAUAAGUCUUGUCUUCCUCAAUCCAGCAUUUAUGGUAUAACUGAUGCAAUCCCCUUCCAUGGUGGACCAGCAGUACCCGAACCUCAUCAUUAGCCUGGCUAACGUAAAACCAGUAGCACGUGUUCUUUAGACACCAUUAUGGACCUCUUCUAAGAUUUCCCUAGCCUUGAUAGCAUCCAUAUGUCCUAAUAACCUGGGCAUAUCUUGAUACAAUCAUGUGAAAACAUCUUGGAAUUCUCAAUGACAUCUCGCUUUGUUUUUUUAUAAUGAUGCAUACUCCAAUGUUUGCCUCUUUCUUUUGUCCUAAGCUUACUUUCCACUGACUCUUUGUAAGGUAGGAUCUGUUUUCAUCUUGUUCUACCAUUCUUAACAAAUCAAGAGAUAUGUUAUAAACUUUGUCAUCUUCAAAGUCCUGAGAUCCCUCUAGACACACGCCUCGCUCAAAAGGAAAUUCUGGGUCAGUAGUAGCGUCUCUCAUGUUGUUGAUAUUUGGGUACCUAUUAUAGGUACGAAGGAAGAUUUCAAAGAAUAAAUGAAUCUAAGAACAUGAAUGUAGAAUAAGAAUAUUUGAAAGAGAGUCCAAAGAACAAUAGAAUCUAAGAACAAUUAUUUGUACAGUAUGAAAUGAAAUAAAAGAAUAUUUGCUCAAAAAAGAUGCAUUUUAUUGAAAUAAAGACUUAGGACACAAGCCCAUUUCACAAAAGGAUUUUUAUUACUUCUAGGCUUAAAGAAACAAGCGUGUUUUGAAUAUUACUCUAGAUUAGCUCUAAAAAUAGAGAGAUCUCUUCCACAGUCCCAUUGUUCAAAACACUUCCCGACUUAUUAGGGCGAAUGCCUGAUCAGUUCUAUUUUUCAAUUCCUUCUUUGGAUAUGGCAUUGAUACUUCAAUUUCCAAACAUUCCUUCUAGGCCUUUGACCUCUUCAAAGAAUUCCAACUCUUUUGAUUAAUGUAAUGCAUGUGAUGAAAUGCAAUGCAAAUGCAUGGGAUGAAUGCAAAAAAGAAAGAGAGGCAUUGAUUCUGGAUUCAAUUCCAUUAGAACAACUUUUCUAGAAAAUAAAUUUCUUUACAUAAAACGGAUUACAUAUGCGGUCUUGCCCUCAUAUUCCAAGCGAAGACACCGAUCCUUUUCAUAUCCGGAUGUUAUGGUUGAAUCUUGUGGAUUUUCCAAAAGAUGUCCCUAUUAUCUCAUUUCCACUUGAUUUAGACUGCGGCCCAUUGCUCACUUAUCCCCGCGAUGCUCGUUAACUUCUUUAAGACAUGGCAGCUCUCGAAUAAUCUUUAUUGGCUUAAAUCCUCAAGCGAUGAAGUAAAGUCGUAUAUUCCUUCAUUAAUUAUCAGCCUUCUCUUGUUGUUUACUCGGACCAUAUUCAGACGACCGUAUUAUAUUCCACUCUAUCAAAAAAUUCAUUUUCUUAUGAAAAACUAUUCUAUUUAGCAAUCAAAUAUGAAUCAACACCUCCUUUCUAUGAUGAUGUAAUGCAAUGCAGUUAAAACAAAACAAAACACGUUAGUACAUGAGAAAUAAACAAAAUAGAGUACCUACCUGGAUGAUUACUAGGGGUUCGGAGUGGCUCUACCUAGGGUGGGCUCCUAGGUCUCUCUACAUGUGGCUCGAUUCUAGAGUAAGGGUACCUGAACCAGCAGAUUCCUCGAUUCUCACCCAUUAUAGGCUCAUAUGGAUCGAGUUCGGUUCAGGGGAAUACAUUUCCCUAUGACCAUCGGAGAUGAAAAUCUCACGAAAUCAUAGGUACGGAUGUAUCCCGGAAGCAAUUGACUAGCCCAUGCGGAGGUGAACACCUCACGAAGGCAUAGCUUCUCACUCUCACUUAAAAGGGUAAGAUCGACCGAUCAUGCAAUGCAAUAUGCAGAAAGAUACCUAAACUCAAACUAACACAAUGAUUAUAAACCGCAAUGAUAAGGAUCGUAACAAUGAUGAAUAAAAAUGCAACGAAAGGAUCUCUUAUGAUGGAAAUGCAAUGUGAUCAAAGCAAAAUCAAACGCACUAACACAAAAUGAAAACAGAAUAGAGCACCUAUCCGGGUAACAACUAGGAUUUGGUGUGCCUCUACUUAGGGUGAGCUCCUAGGGCUCUCUAUAUGCGGCUCGGUUCUAAAGCAAAAGGUACCCAAACCUGCAGAUUCCUCGAUCCUCACCCAUCAUAGGCUCAUAUAGACCGAGUUCAGUUCAGGGGAAUACAUUUCCUUUUGGCUGCACAGAAAUGAAAAUCUCACGAAGACAUAGGUACAUAUGUAUCCUGAAAGCGAUCCACUAUCCUACACGGAGGUGAAGACCUCACAAAGGAAUAGUUUCUCACUCCCACUUAAAAGGGUGUAACCGCGCGGUCAUGCAAUGCAAUGUGCAGGGAUAUACAAAAAGCUCGAAGCAAAUAAAGAAAAUAUGAAUAAAAUGAUGAAAAUCGUAACACCAACGAAUGAAAAUGGAUGAAAUGCAAUUAAAGGAUCGUAUAUCAAAACCAAAUUUUUAAUUUUCGACAAAAAGACAAAAGUUAAUCAACUUGUGGCUUGACUCUUUUAUUUGCGUCCCCAGCGGAGUCGCCAAGCUGUCGAAACCAUUUUUUUGAAAAACGGGGUCGACUUUGGUUUUGAAAAUGAAAACGAACAGAGAAGUCGCCACCAAUCUGUUUUGAUGAGGUGUGAUUGGGUCACCUCGUAAAAGUGGUUGUUUUUAAUAAACGGUUUUGGUCCACGCAAAUCAAGAAAAUAGGUUCGGGAGUCGGUUACGCAUGAGGAAGGAUUAGCACCCUCGAUACGCUCAAAAUUGGUACCUAGUUGAUUAAUUAUUGUCUUAGUGUCGAAGAUUUGAAAACUUGAAAGAAUUUAAAUACGAUCCCUCUUUGUAUUAAUGCUAAUUUAAAACUGAUCAAAUAAAUUGAAAUAGAUGUUAAAGACCUUCUCAUCUUGAAGUAAUAAAUUGUCACACCCAGUAAGUUAGGACACGACAUCUCGAACUUUGAGAAUGAGCUUGCCUUUAUUUAAAAUUCAUGUAUUUUAACUUUUUAAAAGAAUGUUUGGUUAUUUAGGGUAAACGAGAAAAACCAAAACCAAGUAAGUUAGGGCACGUUUUCUCAAAUUUCUAAAUACCGAAUAUUGCCUUUAUUUGCAAAAAUUCUUAUCUCGAGGUAAUAAGAUGUCAUAUUCAGUAAGUUAGGACACAACACCUAGUAUCUCCGAGAGUAAGCAUUUAUUUCAAAACUCGUAUUGUGAUUUAAAAUAAUAUUCCGUUAUUUAGGUUAAAUGAGAAAAAUCGAAACCUAAUAAGUUAGGGCACGAUUGUCUCGAAUUUUCAAAAUAAGGAAUAUUGCUUUUAUAAAAGAAUUAUUUUAAUGUAUCGAAUAAAAAUAUGACGUGAUUUAUAGUGAAACAUAAAAGCAAAUUAUGGUACUAAUAUGUAUAAUAAAAUAAUAAUAGGUGCGACAAUGCCGACGGUAAUAUGAGCAAUUAUAUGAAAAUAAAAUAUAUAUAUAUAUAUAUAUAUAUAUAUAUAUAUAAGGCUAUAAUAUAAAAAUAGAAACAAAUAAACAAGUAACAGGAAUUACUAAAAAAGAAUUUAAACAAAUAAAUAAGAAAAGUGAAAUAAGCAAAUAAAUAGGUAAAUAAAUAAAAAUAUAAAAUAUGACAAAAUAAAAAUGACAAUAAUAAUGAAAAUAGUAAUAAUAAUAAUACUAAUAGUAAUAAUAAUAAUAAUAAUAAUAAUGGCAAUAAUAGUAAUAAUAUGCUAAAUAAUAAUGAGAAAAAACAAUAGCAAUAGUAAUUACAAAAGUGAUAAUAAUAAAAUAGGAUGAUAAUAAUAAUACUAAUAAUAAUAAUUGUCGAAACCAUUUUUUAAAGGGUUUGAAACACGGGGUUCGACUUUUUGAAAAAUGAAAAUGGGAGUCGCCACCAAUCUUUUUAGGUGUGAUUGGAUCACCUUUAUAAAACAUUUUGGUCUACGAAAUGCAAGAAAACAGGUUCGGGAGUCGGUUACGCACAAGGAAGGAUUAGCACCCUCGUAACGCCCAAAAUUGGUACCAAAUUGAUUAUUUAUUGUUCUAAUGUCAAAAAUUUGAAAAGAUUUUAAAACUUGAAUAAUUUAAAGUUGAAACUUGAGAUUCCUUUGUUCCGAAAGUAUACAAACAUCGCAUCCAGCAUGUUAGGACACGAUGUUUUAAAUCCUCGUAACUAAAAUUAUCUCAUGAUUUUGAAAAUUUAUUAAAAGGAUAUUUGGUUAUUUUAGUCAAACGAAAAAAUCGCAACCCAGCAUGUUAGGGCACUAUUUUCCAAAUUUUUAAACACCAAACAUUGCCUUAUUUAAGAAAAAACUUUUUCACUUAAAUGAAAUAUAUUUUUUAAAACAAUGAAUAAUAUAGAAUUUAAUAAAAAAAUUUGAUAUAAUACUAAAAUUAUUAAAAAAUAAAAUAUAAAAGAGAAUUAAAAAAAUCAAGGAGAUAGGGAUUAAAUAAAAAAAAGGUUGAAAACGAAGAUGAACAAAGAAUACAUAAGAACAAACCGUAGAAAAUAAGAACACAAGAGGGAGAGAAAUUUAAGUGAAUGCUCUCAAGAAUUCUUAUUGCUUCCCAAAACUCAAUUGAAGUCAAGUUCUUUUACAAUGAGGGGAGAGGCCUCUAUUUAUAGUUGAGCCUCCCCAAAUCCAACGGUAUAGAUCAAUUACAUCAACGGUUAAGAUUAAAGGAUAUCUACAAAUUAAAUCUCCAAGAUUACAAAAUCAUAUCUUUUAAGAUUGUAUAUCAUAUCUAAGAUUGCAAUCAUAUCUAAGAUUGUAUCAUAUCUAAGAUUGCAAUCAUAUCUAAGAUUAUAUCAUAUCUAAGAUUGCAAUCAUAUCUAAGAUUGUAUCAUAUCUAAGAUUGCAUAUCACAUCUAAGAUUGCACAUCAUUGAAGAUUAUAUUUCCAUAUGAGUCAAACUUGUAGAUGGACCUUAAAUCUUUUCAAGUAAUGGGCCAUUCCGAUCGGGCCAAAUUAUAUUUGUAAUUCUGGACUGAACUUGGACUUUGUUUUUUUUUGGGGGGUUUAUUAUUUUUGUUUUUGGACUUAUUUCUGGGCCCGGGCAAAAUUGAGUGUCUACAGCUGCCCCUCUUUGCUCAUUGCUGUGUAACAGGAAUAGAGCAAAGACUAUAAAAAGACCAAUUUUGCCCGGUCUUGCCGAGUCUUGACUUCUUGAUGUUCUUUAAAUGGCCUCUUGACGGCUUCAAUCUGCUUCUUGCAAACUUAUAACUGUCAUGUUGGUAUCUUCGAUCUUCUCUCCAUCGAACACAGAGACGCCAAAUCUGCUUCUUCAAUUUGUUCCCUGACAAUACAGAGAUGCCAAAUCAUCUUAGAUUUGCUUCAGCGUAAACACGCGAAAGCUAAAUCAGCUAUGUCUUCGAUUUGUUCCUUGUAAGCACAAGGAUACUAAACCAUCUUGGAUCUACUUCAGUCUAAUCAUCUGAAGGUUAGAUCUGCUCUAUGUCUGUCCUCCGUCGAAUAUGGAGACGCUAAACUUUGAUUUGUUCUCUGACAAUACAGAGAUGCCAAAUCAUCUUAGACUUGCUUCAAUGUAAACACGUGAAAGCCAAAUCAGCUAUGUCUUCGAUUUGUUCCUUGUAAGCACAAGGAUGCCAAACCAUCUUGGAUCUUGCUUCAGUAUAAACAUCUGAAGGCCAGAUUUGCUAUGUGUCUGCCCUCCGUCGAAUAUGGAGACGCAAAACUUCGAUUUGUUCUCUGACAAUACAGAGAUGCCGAAUCAUCUUAGACUUGCUUCAACGUAAACACGUGAAAGCCAAAUCAGCUAUGUCUUCGAUUUUUUCCUUGUAAGCACAAGGAUGCCAAACCACUUGGAUCUUUCUUCAGUAUAAACAUCUGAAGGCCAGAUCUGCUAUGUGUCUGCCCUCCGUCGAAUAUGGAGACGCCAAACUUCAAUUUGUUCUCUAACAAUAUAGAGAUGCCAAAUCAUCUUAGACUUGCUUCAACGUAAACACGUGAAAGCCAAAUCAGCUAUGUCUUCGAUUUGUUCAUUGUAAGCACAAGGAUGCCAAACCAUCUUGGAUCUUGCUUAAGUAUAAACAUCUGAAGACUAGAUUUGCUAUGUGUCUGCCCUCCGUCGAAUAUGGAGACGCCAAACUUCGAUUUGUUCUCUGACAAUACAUAGAUGCCAAAUCAUUUUAGAUUUGCUUCAUCAUAAGCACGUGAAAGCCAAAUCAGCUAUGUCUUCGAUCUGCUCUCCGUCGAAUAUGAAGAUGCCAAAUCUGUUUCUUCGAUUUAUUCUCUGACAAUACAGAGACGCCAAAUCAUCUUGGAUCUGCUUCAGCGUGAACACUUGAAGGCCAGAUCUGCUAUACUUUAACCUGUUACCCUACUGCUUAGGGGGUUAAGGCGCAUCUUCGAUCUGCUCCACUGCUGUUUAGGGAGAUAAGAUCCGUAAUUUUGACCUGUUACCCUACUGCUUAAGGGAUUAAGGCGAGUCGUCGUUGAUCUGUUCCACUAUUGCUUAGGGAGAUAAGAUCUGUGAACCUGUUACCCUACUGCUUAGGGGAUGAAGGCGCUGAAUUUUGUAAUUUUCAAUCAAUCUUACUACAUUGUCCACUGGGGAAUCCACUUGUAGAAUUGAUUUCUUGGAAUUUAUGCUUAUGCCAAAUAAUUAAGAUGCCAUGCUCCUAAUUAGACAUAUUAUGAUGCAAAAUAUUUAUGAAAAUAACUCCUAUUUCGGACGUCAUCACUUAUUCAUCUAUCGAGCUUUCCACCUCGUUCUUCUCGACAUAUCAAUCAUACUCUGCUCGUAUGCCUCGAAUCUUCUCCAUCAAUUUGGUCUACCGUACCAUUCUCCGAAUGUUACGACCCACUGAAGAUGUUUAUGAAAUGAUCCUUUCUUAAGAUCAAUAUUGCUUAAAACGCCCAACCACCUUUUGGACUGAAGAAGAAAAUCUCUCGAGUAUCUCCAACCCAUACAUAUGAGAAUUCCUUAAACAAUUGUCUUGUUUCAGUUUCUUGUAUUAUCUACAAAUUUCCAGAGUAAUAUGCAAAACUUCAUUUGUGAAGAUAUUUUAGUUCAUCUAUCAUUAUUUCAAUGCAACAUGCUUUAUGAAUAAUGGGAGACAAAUAAAUGGAUCCUGAGGAUAUUUAGAUUUGGACAAAUUAUUGGAAGGAAUGCGAAAAGAUUAACCUGAGAACAUAUCUUUGCAAAGAAAAAGAAUUCAAAGAUAGUAAAUAGGAUAGAAAUCAGAUGCCCCAGAUAUCGCUGCUUGAGCGUCUAUACACCAGCUCCAUGAAGACUUUUUUGAGUUCAACAUGUGUUUAAAAGAUCCAAAGUAAUUCGUUGAUGCCUCGAUAUGUAACAUACUUCACUUCUCGUCGAAUCCAGUAUAGCAAGGUCACUGCAUGACUUUCCAAAUUUGAGCUGCCCUUUCGGGUUUUCAACUCAAAACCCCUUUGGUCUCAAGGCGUCCUUUGAGGGUUUUCACCUUGGCCUCUCCAUUUUUCUUUUUUUCUUUUUUCUUUUUUCUUUUUUAUUUUUUUAUUUUUUUUAUUUUUUUCUUCUUCUUUUUUUUUUCUUUUUUUUUGAAAUAGAAGUCCCAAAGUGCCCUUUGCGGGUUUUCACCUUGGCUUCCCUUCUCCUUCAGACAAAGUACUCCUUGACCGAAUCCGAAUUCACUAGAUCAGAUAAAUUUUUCCUAUCCAUUUCUUGUCAAAAUUAGUGCACCUCUAGAGAAAGCCCUCUUCGCAAUAUAUGGCCCUUCCCAAUUUAACAUCCUUUUGCAUGGGAAGGAUCUCUUUCAGUACAAGGUUUCCUUUAUGAAAUUCUUUUAGACGAACCUUCUUUGUCAUAAGUCUGUGUCAUCCAUUCUUGUUACAUUUUCUUAGGAUGAAUACUUUCAAGUUAAGUUUACUAGAGGUAUUCAAUUCUUGACUCCAUCAAAGCUUGGAGGAAAAAUCUUGAUUCAUAAACCCAUGAAAGGGAUUGCCCUAGCAACAGUCCUGGCUGUUGUCUGUCAAACCCUACAAAAAGAUGGUUCAAUGAUUAUCAAUAUACAAGAAUGAAGUUGCUGACUUUAUCCUUCAACCUGGAAAGCUGAGAUAUAGAGAUUACUCCUGGAGCAUACAUCCCACCAUGACUCGAUAAUAUUUCUGAAGCAUCCCUAAUCUUCAUAAAUUGCCCCCAAUUGUGAAGCUGCCAAAUGAGUGUCGCAAAUAGGAGCCACAAAAAAUAUGGUUGUGGUGCUCUUUUGAUACAUAUAGGAUAGAAAAUGAACAGACUCUUGCAGAUCAUCAGCCAAAAACCCAGCCUGGUCUAAGAGAACAUGAUAGUGGGUCUGCCUCGUGAUUCCAAUCAUUCCAGCAUGGGUACCAAGGUAAAAAUAAUUGUUCUUUGGAUGGCAUACUUUGUUGUCAAUGACAGUACCGUAUAGCACAUUGUCAGGAGAUUUUUGCUGAAAAAAAAACUUGGUAUGAUGGUUUUUCGUACAACAAUAACCACAAUCUUUAGGGUUCCACUUCUCGUCAAGGAACUUGCAAGCCUCAAUAACUUGAUCAAAACUUGAUUGAAUUGAGACUCGCUAACCCCAUCCUUGAAAAUAAUGAUUUGAUCAGGUUUCCUCUUCCCUGAACUUGUAUAGAAGUCUAAGAGAGCUUCCUUCAUGAUACCGUCAUCCACUUUGUUAGAAACUAGUUUUGAAGAAAGAAUCUAUCAUUUUAAGCUUCAGAGACUGCGUACGGCCUGAUGCCUCAUAGCUGGAAAUCAAUGGCCACUGCCUGGAGCUAACCAUCGCAGCUAUUAACGGCACAUCAGACUGCUCAGGAAAGCCAAACAAUGCACCCAUUCCAAGGAUGAUGGUUGGAACCUUUGAAACAACUGGAAUUGAAGUUGUUUGCCCCAGCGUAAGCAUAGAGGGUAGGCAGUAGUUUCUUAUGCCAAUUUUUACCAGUCUCGGCCAUUUUCUAUAAUUUGUUUUUUUCUUUUUCUUUUCUUUUGGCAACCUUUGUUGUACUGUGGUAUGACGCAUUAUCUUUGAAAAGACUGCAAACUUUUGGCAUUGUGCAGUUAUAUAUAAUCUUUUUAUUUUUUUCUUUUUUUUUGAAAUGGAUGACUUUUGACUUUGUAAUAUUGGCAUAUGAAGCUAUCUCCCCUCCUAAUGGAGCAGUUGACGUCCACAAAUAUGAGGCAUUGUCAGCUUGAAACUUUUGAUGAGCUCGGGCCCAUAACAUACAUGCCCCAUAAGUCUUAACUCCCUUAAAUUUGGCAUUCAUUGUACAACUGAUGUGAUCCCUUUUCAUGGUGGACCAACAGUGCCCCAAAACCUCAUGUUUAUUCUGGCAAUUGCAAACCCUCCUGCAUGUGUUUUUGGACCACAUUUUUGAAUUCCCAUAAUAGUCUCAACAAGGUCUUGUCUUGUCUCCUCAGCUAAUUCCAAUUUCACAAUCUUUCCUUCCUCUAAGGUUAUAUUUCCUACCACCACUUCAUGGGGUAAAAACCAUUUUCAACAAAUUCAAAAACAAGUCACAAUUUCUGUCACCUUUAAAGUACUGAGAUUCCUCUAAACACAUAUCACACUCAAAAGGAACUCUGAAUCUGUAGUAUCGUUGCCCGUGCCAUUGAUAUCUAGGGAUCAAUGAUAGGCACACAAAAGAAUAUACAAGGAAUGAAUUCAAAAAUGACAUUUACAUGAAAUAAAAAUUUAUAAAGAAUGUCAAAGGUCAAUAGAAUCAGAAUGAAAGAAUAUUUACUCAGAUAAAUAAAAGUAUGUUUUAUUGAAAAUAAAAAUGUCUGAACAUGAGCCCACUUCUCAAAAGAAAUCUCAUUACUCCUAGGCUUUAGAGCAACAAGAGUGUUUUGAAUAUUACUCCGUAAAAUUCCUAAAGAUUAUAGGAAGUUCUUCUGCAGUCCAAUUGUUUAAAUAAAUUCCCGGUUCGUAAGGGCGAAUGCCCUCAAGGUUUCUUUGUUCAGUCCCUUCCUCAUUGAUGAUUUUCAUUUCCAAACACCCCCUUCUCCGGGUAAGCUAUCCCUCCUGACACAAAAGUCGAGGAUAUGUAAGGGAACAUCGUUAAUUCCCAUUCAACUUCUUUUUCACUCAGUCGUGACCCUCUUCUCUCUCUCUCUUUUUCUUUCUCUUUUUAAUAACUUUAACUAAUUAGGGUCUUUUUAUGGAUUUAAAUGCAUUUGACGUGAUGCAAUGCAAAUGCAUGAAUGCAAAAGAAAAGGAGAUGUUGAUCUUGAAUUCAAUUCCAUUAGAAUAACUUUUCUAGAAAACAAAUUUCUUUACAUGAAAAUAGAUUACAUAUGCGAUAUUGCCCUUCAUAGUCCAAGUAAACGCUGAUCUUUUCUUCAUGGUCGAAUCUUGUAAAUUCUCUAAAAGAUGCCUUUGCAAGCUCCUUGCUGCUUAAUCUGAGCCUCGAUCUCUUGCUCGCUUAUCUCCAUGAUACUCAUCAAAAAGUGCCGGCUCUUGGAUAAUCUUCGUUGGCAAUUAAAUCAAGUCAUGUAUUCCUUCGUGGACUUCCGGCUUUCUCUCGUCAUGCUCUUGGAUAACCUUUGUUGGCUUGAAUCUCUGGCAAUUACAUCAUGUAUUCCUCCGUGGACUACCAGCUUUCUCUCAUCGUGUUUACUUGGACUAUAUUCAGACAACCGCACUAUAAUCUACUUUAUCAAGAAAUUUGUUUCCUUAUGACAAACUAUUCUAUUUAGGAAUCGAAUUUCAAAUCAACACCUUCUUUUCUUUGAUGUAAUGUAAUGCAAAUGCAUGAAUACAAAAAGGUAUCGAUAUCGAUUCAGUUUCAUUUUAGAAAAUGUUAUUUAAGGAACAAAAGUCUUUUCAUAAAACGGAUUACAAAUACGCUUUCGCUCGUAGGCCUAGGGUCUUAACCCUAUCUAAUAACAAAGCUAACUCUUGACCUCUAUCUGAACUGUAGCACAUAUUGGUGCUCAAUGUGCUUGCACUUUCUACCAGUAUCUAUAAAUGAUCAGCUAUCUCUUGAAUUUGAAUUAUGGCUUCACCUAUGAAGUAAGCUCUACAGCCAAAGACACCUCCUCCAAUGUUUGUGAAGUUGCUCUGAUUACCUUGAAAGAAAGAUUAGCGAACAAGUAGGCAUUCCAGCUUCGCAGCAUACUGCUUUAAAAUGAUAUCAAACAUCCUCAGUGCUUCUUGAGAGUCUUUAAAAUUUUGCCUCCACAGAAUAUUUUGAAUUGCUUGUAUGAGUAUCUUCGCAGCAUAGCUAAUCUCCACUUUAAAGGUCUUUAAACGAUACGAUCUUCUUUAAUCUCUUUCUUUCAUGCUCAUUUGGGUUGUCCCGGUCAUCAGGGCUUGUAUUUCCAUUAUUUCUGAUAAGUACAACAUCCUAAAGUACCACAGUAAAUUCCAGCUUGUUGUUUGGUAGCGGUCCUAUAGUAAGUGAGCCUUUCUACCAUCAUAAGCAAAAUUCUUUCCAUCCAAUUCAAUUUUGUAGGUCUUAAACCCUUACCAUCCACGAGGUGACUAUCUUCAUCUGUAAUGGUAGAAGUGUCCAUCAGUACUCCCCACGCUCACCUUGAAUUGUUCAUCUAUCUUCAUGUCAAGCAAAUACUGCAAUUCCCCAUAACUGUUGUAGAACAACUGAUUGGCUUCGUUACUCCAUUAAUCCCAUAUUUCCUUUAACUCUUGGAGGUUAUUUUGCAUCACACUAAUGAGAGUGUAGCCCCAUAAUUCUGAUGUGUGUCCUUCGAUGACACUAUUUCCUUUUUCUAUCUGGGUUUUCUCUGACCAAGCACAAACGAAAGAGUUUUCCUCCACUUUAUUAAGAUAUUCGUUCCCCAUUACAAAACUUACUAACUCAGAAAUCGAACCUUGAAUCGAUACCUUUUAAUGAUAAAUGAUAUGCAAUGAUAGCAAAAUAAGAAAAACAAGUCAGUGUCACAUAUAUAAAAAAAAUAUAAUAAAUAAGAACUUAUAAAGGUAGGCACUAAAGGUCAUCAUCAUACUACCUGGGGUAAGCACUUAAAGUUCACUAUAUGUAGUUCGGUUCUAAAGCAAGGGUACCUGAACCAGCAGAUUCCUCGAUCUUCACCAAUUAUAGGCUCAUAUGGACCAAGUUUGGUUCAGGGGGACACAUUUCCCUAUGGUCAUGCGGAGAUGAAAAUCUCACAAAGACAUAGGUACGGAUGUAUCCCGGAAGCAAUCCACUAGCCCAUGCGGAGGUGAAAACCUCACGAAAACAUAGCUUCUCACUCCCACUUAAGGGUGUGACCACAACGGUCAUGCAAAUGCAAUGUGUACGUAAACAAUAACAAACAUAUGCAACUAACACAUGUAAAAAUGACAUAUUUUAAAAAUUUUCCAAAUUUCCCACAUUAAGUUAGAAAAUAAUCAAUUUUUGGCUUGACUCUCUUAUAGGUCCCCAGUGGAGUCGCCAAGCUGUCGAAACCAUUUUUCAAAGGGUUUGAAAAACGGGGUUCGACUUUUUAAAAAAUGAAAAUGGGAGUCGCCACCAACAUUUUUUGGUGUGAUUGGAUCACCUUUAUAAAACAUUUUGGUCUACGAAAUGCAAGAAAAUAGGUUCGGGAGUCGGUUACGCACAAGGAAGGAUUAGCACCCUCGUAACGCCCAAAAUUGGUACCGAAUUGAUUAUUUAUUGUCCUAAUGUCAAAAAUUUGAAAAGAUUUUAAAACUUGAAUAAUUUAAAGUUGAAACUUGAGAUUCCUUUGUUCCGAAAGUAUACAAACAUCACAUCCAGCAUGUUAGGACACGAUGUUUUAAAUCCUCGUAACUAAAAUUAUCUCAUGAUUUUGAAAAUUUAUUAAAAGGAUAUUUGGUUAUUUUAGUCAAAUGAAAAAAUCGCAACCCAGCAUGUUAGGACACUAUUUUCUGAAUUUCUAAACACCAAACAUUGCCUUAUUUAAGAAAAAACUUUUUCAAUUAAAUGAAAUAUAUUUUUUAAAACAAUGAAUAAUAUAGAAUUUAAUAAAAAAAAUUAAUAUAAUACUAAAAUUAUUAAAAAAUAAAAUAUCAAAGAGAAUUAAAAAAAAUCAAGGAGAUAGGGAUUAAAUAAAAAAAUGUUGAAAACGAAGAUGAACAAAGAAUAAAUAAGAACAAACCGUAGAAAAUAAGAACGCAAGAGGGAGAGAAAUUUAAGAUAAUGCUCUCAAGAAUUCUUAUUGCUUCCCAAAACUCAAGUGAAGUCAAGUUAUUUUACAAUGAGGGGAGAGGCCUCUAUUUAUAGUUGAGCCUCCCCAAAUCCAACGGUAUAGAUCAAUUACAUCAACGGUUAAGAUUAAAGGAUAUCUACAAAUUAAAUCUCCAAGAUUACAAAAUCAUAUCUUUUAAGAUUGUAUAUCAUAUCUAAGAUUGCAAUCAUAUCUAAGAUUGUAUCAUAUCUAAGAUUGCAAUCAUAUCUAAGAUUAUAUCAUAUCUAAGAUUGCAAUCAUAUCUAAGAUUGUAUCAUAUCUAAGAUUGCAUAUCACAUCUAAGAUUGCAUAUCAUUGAAGAUUAUAUUUCCAUAUGAGUCAAACUUGUAGAUGGACCUUAAAUCUUUUCAAGUAAUGGGCCAUUCCGAUCGGGCCAAAUUAUAUUUGUAAUUCUGGACUGAACUUGGACUUCGUUUUUUUUGGGGGGUUUAUUAUUUUUGUUUUUGGACUUAUUUCUGGGCCCGGGCAAAAUUGAGUGUCUACAAUAAUAAUAUAUAAAUGCAAUAUGUGUAGCUUACUAUAUAAAUGGUAACAAUCAGUAUAAAUAGUAGUAAUAGUAAUAAUAAUAAGACCGUAAUAUAAAAAGAAAAAGAAAUAAUAACAUAUAAAUGGUAAUAAUAAUAUAUUAAUAAGAAAAUAAUAAUCUAAUAAUAAUAAUAGAAAUGGAAUAAAACACAUAAUGAUAAUAGUGGUGGUAAUAAAAGUAAUAAUACUAAUAAUAGCAGCAAAUAUAAUAGUAAUAAUAAUAAUAAUAAUUUUGAUGAUAAAAUAGCAAAAAUGACUAAAAGGGAUUAAAUCGAACUUGGAACAAAAGUUUUGGGGCAAAUCUGAAGUAAAUAAGAGAGAAAAAGGACUAAAUUGCAUGUGAAAACAACCAGGAGGGACUAAAAUGGGCAAUAACCCCUCCCUUCAAAACGCGCAGCAUCAGGAUGGGCCCAAUUGAAAACAAAACAACAUUUUGGGGAAAAAUUAAAAGAGUGAAAACAUGAUUGCAAAACACAAAAACAAAGGAAAGGCUAAAUGCACAAAUAUCCCUUUUGUAGAAAACACGCGGAUCCUGGAAGCGGGUCGGGUCAGUGCACGGGUCAUGAGGCAAAACAACGUCGUUUUGGGUGGUUAAGGCCAGCCCCAAAACGACGUCGUUUUGAGGGCCUAUAAAAGAUAGAUUUUUUUUUAAAAAAAAAUUCAUUUUUUCAUUUGUUAACAAAAAACUUCCCUCCCUUCCCUUUUUUUUCUCUCUACAGGGGUUGAGUAUCCGGUGAGGUCUCCGAUUGGUCUCCACCGUGGCCGCCACCGGUGCCGCCGUCGGCCACCGUGCGCGGUGGCCGAAAAUUCAAAAAGGUAUAUUUUUUAUUUUUUAUUUUCUUUUAUAUUAAUAUAUGUAUAUAGACUAUUUUUAAAAGGAAAAUAACGAGGCAUGUGCAUAUAUAAUCGAAAGAGGAAAAUAAAGUGAGAAGAAAAACGAAAAUAAAGACCUUAGCACGUUUUUGACUUUUCUUUUCUCUUCAAUCUGCUUGCCAUUUAUUAUUUUGGUAUGCUUGAAUCCUUUGUAAUUUAGUGAGAAAAAAAAUCCCCUUUUACAAAUGAUUUUUAGGCUUUUAUAUAGCCAAUUUUACAAUAUUAUUUCUAUUUUUUUCACUGUUCUUGCAUCUGAUUCUGUCUUUUCUUUGCAUGAGCAGUUGGGCGGUGGAGUAAGUGGCUGCCAAUGGGCUGGUUAGAGGCGGCAGCACUAGGGGAGGCAGCCACUUGGAUUAGGGGGCUAAGGUUAGGUUUUCUUUUUUCUUUUUCUGAAAAUUUUGUGGUGUUAGGCUUAUGGUUUGUUAGAUUUUUUUUGGGAGGGGGGCCUGAUUUUGGGUUUAGUGUUUGGGUUUGUAAUGGGUGGUAUUGGGUAUUGGGGUAGUGGGAAAAAUUUGGGCGGUACACCCAAAAAGGUAAAAAUAAAAGGUAUUUUUAUAUAACUAUAUAUGUAUGUAUAUUAUAUUCGGUGUAUAGAUUGAAAAAUCAUGAAAAUAUACCUUUGAAUAAACUAUUUUUCUUUUUGCUAUUUUGACUGAUAUCUAUUGCGUUCGUAAGUCUUUUUAUAGUAUACAAUCGGCCUCCUUUUAUAGCCAAAUAGAGGUAAAAUAUAAAUACGGACAAUCAUACAAUUAAAAAUCAUCAAUAUACUAAUUCAAUAUCAAACUUUUACAAAAAUUCCAAUUUUGUCCUUUUCCCAGUACUAAUCUUUUUUUCUUUAACUAAAUCAUCAUAUUUUCAUUUAAUCAACUCAUUAACAAUUUCAAGCUCAUAAAAAGAAUCAUCAUAAAACAUAAAUUUUGAGCUCUAUACAACUUAGUCCCUAGUUAAACCUAACUUAAAAAUUCCUUUAAUAAAUCACUUCUAACUUCAAUUUCUAUCAAUUUAACCCAUAAAACCUCAAUUUAUUCAACUAAAUCAAUAUUUAAAAAUUCUCUAUUUUUCUUCAUUUUAACCUCAUACAUGUAGAACUUUGAAUUAGGCAUCCAUAAAAAUAAAAAUCACAAGAAAAUGAGCUAAAACAACUUACCAAUCAAGCUUUAGGGCUUUAAUCCUCAAAUUUUCCCUUUUCUUUUUUUUCUUUCUUUCUCACGUUUACUCUCUGUAACUCUUUCUAUCUUUCUUUUUAUUUAUUUAUUUCAUUUCCUUUAUUCAUAAAUCUAUAUUCAAUAUAAUAAUAUUAAUAAUAUAAUAUUAUUCUAAUAAAAUAACUUAAUCUAUAAGAAAAACUACUUUAACACAUUUAAUAUUUUUACCAACUAUUACACAUGUUAUACAAUAUUAACACACACAUGUCACUUAAGGUCUAAUUGCUAGAUUAGUCCCUUUACUAAUCUUUAAUCUAUAAUUAAACUUUUAUACCUUAUGCAAUUUAGUCCUUAUUCUAAAUUCAAGCUACUUAACUUAAUCAAACAUUAAUCAACCACUCAACUAUAAUUCAUAAAUAUUUCUAAUAAAUAUUCAUGAAUUAAUUUCACAGAAACAGUACUCAAGACUCGAUUUUCGAUACCGUAACUUUCGGUUCAUUACAUACAUAGUAGGAAAAACCAUUUGAUUUCACAUGCGCUGGUCUCCAAACAUCAGAAAGAACAAGUUCAAAGGGUGAUGAGUACAUCGUUUUUGAAUGAUUAAAAGGAAGCUUGUGUGCUUUUCUUAGCUGACAAGAAGAACACACAUGAGGUAAAUUAUUGUGUUUGAAAGGGAUAUUACAGGUACGUAGUACAUGACUCAAAAUGGUAUUACAAGGGUGGCCCAGCCUGGCAUGCCACAACAUAGGUGAAGAAGUGAGCUGUGCACUGUUGAAAAUAGGGGUGAGCAAAAUUUGAUUCGAUUCGAAAAACUCGAUAAAAUUUUCAAAUUUUGAAUUAAAUAGUUUGAGUUAUUUGAGUUAAUCAAGUUAUUUGGGUCAACUCGAAUAAAAAAAUAAGUUUUUCAGUUUAACUCGAAUGUGAAUUACACAAUUCGAGUUAUCCGAAAAUCCAAAUAAGAAAAGGCAAAACUAUGUCAUUUUGAUAAAUGUUUACCUUUUCUAAAGUUAAAAGUCAAAACUAUAAAGUUAAAAGGUAAAACUAUGUUGUUUUGAUAAAUGUUUACUAAUUAAGUUAAUAGGCAAAACCAUUAUAUUGUUUAUGUUGUUAAAUAAAUUUAUACUUAGUUUCCUAGUUAAAUAAUUGGUUCAUGUAAGUGCAACAUUGAGUACAAAUAACAGGAUUCGUUAACUCGACUCGACUUGACUCGAAAUUUUUUGACUCGGCUCGAUCCGAUUCGAAAAAAUUCAAAUUGAGUUCGGUUGCUAAAAUAGGAUUCGUCAACUCGACUAACUCGAAAUUUUUUGACUCAAUCCGACUCGACUCAAUCGAAUGCUCACCCCUAGUUGAGAAGAGCGGAGCUGAAUUUCUGAGCACCAAUGGGUUUUAUAAGAGCUUUGGAAGGGGCAGCAUGAGAAACAUCGAACCUGUAGAGGCCAUUAUGCAUGUGGCCCACUAGUAGAAUUGUCCUUGUCUGUAUGUCCUUCACAAAACCCAAAAAUGGGUGAAACUCAAAGUACACAGCAUUAUCCCUUGCAAAUUUCCCUACUGACAGCAAAUUCUUACAGAUAUUGGGAACAUGGAGAAUACUUCUAAGAUGUAAGAGCCUAGAACUAGCCAGUAAGGUAGAUGAACCUACACUACUAACAGGAACCAGUUCUCCAUUUUUCAUAGAAAUUUGAGUCGUACCUGUAUAGGGAGAAGCAGCUGUGAGAUUGGACAAGUCAGGGGUGAUAUGAUUCAUUGCCCCUGAGUCAGGAUACCAUGUUUGAUCGAGUGAGGUGGAGAGGGAACCUCGAGCAGUAGGCUGACUGUAGAUAGUGGUAUUAGGUGAGAACGCUCUAUAAUAGUGAGGCACAGAGGGAUAUGUAGAAGAAGAAGAAGAAAUCCCUUGACCAUGAAGUUGAUGACAAUUAACCUGCACCCAAUGACCAGGUCCUACCUUAGAAAAAUUCUCAUCGAACCUAUGAUAGCAAGUCUGAACCAUAUGACCUAUCUUUCCACAUAGUUGACACUGUAGUCUAGAACGUGACCAGCUUCGUCCACGAGACCAGCCUCGACCUUGUCCUAUUUGCCCUUGCUUAGACUCUUAAAAAAACGAGUAGAGGCUACAGACUGACCCGAGUUGUCUGUAUUAUCUUGUUGAGAGCGAGAAGCCAGGUUGGCUUGUAAAUGAGAAUCAGUUAGUGAGAACAUAUGUCGUGCUUCACAAUCAAGAAGCAUUUUGAUUAACAAGUCAAAUGAGACAGGGGCUGCCUGCUGCACUUAAACCAUCACUUAGUUGUUUAACCUUGAACUGAUACUCUUUAACAGUGAGGCUGCCUUUCUUGAUUGAGUAGAGGGAAUGACGCAUAUUAGAGAUCUUGAUGUUUGACUUUGUUCCAAAUCGUCUUUCAAUUGCAGUCCAGAUUUCAAGAUUGGUCUUAACCAUUGUGAGAUGAACCAAGACAUCAUUUAUAACCAUAGAUAACAACUAAGAAGCAAAAAAGUUAUCCUGCCUCUCGUGAACAAGAAAUGCAGGAUUAUCAAUGAGUUGACCCUCAUUCCCAGAAAUGAAAGGUGAGGGAAUGGAAACAGUACCUAGAAAAAAUCCCUCGAGAUCAUACCCUUCAAGAAUCAAUAGAAGUUGAUGUUUCCAUAAUAGGAAAUUAUGUUCCCCGAGUUUGAUAGUGCCAUGUUUAGAAAAAUACUGAAAAGUAUGCGAAAAGGAAUUAUCAGAACCAUGUGAGUGAACUGCUUCACCAUUAUUAGAGGAAUGUCUAGGAGUAUCAACUAUUGGAACAGCUUCUGUAGCCAUGGCCCCAAAAAUAAAAUUUUUCAGCAAGAACCUAGCUUUUGAUACCAUGUUAGAAACUAUAACAAAGUACGUACAAAAUAUCUCUCUUCAUUGAAUCUACCAAGAGUCACUUGCAGACUAUUUAACAUACAAAGAUAACUGCUAACUAAUGUUAACAGCUAACUGCUUACUGCUAACAACAAGUUAACUGCUUUAACUGAUUUUAGUUAUACAAAAUAUAUCAUAACACGUGGCAGGUCAUGGUGAAUGAUCUUGGGGUUGCGAGAGGAAGCUAGUUCUUGCUUAUACUUGCUGGUAGGUCAUGGUGAAUUGCCUGUGAAAAAGGACUAGGUCGAAACUAGAAUGAAAGAAGGUAAAAUCCCUUAGCAUGAAAUUCUUUAGCAUCCACUACAUAUAUCGAACCAUUCUAUUGUUGCUUGGAUGGCGAUCCUGAACAGGUUACCAACCAAAAAGAGACUUCAGCCUAUGGGACUUAAUAUCAACACUUGUUGCAAAUUGUGUCGUGGGCUAAGGAGACAAAGGAUCAUCUGUUUUUUGAUUGUGAGUUCUCAAAGGAAGUUUGGGGAGCACUUCUUAAGCUUUGCAAUAUUAAUAGAAGACUGAGUUGUUAGAAUCAUUAACUCAGGUGGGCUAUCACAUAAAAAGGGGAAAUUGACAAUGAUUAAAAAUAUUGUACAAAAAUUAGAUUAAGGGGGUAAAACUAUUAAUACUUGUCAUUAGGGCUUUUUCAAUGCACCCAUACUUACCUUUUUUUAAAAUUUAAUGGUAUCAAUAUACGAAAUUUCAUAUUUUAAAGUCCUAGGCAUAAAGGAAGGAGAAGCGUUCUAAGUAACAUGAUGUGCAUAGAAUAAGGUAUACUAACAAGAUCAUGAGUGGCCUUAUUUAUAUCUUAAAAAGUGUUUAUUUGAAAAUUUUAAAAAUGAUCUUUGAAGAAAAAUGAAAAUAUGUGAAAAUUAAAAAAUAAAAAAACUAUUUUCAUAGUUUUCACUAAAACUAAAAAAGUUAUUUUUGUUUGGUUUUCACCAUAAAAAAGUAAAAUUUUUAAAAAGGUAUAUAUAAGUGAUAAUAAUUGACGCAUUAAUAGAUAUUACGAGUUAAUUGAACAUCAAUUCAGUUGCAAAAAAAAUUAAAAAUAAUUUUUUUAAAAACAAUAAAUUUUAUUAUAAGAAUAUUUAUGUUUUCCAUACUUUAUAAAAAAAUUAAAAAAUAAAUAAUUUAAAUUACGAGAAAGGAUUGUAUGAAAUUAUUAUUCUACAUCGUCUUUAUCCCUUUCUAAUGGAAGAAUGAAAAAUCUGAUUUUUUCCCAUAAUUUUUAGCUUUUUCGUCCUGAAAAAAAAAUCAAAUCCAACUAAAAAUGUUAAAAAUCAAGAUAAGAAAUCUGAUUUUUCAUUCUCUUAUUGGAAAGGGAUAAAGAUGACGUGGAAUCAAAAUAGAUAAAUGUUAAGCUUGAAAAUUCUUUAGAUAAUGUUGGUUUGAUUUUAUAAAUUUUUUCAUAGUGACUUGUGUAUUACAUAAUUCAAUAUAUAAUUUGUUAAUGUCAACUUGGAUCAACAAGGAUUUGGACUGGCAAUUGAGUUGUGAAAGUGAGAAGGCCUACAAGAAAGAAAGAAAGAAAGGAAGAUGAGUUAUUAUGAGUAGCCGGAGUUAAUAUUCCAAUCGCUCUUUGAUACUUAAGUUAAUGAUUUUUGUUUAGAAAAAAUGAAAAAAGGUACAAGAUGAUGAAUAGUUUACAUAAUCAAAAGGACUCCCUAGAGGCCUUUUAUGUUUACCUCCUUACCUUUCAUGUGACAAUCCUCUUAGCCUUGAGGUCCAAGGUGCAUCGGAAUUGGUUCAUCCUCUUAUUUUGUUCGUUUCCUCUUUCUGUUUAGUUCUGACCGUGUUAGGCUCUGUCUUGCCUUGAUCCUUUGCAGUGUCAGGGUUCUUUUCCUCCUCUACCAUCAGGCAUUGACAACUCCCCCUUUUGUUUCCUCCUCAUUAUCUACGCAUUAGAUAUUUUAUUAUAACAUCUUUGGGUCUUUUUACUUUCGGGUUUACGAGUAUGGCAUAAUAAUAAUCCUCCUUAAAUCUGAGUAGGUUCUAAAGUGGCAUCUACAUAUAAAUAUAUAUAUAUAUUAAUUUAUAUGAUUUUUUCAUACUUAUUAUGGAUUCCUCUUUUGUUGAAUGUUUUGGCUUCAGCAUUACAAUUCUAUUUAUAAGGGAGGGGGGUUAAAGAAGGACUUAUAACAAGCAUAUAGAAGUUUAAAGGGUGAGGGAAUUAAAGAGACGAAAACAGUAAGAAUAGAUGCUAUAAGACCAGGAGAUCACAUAUUUUCUGAUAAGAAAUCACGUCUCUAUUUUCACAUGGUACACUCUCUCUUGCUCUUAUUUUUUCUUUUUCAUUUCCUUAAAGAAUACGAAGAAAAUAUUAUAAGUUUCCUAAGUUUUUUUGGCUUCUUUCGGAUGGAAAAUCCAAUAACAUUCAUUCAUGAAUUUAUUAUCACUUAGUGAUUUUUUAAAUUAAAAAAAAAGUUAAAACAGAAAGAAGCAGUUGACCUAAGUUCAAGGUCGAAUGGAUAUUGGAUACAAGUGUAUGUUCUCAGUUAAAUUUCACACAUAAUGGUUAUUACAUGAUUUCUAAAUAAAAGGGAGACCUGUGAUUAAACCAGGCAUAUAUGUGGGAGAUCAAAUGGUGAGUCAUCUGAUGGGACCAAGCAAGACUUACAACCUAAGACCCUGCGAAAGUUGUGGGUUGAAGCCCCAAGCAGGGAUCUUCAAAACUUGCCUCGAUUGCUUCCUCAAUGGCCACUCACUCUACCACUACGAAUACGACGUUUCUUACUUAAAACUGGGUUUCAAACGCUAGUUCUUGCAGCAUUUGGGAUUGAAGACCGGCGAACCAAGUCGUCGAAACUGCCUAUCGUCUGCUCGAAGACAAGAGCUUCGGGAGCUACAAUUUUUUCCUCAACAACUGCGAGGACUUCGCGGUGUAUUGCAAAACGGGCAUGGCCAUGAGCAAUCAAACAGCAGGGUUAUUUGGGUUUAACUUGGUUGGUGCUGUUGGAUAUCAUGCUACCAAAGGGAUCCAUGAAGCCUUUACCAAUUAAAGAACAAUUAAGGCCUCAUCAGCCAUGAUUUAUGAAAUAAACAGCCACUUGAACU
This 97078-nucleotide long non-coding RNA is filed under the name Gossypium barbadense (sea-island cotton). Its description in RNAcentral is "long non-coding RNA (GBAR_LNC007771)". The stretch from base 95215 to 95339 matches the Rfam family "MIR7504 microRNA precursor family". The record is from RNAcentral. Lineage: Eukaryota; Viridiplantae; Streptophyta; Magnoliopsida; Malvales; Malvaceae.